Molecule: long non-coding RNA, 104182 nt
Filed under: Vitis vinifera (wine grape)
Lineage: Eukaryota; Viridiplantae; Streptophyta; Magnoliopsida; Vitales; Vitaceae
Description: long non-coding RNA (VVIN_LNC003743)
Source: RNAcentral
UUGGCGACACGGAGAGAAAGAUUAUAGCCAUCUGUGUUAUACUCCUGAAGACUACCGAGAUCUUCAGACCAAAUCCAGCACUUGGGAGGGGUGCUAGCACGGCCCCUUCGUAUCGUUCCAACUCCAGCAUAAGCUUGACAGCGACAGGUCUUAAGGCACUCUCUUCGGCAUUCACUUUCAUCCUUACCCGAAAACUCAAUGUCAUACUUUCUUACUUUAAUCAUCUUCAAGAUCAAGAAUGUGUCCCCACAGAGGGUUGUCUUUUUAGAACACCCACCUGAAAAAUCUCCGUUAGUCCAUCUCUCCAGCGAGUUAGGCUCGAAUCCAGGCAAACAUUUGCACAUAAAUGCAUUGUUAACAUUGCAAGAACCGAAAUUCCCACAAGCAUUCAACACACUGCAUCGGUCUUGCGGCGCCCACCAGAAUGCAGACCACUCCUCCGUAUAAUUAUCCCAAACUAGAUAUCUUAUUUCCCCGGUGAAAUUCAUCACCAACCGUGUAUAAGAACUGCGGACAAAUUGAGACCCAGUUGGUUUUCGGGUCUUGCCAAAAUUGGAUAAGAGCUCGGCUGCUGCAGAACUCAUUCCUUCUGAUUCCUCACUUCUCCAAUAUUUAACAAUUGAAUCUUCAAAUAUGAUAUACUGAUCUUUAUCAUCAUCUUGCUUGAAAGUAUAGCUUCCAGGUGCAGGGUCAACGGGGCUUACCCAUGAAGUCAAUGUUAAGUUUCCCUCCAUAAUCAUCCCAGGAAGAAAAGUAUCAGUUGGGUUCUUGAAACUCUCCCAAAGAAUCUUCCCAGAUCUGUUGUCCCUUAAAACAAAGUUCCCAGAAUCCAUGACCUUGGCCACCCUACCCAUGGAAGAUGAGCUUCCAAGAUUAGUAAACCAGUAAGCUGCUCCACUUUCAUUCACUAGCUUGAGGUUACCGUCAUCUGCAAUGGCAAGAGCUCCAACACUGUCUUCAGGAAGGGGGUUGUCUCUAUUGGCUACCCAUACAACUGUUCUCUCCUUCAACCCGUAGUACCAUAUGCCAAUGUAUUUUCCAUUGUUGAACCCUCCCUUGGGAAUAAAGAAGCCCAAUUCAAAAGUUUGAUUGGCUGAAACAAGAGUUCCUCUACCAUCAUCAAUAAGCAAAUUGUCUGGUGUGAUGGUAUCUCUAGCAGAGCAGCACAGGAUAGAACACAAGAAGAAAAAGAUUGCAUGUCGCAUUGAGUUGCAGAGACUGAAACCAUUAAUUUUCAUCUAGUCCUUUGCAGGAUAGAACCCAAGAAGAAAAAGAUUGCAGACAGCAUAUGAGUUGCAGAGACUGAAACCAUUAAUUUUCAUCUAGUCCUGUUGCCCACCAUUUUUUUUAAUGGUAAGAGUAUGAAAAGUUUGGUGGCACUGUUGAGUGUGGGGUUGCUGCUGCUGUAACGCACUCUCAAUAUUAUCAUAAAUAAAUAAAUAAAGAUUAUUAAAAAAAAAAAAACCUCCAUUGUAUCUAGGUUGACAUCUUAUUAUGGGAAAAGAAAGGAAAAAAAGCACUGCAGAAUUAAAUUAUAAAAAAUCCAAAAAAUUAAAAGUGAAAUGGAAAUUCUGCCCUCCCUAAAAAAUAUAAAUUUAGUUUUAAUUCUUUUUUUAAUAAAAAAAACAAUAAUGAUAAUUAAACAUUAUUAAUAAAAAAUAAUACUUACCUUUGAGUAUUAAUGAUAUAUUAAGAUUUAAUUAAAAUUUAAAAAUAUAUUUUAUGUUAAUACCUAUUUCUUCCCUUUUUAUCCUAUCUUUAUCUUUUUUUUUAGUGGAACCAUUGUUCCAAUUUAUUUUGCAUUAAUUCAAAUUAUAUGAGCUUUUUUGUUUUAUAAUAAACCCUUCAAUGAAAUUGACUUUUUAAAAUUUUGUAUUUGAUGGUUUAUAAGCUUUAAUUUAACGGUGGGUUAUCUAUAGUUUUAAUCUUAAUAUUUUAAAUUUUUAAAUUUUUAAAAUUUGUGACAUUUAAUUAAAUAAUAAAUUUUGCUUUCUUUAGUUUUUGAUGAUUUACUCUUAUUGAAUUGUUUAUAUGAAGUGAUAGCUUAUGUUUUAUUUUAAUUAUAAAGCUGAUGCACCUUAAUAAAAUAUUUUGACUAUAAAUAAUAUCGGUAAAGAUCUCUACACAUAUUGUGUAAUAUAUUUGAUGAAGACCUCUACAUAUAUUGUCUACUUUUGAGUCCAUUAGCUUUUCUAUUCCUACUUAUAACAUUGUUUACAUAUUCCAAAUAGCUAAUGGGUGGUCAUCCUCAUGUUUUCAAUUAGGAAUUAGUUUUAAUAUCACUUAACCCAACUCAUGUAACCUUAUUUUCUUUAAACCCAUUAAUCCUCGCAACUUACCCUAACAACAAAUGGGUCACCCCUUAAGUACUAAAAAUUUCUUAUUCAAAUGAUAUGAAAUAUUAUAUUCGAUCAUUUAUAUAGACACAUUGUUCUCAUCAUGACCCAUAGGGUUUAUGGAUAGUCAAAACUCUACAUAUUUUUUAUUAGGGAUUAGCACAACCUACUAGACUUCUUGAUUUUACGUAUACUAAAUGCAUCACUCUUAUAAGUAUUACAAAUUCUCGUAUGAGAAUUUGAAAAAGGGAAAAGUGGGUUUUUCCUCACUAAUUUAAAGAUAUAUAGAAAAAAAAACCUCAAAUUUUAUAAAUAAGUUUUACCUUUAUCAAUUUAAAAAUAUUUUAAAAUAUAUACACUUUUACAUAAAUCAGAUAAUUAUUUUCUAAAAUAGCACUUUACUUGAUAAUAUUAAAUAAAAUUAUCAAAAAAUAUUUAUCAUUUUAAGUUAAUAAAAGUACAUUACAAACAAAUAUAUUAUAAAUUUUUAUUAUAUAAUAUAAGGUACAAAUCAAUAUUCCUCAAGUGAUAAAUAAAUUUUUUGCUAAUUCUCUAGGUAAUAAUAAUUUUAUAUUUUAUAUUAUAUAAAUCCCUUCAUCUUCUUACCUUUUUAAAAAAAAAAAAAUUGAAUAAAAUUUUUGUUGAUUUACAUCAACAAUAAAAUAAGAAACUUUAAAAAAAAAACCUAAAAGUUAAAAAUAUAAAAAUAAAAUAUUGACUUUCACUUCGCGUACAUUGGUUAAAAAUCUAGAUAUAAAAAAAAAAUACAAUGGAAGUCAAUAUUUUAUUUUAUUUUAUUUUAAAUUUUUAAAUAUUUUGGUUUUAAUUGCCUUUAAUUUUUAAGUAUUUUAGUUUUAAUUGUAUUUUUAAAAAUUUAAAAUUCUUAUUUUAUUGUUCCUAAGGAUGUUUGUUUCUAGAGAGAGAAAAAAAAUCUUAAAUCAAGUCUCACAGUUAACAGAACAAAAACAAAACUAAAAGAAAAAUUAGUUUUUUUCAAUUAAAUAUUUAUGUAUGUACUUGUUAAUUGGAAUUAUUGAUAUAGUAAGUGCAAGUAAAAGGUUAUUUCAAAAAAUAAUUAUAUGACUUAAAAAAGUGUAUGUAUUUUAAAAUAUUUUUAAAUGAAAGAAGAUAAAAUUGAUUUAUAAAAUUUAGGGUUCUUUUUUCUAUAUUUUUUUCAAACUAGUGAGUUAUAACCCACUUUUCCCAAAUCAUCACAUUUACACCAAUUAAAAUAAUGAUAUAAAUAACAUUUUUUUUUCUUAACUUUCAUGUUUUAUUAAGAUAUUAUGUUUGGUACCUAAAAAGAAUGACAGAAAAUAAUUUUAUCACAUUUGGAUGUAAUAGAAAAAGAAAAAUAGUAAGGAAAUGAUGAGAGAAAAUUUAAAAGAUUUUCUUUUCCAUUUUCAUUAGAUAAAAGCAUGAAAAAUUUAGGAAAAAAAAAAUAUACUACUCAAUAAUUCAAUUUUCUAGAAACCAAAUAUGGUCUAAUAUUGCUCUACGUUCAAAGUCAAUUUUCAACGAUGAAUUCUCCUCUUACAGUGAUUCUUCUUAACUCGAUUGUGACAAGUGUUGUCAUAUGAAUUUUCUUCCCUCAAUCUACCUACUGAGAAAUGUAAUUUAAAAAAAAAAAAAGUACUCCUAAUGGAAUAAUGAGUAAUCACUAGAGACUUUGGAGUGUAGCAUGCAUCCUAUUCUUUUAAUUCUUGUCUCUCAAACCAGUCUUAAUAUUUUUAUUCAUUGAAUUAAAUUAUUAAAUAUACAAAUUAUUGACUGGUGUCUAAGUUUUUUCUUUCUUCAAUUUCUAGCUUUAAGUUCCCAAAUGAAAAAAAAAAAAAAAUUGUCAAGAUCUUGAUUAGAAAAACCUAUUGUUUAAUUGGAAAUAAAGUGGACUCAGUCUCCUUUCUUGUUGAUACAUUGCUUUCAUCUCUUUUCCUUCUGGCUAGCUACUAUGCUUCCCGCUCUCUUCCAAAGCCUAAAAGAAGGAUAACAUUUUGUUUGUUCCCCCGCCCCCCCUAUGAAUACAUGUGACUAGCUAUGAUCAUGAUGAUGUUCAUUUUUUAAAACAAAGAAAAAUGAAAAAUAUGAGCAUCAACCAAUAAAUUUUAGUACCCUUUCUCCAACUUGGAGAAGUUCCAAAUGGGUAAUUUUUUUAUAUUUUUGUUAUAAUUUUUAUGUUUUUUAUUUUAAAUAAACAAGACAAUCCAUUUUUCUUCUGAACAUUUUUUCUUUUGCCCUUUAGCCCUAAUGGCAGUCCACUUCAAAUAUUUUUGUGCCCAAAGGGUCAAAACUAAGGAAAGAUUCACUUCAAGAAAAAAUUAGGAGAAUUAAAAAUCAAAGCCCAAAAAGGGUUCCAGCAAGUGGAUGAUUUUUCUCAGUCAACUACUGCAAUUUGGGUCUUCCUUCCUCUACUUCCUAUUUUAUUUCCCAUAGUAAGGUUAGGCACAUUGACAUCUUUUUAUCCAUUUCUGUUUGCUUUUGUGCUUUUUUGGGAAAUCAUAAUCUGAUGUAGAUCUUGAUGGAACAGGUUUCUAUAGAAAAAUCAACAAGGGCUUUUUUUUUUACUUUAAGUUAGAUUCUGUUAUCUCAUUGGUAUGGCAUGGAAGAAUCUAUCCUUCACUGAAAAAUUGAGAGGAAAAAAAAUAGAUGUUUAUUUAUUUUUGUAUUAUAGCUCCUUUACACAUGUCACAAUCCCAUUUGCCUUAAUUUGUAGGCAUGACAUCCAAAAAUACUUUUCAGUACCAUAAUUUGAUGGAAAAAAUAGGUUUUGACUCAUUAGUACGAAAAUUUAUGAAAAAAAUACUUUAAUUUUUUUAAAUCAGUAUUAUCUUCAUUUAUUUCAAAAUCAACAACCCUUUUUCUUAUCUUUUAGGAAAAUUCUAUAUUACGUCAUGGGUAUGACAUGGAUGAAUUGACCAUUCAAUGAAAAUUAAGGGGAAAAAAUAGAUGUUUAUUUAUUUUUGUGCUAUAGCUCCUUUACAUAUGUCACAAUCUCAUUUAUAUUAAUUUGUUGGCAUGGCAUCCGAAAAUAAUUUUCGAUACCAUAAUUUAAUGAGAAAAUAAGUUUUGAUUCACUAAUAUGAAAUAUAUAGAUAAAAAAAAAUCUUAAUUUUUCAAAAUCAAUAUUAUCUUCAUUUAUUUAAAAAUCAACAAGGGGUUUUUUUUAUUUAAUUUAUAGGAAUAUUCUAUGUUACCUCAUUGGUAUGGCAUGGAAGAAUUGACCAUUCAUUGAAAAUUAAGGGAAAAAAUAGAUAUUUAUUUAUUUUUGUAUUAUAGCUCCUUCACACAUGUCACAAACCUAUCUAUGUUAGCAGCACAUGUGAUGCUUGCAAAUAAACACAAAUAGGAGAAGGUGCAGAGUUAGCAUCACAUGUUCAUGUAUUACAAUAUGAUUGGUUCUUUCUCUUUCCUCCAUAAAAUUCUCUUAUAUAGUUGACUGGUUCUUUCUCAUAUAUGGUUGUAGAUAUGAUUUGAUCAAACCGCAUUAAAACCCGGGUAACUUAGUUUGCUUUAUUUAUGUUAUUCUGUUCAAUCUGGCAUUAUAGUUUUUUAUCUUGCAAGGAUUCCAUUGAAAAACAUAACUGAAAGGGCUUUUAAGAUUUGGAGUAUAAAUAUAGUUUCCAAUAUCUUCCAAUAUAUGUUGUGGGCUCAGAAAGAAGUCCUCCCAAUUGUACUGAAAAAUCAGUGCAUUUAUGCUGCAAUUUGUUAAUAUAGUUCAGUCAGAAACAGAGCAGAUAAACAGAUAUAACAACAAAAUCCUGGGAAUUGGACAAUUUAUUAGCAGCCUUCACCAUGUACAGGAUCCCAUAGAGACGUCCAAAACAGAGCAUCAAAUGGGAACUCCUCCUGGACUAUCGACCUUCUUCUAUGGUGGCUAGGAUUUCACUGUUCCAGGAUGCUUCAGGUUUGCUAGAAGAAGAAGCUGUCCUAGAAAGGUCUCUUUUUAGGACAAAAGCCGGUUGUUUAGGAACCGGCAUUGUUGCAAUGUCACUGCUGAGCAUUACAACUGCAACUGCCAUGGUGGGACGGUCACUUGGGUCUUCUUGCACACACAACAGCCCAACAUUCACACACCUCAAAAAUUCUUUUGUGUUGCAUGUUUCGCAUAGUGUCUGGUCCAUCAGCUCCAACACCUUGUCUUCUUUCAAUAGCUUCCAUGCCUGGGAAGUUUGAGAAUAGAAAGUUAAGUAUGGUAUGGUAUAUCAUUGAGAACGACUAAAAGAUCAAGGCAAAUGAGAGAUUCAAAGCCCUCACUUGACCCAGAAGGCUCAGUGUUUGGUCAGACUGAUAAAAGCCAGUGUUCCUCUUCCCACUGAUGAUCUCAAGCACCAUAACACCAAAGCUAAAGACAUCAGACUUCUCUGAGAAAAACCCAUCCAAUGCAUACUCUGGAGACAUAUAGCCACUGCAUUGAACCAGUUAAAAGCACUACUCUGUUAAUUGGGGAUACGAUCAUGCAACUGCUUGCUUUUUUCUGUACACAAUAUGCAAUACUUACUAAGUUCCAACUACUCUGUUUGUGCUUGCCUCUACUUGCUUACUGUCAAAAAUCCUCGCCAAGCCAAAGUCUGAAAUUUUGGGAUUCAUCUCAUCAUCAAGUAGAAUGUUGCUUGUUUUCAAGUCCCUAUGAAUAAUCUUCAAUCUUGAAUCUUGGUGAAGAUACAGCAGCCCUCUAGCAAUUCCCAUAAUGAUGUCAAACCGCUUCUCCCAGUUCAGUAACAUGCAUAGGGUUCGAUCUUGCAAGGUUCCCAUUGGAAAGCAUUACUUCAGAUAUGUAUACAAGAAUGUAUAUGUUACAUGAAAAAGAAAAGGGCUUUAAGGCAGGUUUAGAGACAAACCAAAUAUGAAGGAAUCUAAGCUUUUGUUGGGCAUAUAUUCAUAGAGUAAAAUCUUCUCAUCACCUUCAACACAAUAGCCCAAAAGUCUAACCAGAUUCCGAUGCUGAAGUUUGGCAAUUAAAACAACCUCAUUCUUAAAUUCCUGUAGGCCUUGUCCUGAAGCUCUAGAGAGUCUCUUAACUGCAAUUUCUUGCCCCUCUGGAAACUUGCCCUGGAAGCCACAGUGCAUAUGCAUUGGGCAUAUGUUAGAACUUGGUGACUUGAAUUCUAUUUGGUUCGACUCCAGAAGCUCGCGAUGUGAUAUAGGUAGUAAAGCUAAAAUUAUGAAUUUUUUUUUGGGUUUGUGGUAGUAACAGAGGGAUCGGACCUAUUACUCUUUCAUGUAUAUACAUACAUAUAUAUACAUACAUAUAUAUAUAUAUAUAUGCAUGCGAUGAUGUAUAGUUUUCAGGGUUAUGAUGAUUAUGUUUUUGCUAUAGGGGUCCGUAUCUCUUUCCUCUUGUACUAAUUUUUUAUAUAAUAAAAUUUCUUCUCCUCGUGGUCUUUCCUAUCUAGGGUUUUCCAUACAAAUUUAUGUGUUCUUAUCCUGUUUUAUUUCUUAUUGCAUAUUCUCAUUAUUUUGUAACAGCAUAGAUGAUGAUAAACCAGUUGAAAAUGAGAGGAACAUGGAAAUUAAGAACAAUUACCUUGUAAACUGGCCCAAAACCCCCUUGUCCAAGCUUAUUUGCAUCUGAAAAGUUAUUUGUAGCAGCCAGUAUGUCUUCUAAGUCGAAAAACGGUACAUCAAUGCCUUUCUUAUCCUCUUCUUUGAAUUGCUCCGAGUCUAUUAAGUGUUUCACACGACUCUCACUAUCAUAUAAGUGAAGCACUUGAUUUGCUCUGUUCUCUGAACUCAAAAAAAACAGAAAAUAUUGUAUACAAGACCCUGAAAUAUUCUCAAUUCAGCCAAGCACAAGUCGAAAAGAAAAGACCAGAAGUUAUAGGCUAGUGCAUAUGGCACAAAGAUUACCUUUCCUUUUGGUGAUGGUUCUUUUGCGCAAAUAAGCAAUAUAACCAAUGAUGCCUAAAACCCGCACUAGAACAACAGCAAUUGUUAUGCCUACNNNNNNNNNNNNNNNNNNNNNNNNNNNNNNNNNNNNNNNNNNNNNNNNNNNNNNNNNNNNNNNNNNNNNNNNNNNNNNNNNNNNNNNNNNNNNNNNNNNNNNNNNNNNNNNNNNNNNNNNNNNNNNNNNNNNNNNNNNNNNNNNNNNNNNNNNNNNNNNNNNNNNNNNNNNNNNNNNNNNNNNNNNNNNNNNNNNNNNNNNNNNNNNNNNNNNNNNNNNNNNNNNNNNNNNNNNNNNNNNNNNNNNNNNNNNNNNNNNNNNNNNNNNNNNNNNNNNNNNNNNNNNNNNNNNNNNNNNNNNNNNNNNNNNNNNNNNNNNNNNNNNNNNNNNNNNNNNNNNNNNNNNNNNNNNNNNNNNNNNNNNNNNNNNNNNNNNNNNNNNNNNNNNNNNNNNNNNNNNNNNNNNNNNNNNNNNNNNNNNNNNNNNNNNNNNNNNNNNNNNNNNNNNNNNNNNNNNNNNNNNNNNNNNNNNNNNNNNNNNNNNNNNNNNNNNNNNNNNNNNNNNNNNNNNNNNNNNNNNNNNNNNNNNNNNNNNNNNNNNNNNNNNNNNNNNNNNNNNNNNNNNNNNNNNNNNNNNNNNNNNNNNNNNNNNNNNNNNNNNNNNNNNNNNNNNNNNNNNNNNNNNNNNNNNNNNNNNNNNNNNNNNNNNNNNNNNNNNNNNNNNNNNNNNNNNNNNNNNNNNNNNNNNNNNNNNNNNNNNNNNNNNNNNNNNNNNNNNNNNNNNNNNNNNNNNNNNNNNNNNNNNNNNNNNNNNNNNNNNNNNNNNNNNNNNNNNNNNNNNNNNNNNNNNNNNNNNNNNNNNNNNNNNNNNNNNNNNNNNNNNNNNNNNNNNNNNNNNNNNNNNNNNNNNNNNNNNNNNNNNNNNNNNNNNNNNNNNNNNNNNNNNNNNNNNNNNNNNNNNNNNNNNNNNNNNNNNNNNNNNNNNNNNNNNNNNNNNNNNNNNNNNNNNNNNNNNNNNNNNNNNNNNNNNNNNNNNNNNNNNNNNNNNNNNNNNNNNNNNNNNNNNNNNNNNNNNNNNNNNNNNNNNNNNNNNNNNNNNNNNNNNNNNNNNNNNNNNNNNNNNNNNNNNNNNNNNNNNNNNNNNNNNNNNNNNNNNNNNNNNNNNNNNNNNNNNNNNNNNNNNNNNNNNNNNNNNNNNNNNNNNNNNNNNNNNNNNNNNNNNNNNNNNNNNNNNNNNNNNNNNNNNNNNNNNNNNNNNNNNNNNNNNNNNNNNNNNNNNNNNNNNNNNNNNNNNNNNNNNNNNNNNNNNNNNNNNNNNNNNNNNNNNNNNNNNNNNNNNNNNNNNNNNNNNNNNNNNNNNNNNNNNNNNNNNNNNNNNNNNNNNNNNNNNNNNNNNNNNNNNNNNNNNNNNNNNNNNGAUUCAGUACUGUAGAAUUUCUCAAAACAAAACAAAAACAUAUACUAAUCGAAUGAUUAAUCAUUGGAGUGUAGAAUGCAAAGCUUUUUCUUUCUUCAUUUUAAUGAGACAAUGAAUAAAAAUAAGGUGGACCAUGUCUCCUUUCCAACGCACACCUUUCAUCUUUUCUCUUUAUCCCAACAUGUUUCUCAUUCCACUCCACUUUUUUCUUUGUAUGUAUAGUUUAUCUCUUUUAAGAAAUCAAGUAUGAGCAUCAACUGAUAAAUUUUUCUAUACUUUCUUCGACUUGGAGGAGCUUCAUAAUGGGAUAAACAAUCAAGAGUCUGUUUUCACAAUGUUUUUAAAAAGGGUAUUUGAGAUAACUUAAAUGUUUUUGAGGCAAAAUUUUAUUAAGAAUUCAAAUAUAAAAACUAAUUUUCUUUGUUUAUGCAUGUACGAUAUAAAAGUUUUUAAAGUGCUAUUCUCUAUUUUUUCAAUUGUCACUCAAUGAAUUCUAAAAAAAAAAACAAAACUAAAAUACCUUAAAAUCUUUCUAAAAAAUAAUUCAUUUUCAAAACAAAUUCCCAAUAAAAAAAAAUUGUGUUUUCUAUCAUAAUUUUUUGAAACAUAUUUUCUAAGUUAGAAAAUAAUUUUUUAUUCUAAAAGAUUAAUAUAUAUAUUUUCAAGAACAGAUACCAAAUAUAACCUAAUUUUUCUUCUAAGGUUUUUUUCCUUAUGUCUCCGUCUAGUUGUCAUCCAAUGAACAAUCCACUUCAAAUAUUUUUGUGCCAAAGGGUAAAACCGAAGGAGAGAAUUACUCAAACACAGGAGAAUUAAGAAUCAAAGGACAAAAGGGAUUGGAGCAAGGUGAUAACUUUUCUCAGUGAACUUCACUGAUUUGCUCAAAGGCAAGUUGCCAGCAAAAUCAAGGAUAUAAAAUGUGUAUUUCAUCUUUUUUUGUUGGACCCAUUGGGUUUGCUUUUUUUCCCUCUCAAUUUGGGAUUUAAUAUAAUAUAGAUCAGGAUUGAGCAGGUUUCUGUAAAUAAAUCAAAAUGGGCGGCCUUUUUUUAACUUGAUUCCCUCUUUGCUUUCUAGCACAUGAGAAAAAGUAGAGCUAGCCUCACAUGUGCACACUGCACAUGGCAUAGCAUUGGGUACCUAUUGAGUCAUCUCCACCAUAUGAUUAAGCACAGUGGCCCAAAUACUAGCAAUGAAGUUAGAAAAUGCAUUCUUCAUUUUCGUCUCCGAGAGAGUAGGAAAACCAUAUUCUUUCUCUGAUUUUUCAGGAAGAGAGAAGAGACUUCUCACAUAGAGAAUAAAAAAUAAAAAAAUUAUUUAUUUUUAAUAGUGAUAGUUUCUAUGUAGUUUUAAAACUCCCUAAAACUACUUCCCCAUUUUCUCAUUUAUUUGAGUCAGGUCGGGUCAGUCCACUUGGACACCCAAACCCAACUCCAACAUUGUGGAACUUGGAAGUGUAGUUUAUCUCACUGCUGAACAUGAGAACUUUGUUGGACAUGGUGGGACAUCACUUGGGUCUCUUGAACACUGAAGAGCCCAACAUUUAUAUUGUCAUUUAGUUUGCACCAUAUGCAGAGCCCAGUUCAAACAUGAUAUUGAAAAAAGUUCUAUACACAAAUACAGCUGAUGGAUAGGAGAAACAAAACAGAACAUCAGAUGGAUAAAACUUAGUAAACUAAAUAAACGGUAAAGGAUUCAUUGGAUCUCCUCUUAGCUAUCGCCCUUCUCCUAUGGAGGCUACAAGCUCAUUCUUCCAGGAGGCUUCAGCCUUGCUAGAAGAAGAAGCUGUACUAGAAAGGUUCCUCUUUACAACAAAAGCUGGUUCUUUAGGAACGGGCACUGUUGCAGCAUCACUGCUGAGCAGAAGAACUGCAAUGGCCAUGGUGGGACGGUCACUUGGGUCUUCUUGCACACACAACAGCCCAACAUUUACACACCUCGAAAAUUCGUUUGUGUUGCAUGUUUCACUUAGUGUCUGGUCCAUCAACUCCAAAACCUUGUCUUCUUUCCAUAGCUUCCAUGCCUAGAACAGUUCAAAAAGUUGUAGGUCAGAUGAACAGAGAAUGACUAAAAGAUCAGUACAAAUGAAAGAUUCAAAGCUCUUACAUGACCUAGAAGACUCAGAGUUCGGUCAGACUGAUAAAAUCCAGUGUUCCUCUUCCCACUGAUGAUCUCAAGUACCAUAACACCAAAGCAAAAGACAUCAGACUUCUCUGAGAAAUAUCCAUCCAAUGCAUACUCCGGAGACAUAGCCACUGCAUUGAACCAGUUAAAAGCAGCACUCAGCUAAUUGGGAAACGCAAUCAUACAACCGCUUGCCUUUUUCGAUACAAAAUAUACAAUACUUACUAAGUUCCAACUACUCUGUUCGUGUUUGCCUCUACUUGCUUACUGUCAAAAAUCUUUGCCAAGCCAAAGUCUGAAAUUUUGGGAUUCAUCUCAUCAUCAAGUAGAAUGUUGCUUGUUUUUAAGUCCCUAUGAAUAAUCUUCAAUCUUGAAUCUUGGUGAAGAUACAGCAGCCCUCGAGCAAUUCCCAUAAUGAUGUCAAACCGCUUCUCCCAGUUCAGUAACAUGCAUAGGGUUCAAUCUUGCAAGGUUCCCAUUGGAAAGCAUUACUUCAGAUAUGUAUACAAGAAUGAAUAUGUUACAUGAAAAAGAAAAGGGCUUUAAGGCAGGUUUAGAGACAAACCAAAUAUGAAGGAAUCUAAGCUUUUGUUGGGCAUAUAUUCAUAGAGUAAAAUCUUCUCAUCACCUUCAACACAAUAGCCCAAAAGUCUAACCAGAUUCCGAUGCUGAAGUUUGGCAAUUAACACAACCUCAUUCUUAAAUUCCUGUAAGCCUUGUCCUGAAGCUCUAGAGAGUCUCUUAACCGCAAUUUCUCGCCCCUCUAGAAACUUGCCCUGGAAGCCACAGUGCAUAUGCAUUGGGCAUAUGUUAGAACUUGGUGACUUGAAUUCUGUUUGGUUCGACUCCAGAAGCUCGAGAUGCGACAUAGGUAGUAAAACUAAAAUUAUGAAAUUUUUUUGGGUCUGUGGUAGUAACAGAGGGAUCGGACCUAUUACUCUUUCAUGUAUAUAUAUGCAUGCAAUGAUGUAUAGUUUUCAGGGUUAUGAUCAUUAUAUUUUUGCUAUAGUCGUUAGUAUCUCUUUCCUCUUGUACUAAUUUUUGACAUAGUAAAAUUUCUUCUCCUCGUGGUCUUUCCUAUUUAGGGUUUUCCACACAAAUCUAUGUGUUUUUAUCCUGUUUUAUUUCUUAUUGCAUAUUCUCAUUAUUUUGUAACAUCAUAUAUGAUGAGAAAUCAGUUGAAAAUGAGAGGAAUAUGGAAGUUAAGAACAAUUACCUUGUAAACUGGCUCAAAACCCCCUUGUCCAAGCUUAUUUGCAUCUGAAAAGUUUUCUGUAGCAGCCAGUAUGUCUUCUAAGUCGAAAAACGGUACAUCAAUGCCUUUCUUAUCCUCUUCUUUGAAUUGCUCUGAGUCUAUUAAGUGUUUCACACGACUCUCACUAUCAUAUAAGUGAAGCACUUGAUUUGCUCUGUUCUCUGAACUAAAAAAAAAAACAGAAAAUAUUGUAUAGAAGACCCUGAAAUAUUCUCAAUUCAGCCAAGCACAAGUCGAAAAGAAAAGACCAGAAGUUAUAUGGCUAGUGCAUAUGGGAACAAAGAUUACCUUUCCCUUUUGGUGAUGGGUCUUNNNNNNNNNNNNNNNNNNNNNNNNNNNNNNNNNNNNNNNNNNNNNNNNNNNNNNNNNNNNNNNNNNNNNNNNNNNNNNNNNNNNNNNNNNNNNNNNNNNNGAAGGAACUGAAUUGAACUUCUCUCACCUACCCAGAAGGCAAAUUUAGUAAGAUACUGGGAAUGUGGCAGUGUCACUGCUGAGCAUUACAACUGCAACUGCCAUGGUGGGACGGUCACUUGGGUCUUCUUGCACACACAACAACCCAGCAUUCACACACCUCAAAAAUUCUUUUGUGUUGCAUGUUUCGCUUAGUGUCUGGUCCAUCAGCUCCAACACCUUGUCUUCUUUCAAUAGCUUCCAUGCCUGGGACAGUUUGAGAAUAGAAAGUUAAGUAUGGUAUGGUAUAUUGUUGAGAACGACUAAAAGAUCAAUGCAAAUGAGAGAUUCAAAGACCUCACUUGACCCAGAAGGCUCAGUGUUUGGUCAGACUGAUAAAAUCCAGUGUUCCUCUUCCCAUUGAUGAUCUCAAGCACCAUAACACCAAAGCUAAAGACAUCAGACUUCUCUGAGAAAAACCCAUCCAAUGCAUACUCUGGAGACAUAUAGCCAUUGCAUUGAACCAGUUAAAAGCACUACUCUGUUAAUUGGGGAUGCGAUCAUGCAACUACUUGCUUUUUUCUAUACACAAUAUGCAAUACUUACUAAGUUCCAAAAAUAAUUUAUGGUGUCACUUUUAAAAUAAUGACCCAUAUGACUUAAAAUCCAUAAAGGUGACACCUCAUAUAAAAAUUUUCAAUGAAGAUAAAUGAUAUUAAUUUUAAGUUUAUAGUGUCAGUUUUUGAAAAGUAACACUAUAUAAAAUAAAAAUUUUAAAAUACUAUAACUUAAUGAGCCCGAGAAUAAUAAUAGUAUAUAAAAAACUCAUUAUUUCCACAUACCCACAAUCCAAAAAUCUCAUUAUAUAACCCUAACCAUAAUUUUCUUCUACCUCUUCUCACACCCAUAGUUAACACACAACUGCUCUUCUUUACUUCAUGGAUUCUCAAGUAAUCCAAAAUCUCUUAGAUCUAUCAUUUUCAUUUUUUUUCAUUAAUGUCAAAAUCUUUAUUAGCACAAUUGAUUUAUAUUCAUUGAUUUGGUAUAUCUGUGAUGUGGAUUAUGUAAAUAGUGUUUUUUUAUUAAGUUGUAAGAAAGUAAAAAUUAAGUUUAACAUUACACCAUAUCUUCUAUUUCAUUGUUAAACCUAUAAACCUCAAAAUGAAUGAAAAUAAGAUAAAUGAAUGAUUUUUUUUAAUUUAUUUCAUACUCAAGAAUGAGGGAUAAACAUUUUACAGUAUGAAAUUUUCUUUUGAUCUUACAAGAAAUUUCCUUUGAUGCGACUUUCUGUUUGUUUUCUAGGAAUAUUAUAGUAUAUUGUGAUGACGAUAUGUGUUGGUGAUAUUUGAAAAAUAAUUUUUAGAAAGUUAUUCUUAAUAUUGUUAUCUCCCACAAAAGGAAAAAUGAAAUAGUUUCCAUAUCAUGUUGGAGUUGGUUUGGAAUGUUGGAAUUAACAAUGAAAAAUUAAUUUUUUUUUAUUAAUGUAAAAGAAUUGUUUUUUAAAAUUUAAAUAGGAAUGAAAAUUUUUAUAAUUAUAAGAAUGAUCAAAUCUUAUAUUUUAAUUUUUUUAUUCUUUUACAUGGUAUUAUGGUUAAUAUCUUAUCUUGUUCUAUUCAUAUUGUUUCUAUUCUUAAAAUGUGUUUUUUGUUUUUUUGUCUUUACCUUUUUUUAUAUGCGUCGACCAAAAUUUAUAAUUUCCGUUUUAAGGUUAGAAAAUUUCUAUAAAAUCCUUUUACUACAUAAAUUUUUUCAAUUACUUCCAUAAAACUCUUUUUUUUUUUUUUUUUUGGAAAGAAGAAGAAGAAGAUGUUUUAUCUUUUGAUUUUCUAUGAAAUUUCCUUUAAUUGGACUGUUUGUUUAUUUUCUAAGAAUAUUAUAGUAUGUUGUGAUGAAGAUAUUGGUUGGUCAUAUUUGGAAAAUAAUUUUUGAGAAAAUUAUUCUCAAUAUUGUCAUAUCUCGCAAAAGGAUUAUUUUUGCUUUCUUUUCUUAUUGUUUUUAUAUGCAUUGACCAAACUUUGGAGCAAUUUGAAAUUGAUGAUGAAAUUUUCCUUUCAAGGUUAGGAAAUUUCUAUAAAAUCCUUUUAUUACAAAUUUUUUUCCAAUUCUUUCCAUAAAACUCUUCAUUUUCUUCAUUUUUCUUUUUUCUGAAAAAGAUGUUUGAUAAUUUAUUGAUCUAAAGAAUAUUAAAAGUAAAAAAAAUAAAAAUAUUGAAUAUAUUUUCCUUUGAUGUUUUUAAUUUUUUAUUAUUUGAACACAAUUUCAUAUCCAAAUUUUUUAUUAAUUAUUUUAAUUAGAAAAAAGAAAUAUCAAUUGGAGUUUUGACUGAAAAAUCAAUAAUUUUUAUGAAAAGCUCUUUAAUUCUUUCUCAUACUAUUUUUUCUCUUAAUAUUUUUUAAUAAUGAAUUAGGUUUUUUGUCUUAUAUACACAAUUUUCAUGCUUGUUAUAAUAUCAUGUCCUAUCAUAUUAGUAGUUGAAAACAUUUUGAUAUUUUGUUACUAAAAUUUUAUUUUAUGUAAUUGAGAUGAAAUUUAAUGGACAUUGUUAUUUCAUAAAAUGAACAUUAAAAAAAUAUUGAAAUUAAGAAAAUCCUUCCAAGAAAUAUAUAUAUAUAUAUAUAUAUAUAUAUAUAUAAUGUUAAAAAUGAUUUUUAAAAACAUAAUGAAUUAUAAAAAAUAAAUUUAAAAAGUGCAUAUUUUAAGUGGAAGAUUAGUAUUUUCUAAAUUUUAGAUUUAUAUUUUGAUUUGGUAGUUUUGAUUUAUUUUUUAUUUUCUUGAAUUGUUUUUAUUUGAAUUCAAAUGUGACUACUUUGUUAUGAGAUUCAUUAAAGAGAUAAUUGUUGAUUCUAUAGUUAUUGCAUUAAAGGUUUUACUCAUUUAAUGAAUUGCACAUAGUUUCAUACUUCCAAUUAUUGUGAUAUUAAUGUUAUUAUCAUUUGAUUUUAGUUUGAUGAUAAAAAAAAAACAUAUUCUUAAGUAGAAUGUGAUGAAAUUAGAGGAGAAUUGACUACUUUUAUAUUAUAACUAAUCAAGAAUCAUGUUGAUGUAUCGUGAUCAUGCAUGGUGAGUCCCUUAGUUGUUGUAUGAAUUUUCCAUUGGUAUUGUAUAACAUUACUUAUUCUUUACAAAUUAUAUUUAUAUCAAAAUGGAAAAAAGAAAAAAAGAAAACAUUAGUAGUUAGAUUUGUUUAUUUUUUAUAACAUUAAUUAAUUUUUAUUUUUAAUAAAAACUCUAAAACUCAUUAAACUAUGAAAUGCAAGUAUACACUCUUGGAAGGACAGUAUGAAGAAUAAAAAGAAAGGAGAAAGAGACAACAAGAUUUUGGGUUUUUAGAUGUAACUUUUAUGUCAUAUAUUAUAGGACAUAAACGUUACUUUAUUUGGUAUUGAGAAUUUUGGGUUUUUGGAUGCAACACUUGUGUCAUUUUAUGGUUAGCCAGUUUUAUGCAUAUGAAUUGUAGGUAUACAUGAAUGUUGGGAUGCUUAACAUUUCUAUGUCAUGUUUUAAUGUGCAUUCACUUUUCCUUUUUAGUUUUGGUGGGUUUGAUGUACUAUCAUUUUGUGAACAUUUGAUAUACAAAUAUUAUUGGAUGAUUUAAUGUAUUACAGGUUGAUCUUAUUUAUUAAUAAGCAUUACAAAAAUCUAUAGGCUAAUCAAUAAAAAACAACCAUAUAUUCCAUAAUCAUUUACAAUGAUGUGACACCAUAACUCAAAGGUGAUGCAUUUAACGUGACACCAUAACUCAAAGGUGAUGCAUUUAAUAUGACACCUUAUAUAUCUCACACAACUCUAUAUCAAAUUAAGCAUUACUAAAAAUAUAUGGUGCCGCUUCUGAAUGUGUCACCAUUUAUCUACAUUGGUGUCGCUUCCAAAUACAUCACCAAUUGGUACCCUCUAUGGUGUCAGUGGAUAAGGUGACACUAUGUUGUAGUGACACCUUAUGUUUAUAGUGACUCAUUAUAAAUGUCACCAUAUAUCUUUUUCCUUGUAGUGUAUUCACCCCCUCCCCCUCUAGGUGUAGUCCAUUAUUGAGAUUCACCUUUUCAUCAUCCAUCCACAUGCCAGGAAGAAAAGUAUCAGUAAGAUUAUGGAAGCUCUCCCAAAGAAUCUCCCCUGAUCUGUUGUCACUUAAAACAAGGUUCCCGGAGUCCAUGAGCUUCAUCACCAUGCCUGUAGAUAAAGAUGUCUCAGUAUUAGAAGACCAAUGAACUUUCCCAUUUUCAUCCAAUAAUUUGAGCUUACCAUCGUCUUUAAUGGCAAAAACUCCAAAGGGGGGAUCAAAAAGGGGAAGGGGGCUGUCUCGGUUGGCCACCCAUACAACUCUUUGUGGUUUCAACAAGUAAUACCAUAUGCCAAUGUAUUUUCCAUUGUUGAACCUUCCAUCCGAAUUAAAGAAGCCAAGUUCAAAAGUUUUGCCUACAGAAACAAGAGUUCCUCCAUCAUUUCUAAGCCAAUCCUCUGGUGUGAUGGUAUCUCUAGCAGAGCAAUAUAGGACAGAACAUAAGAAAAAGAUGGUUGAUAGCAUGUGAGUUGUAGAGACAGGAACCAUGAAUUUUCUUCUUAUCAUUUUGCCCUCUAUUGUUGUUAGUCAAAGAACCAUGAAGAGUUGCAGAGACAUGAACCACGAAUUUUCUUCUUAUCAUUUUGCCCUCUAUUGUUGUCAGUCAAAGAACCAUGAAGGGUUUGCUACUGUUGUAUUGCACUCUCAUUUUUAAUGGAGACUUUUCCUUUUAACUCUUGAGUGGAGAAAAUUCAUAUCAGUAUUCUUAUCUUGAUUUCCCUUUUUGAUGCAUAGCUUUCAUCUCUGGACUUUUGUGGCAACUUGAGUCUUUAAGAUGGCAACUUUAAUAUGCUUCCUGGUGUCUUCCAAGUAUUGACGUUUUGUAUGCAUCACCCUCCUCCUUCUACACCAAUUUGUUUCUUUGUAUGUAUAGUUUUAUCUCUUCUAAGCAAUAAAGCAUAUGGCAUCAACCAAUAAAUUUUUCUGUACUUUCUCCAAUUUGGAGGAGCUUCGUAAUGGGACAAACAAGAAAAAUUAGAAGUUUAUUUGGCAAUGCUUGUAGAAACAGUUUUUCAUAACAAUGCUAAGAAACAGUUCUCAAAUGUUUCGACUAACUCAAAUAUAAGAACUAGUUUUCUUUGUUUAUUCUCUUACGUACAAAGCGAAAGUUUAAAAAAUAUUCUUUAUUUUAUAAAUUUUUAUCCAAAGAACUCCAUAAAAAUGAAAAAAAUUACAAACACCUCAAAAUGAUUCUAAAAUAUAAUUCAUCUGCAUAACAAAUUUGGCAAAAAAAAAAAUCAUUUUUCAUCAAAUGUCUAUCAAACGUGUUUUCUAAUUAACAAAAAAAUUUUCUGUUUAAAUAAAAAAAUCUAAAAUAACUACUAAACAUACCCUGAUUUUUGUUUUAAGCUUUUUUCCUUCUCAUGUCUUCUAAUUGCCAUGCAAUGAAUUAUCCACUUCAAACAUUUUUGUGCCAAAGGUAAAGCAAAGGAGAGAAUUACUAAAACAAACCCAGGAAAAUUAAGAAUCAAAGGACAAAAGGGGUUCAAGGAAGUGAUAAAUUUUCUCAAUGAAUUAACUUCACUAAUUGCUCAAAGGCAAGUUGUCAAUUGUUACAGAAUAGUGAAUAUAGGAAAUAAGAAAAACAAAAUAUGAACAUAUAGAUUUGUGUGAAAAAUCCUAAACGAGAAAAACCACGGACGGAUGAGAAGAAGAUCCACUAUAUCAAAAAUUGGUAUAAGAGGAGAGAGUUACGAGCGUCUAUAGCAUAACCCUAAAAAUACAUCAUCACAUAUACACACACAUAUGUAUAUAUAUAUAAAGCAGGUUCAUACUUUUGAAUUCAUUUAAUCUUUAUAUAAUGAAGGAAAGUAAAAUAAAUUAGAAAAAACAUAUGAAAUAAUUUAUUAACUUCGAAUUUAUUUUUUUAUUUUCUUUUGUUUUUUCCUUUCUUCUAUUUUUCCUCUCUAUUUUUUUUUUUCCAUAUUUUGCCUUAUAUUUUUUGAGAACCAAAUAUAGUCUUAAAGUUUCUUGGAAACUUUGGACUUUAGAAAAAACUUAACCUUUUUUUCUUGGGAAUAAUUUUCUAGAUUUGAGGUACAUUAUCUUAGGGGUGUACUAAGCAUGCCAAAAUACUUUCAAAAUCUAACUCCUAUUUUUUGGAAAGUUAUGAAUUAAUAUUUCUAUUUUUUUUUUUUUUUUUUACUCUUUCCAAAUCUAAUUUUACUAGGAACCAAAUUUGUGAAUUUUUGCACAAAAUCCUAUCCAAGAGAGGAUCUUUUAGAAAUCUCAUCCAUUCUAUAUUUAAUUGGUAGAGAAUUAAAACCACGGUUGUGCAAAAAGCAUAUGAACAAAUAAAAUUAGACCAAGAUAUAUAUCUAUAUAUCUAUAUCUAUAUAUAUAUAUAUAUAUAUAUAUAUAUAUAUAUCAAUGAUUCAACUUAGAAGAAUAAUGCAUUAGAUUUCUACACUUUGAGUAGUUGCCUUGAUUAAGUCCAAUUACUAGAAGCCAAGGUCAAGGUCAUCGAAGUUUGUCCAUUCUCUUUCAUAAUUUCUUUUUUCCUCACUAAAGGAGAGAAUAUCUCUUUUACAAAUCUUGUCUAUUCUUGAUUGAUUUGGUAGAGAAUUUAAAAAAGGGUUGUGCCAAAAGCAUGUCAACAAUUUAAAAUGGACCGAGAGACGAAACUUCUCAAUGAGUGGAUGUAUAUCUUUGUCAAUCCUUCAACUUUGAAGAAUAAUGCAUUAGACUUCUAUGCUUUAAGUAGUUUCCUUGAUUGAGUCCAAUUAUUAGAAGCCAAAGUCAAGGUCAUCGAAGUUUGUACAUUCUCUCUUGUGGUCCCAUGGUAUUUGCUCUUUUUUACCUCAUUAGAGGAAAAAACAUUAACACAGCUUCAUGUGGGAACCAACCUUUCUUUUAGCAUCCAUGAUAGUUUUUCUUCCCAAUAAUUAGAAAAAGAUUCAUGAGGACCCCAUAUGAGAACUAUUAUUGGUGAUUGUAUAUAGAAAUAAAGAGAAUUCAUUUAUCCUAUAAAAAACAACCCCUUCCUAACGAUUAUAUAAUUUAUUGGUAACAAUGUGAUAGAAAAUUUUGAGACACAUAUUAUAGAUGAAUCUUGGUUAUGGAUUAUAGUUAGAGGGGNNNNNNNNNNNNNNNNNNNNNNNNNNNNNNNNNNNNNNNNNNNNNNNNNNNNNNNNNNNNNNNNNNNNNNNNNNNNNNNNNNNNNNNNNNNNNNNNNNNNNNNNNNNNNNNNNNNNNNNNNNNNNNNNNNNNNNNNNNNNNNNNNNNNNNNNNNNNNNNNNNNNNNNNNNNNNNNNNNNNNNNNNNNNNNNNNNNNNNNNNNNNNNNNNNNNNNNNNNNNNNNNNNNNNNNNNNNNNNNNNNNNNNNNNNNNNNNNNNNNNNNNNNNNNNNNNNNNNNNNNNNNNNNNNNNNNNNNNNNNNNNNNNNNNNNNNNNNNNNNNNNNNNNNNNNNNNNNNNNNNNNNNNNNNNNNNNNNNNNNNNNNNNNNNNNNNNNNNNNNNNNNNNNNNNNNNNNNNNNNNNNNNNNNNNNNNNNNNNNNNNNNNNNNNNNNNNNNNNNNNNNNNNNNNNNNNNNNNNNNNNNNNNNNNNNNNNNNNNNNNNNNNNNNNNNNNNNNNNNNNNNNNNNNNNNNNNNNNNNNNNNNNNNNNNNNNNNNNNNNNNNNNNNNNNNNNNNNNNNNNNNNNNNNNNNNNNNNNNNNNNNNNNNNNNNNNNNNNNNNNNNNNNNNNNNNNNNNNNNNNNNNNNNNNNNNNNNNNNNNNNNNNNNNNNNNNNNNNNNNNNNNNNNNNNNNNNNNNNNNNNNNNNNNNNNNNNNNNNNNNNNNNNNNNNNNNNNNNNNNNNNNNNNNNNNNNNNNNNNNNNNNNNNNNNNNNNNNNNNNNNNNNNNNNNNNNNNNNNNNNNNNNNNNNNNNNNNNNNNNNNNNNNNNNNNNNNNNNNNNNNNNNNNNNNNNNNNNNNNNNNNNNNNNNNNNNNNNNNNNNNNNNNNNNNNNNNNNNNNNNNNNNNNNNNNNNNNNNNNNNNNNNNNNNNNNNNNNNNNNNNNNNNNNNNNNNNNNNNNNNNNNNNNNNNNNNNNNNNNNNNNNNNNNNNNNNNNNNNNNNNNNNNNNNNNNNNNNNNNNNNNNNNNNNNNNNNNNNNNNNNNNNNNNNNNNNNNNNNNNNNNNNNNNNNNNNNNNNNNNNNNNNNNNNNNNNNNNNNNNNNNNNNNNNNNNNNNNNNNNNNNNNNNNNNNNNNNNNNNNNNNNNNNNNNNNNNNNNNNNNNNNNNNNNNNNNNNNNNNNNNNNNNNNNNNNNNNNNNNNNNNNNNNNNNNNNNNNNNNNNNNNNNNNNNNNNNNNNNNNNNNNNNNNNNNNNNNNNNNNNNNNNNNNNNNNNNNNNNNNNNNNNNNNNNNNNNNNNNNNNNNNNNNNNNNNNNNNNNNNNNNNNNNNNNNNNNNNNNNNNNNNNNNNNNNNNNNNNNNNNNNNNNNNNNNNNNNNNNNNNNNNNNNNNNNNNNNNNNNNNNNNNNNNNNNNNNNNNNNNNNNNNNNNNNNNNNNNNNNNNNNNNNNNNNNNNNNNNNNNNNNNNNNNNNNNNNNNNNNNNNNNNNNNNNNNNNNNNNAGUCCAAAUACAAGCGAUGAGGUUUGACAAUUUUAUGCUAUGCAAUUAAUGAUAAUGUAGAGAGGACCAAAAAAACAGAAGAGCUUCCUAUUGACACUCAUUAGGAAAAAAAAUUACAUUGAAGCAUAAGAAUAAAUACUCCAUAAAAUUCAAUUUUAAUGAAAUUAUAUAAUACAAAUGAAAAUGAUGUUGUUAAAGAGCAUGGUAUAUAUUGUGAACUCAAAUUCUACAAGUUAACCUUUUAGAAAAAUUGGUAAUUGAGUAGAGCUUGGUUUGACGGGAGGUCAUGUGUUCAAGAGUCGCUUCUCCCCAAUUUGCAUAUUUAUUUCCUCCUAGGCUACCAAUGAUCUCAUUCUUGGAGCAUGUGUUUCUGGUUUGGUAGAAGAAGCAGCAGCCCUACUAUAGAACAGUGGAAGAAGCAUUGGAAUCUUUGUCCCUUCUUCAAGGUCUUUAGAUUUUUUCAAUUUGUUUUCUUUUCAAUUCUCAUGCAUACAUCUAAUUUUCCACUUCCAUAAUAUUUCAACCUCUGGAUGUGAAAUAGUAUUUGUAGAUCAAUCAAAAGUAUUCCAACGUAAUAUGUCACUAUAUAAUAAUCCAAUAUUUCAACCUCUAUAUCUGAAAUAGUAUAUGUAGAUCAAUCAAAAGCAUCCCACCAUGUAUAUUCAGCUAAUGUAAUCGUUACCACCAACAAAACUAAUUAUUGGUUUCAUUUUAAGAUGUUAUAGCUAAUAAAUCCCUACUUUCCUUACCAUCAAUUACUCAAUAGAUAUCAUGCUUCAAUUUAUUCUUAAUUCCAACGGUAAAUCACUGGUAAUAGAAGGCAUGAUAUACAUAUAUAGGGUCAUUUCUUUGAGUGACUUUACUCAAAAGGAUGGUCUUGAUUACAACUAGCAAAUUCUGUUUAUAAGAAGACCCUAUACAAAACUCACAUGGCUAUGAUCAUUACUUGAGUCACUAUCACACAGAAUUCAUACCAGUUUUGUUUACAAAUUGUUCUUAGGAAGAACAUAUUCCAACUGGGGGCUAAUACAAGUAGAGGUUCCAAGCUACAGACCAAGAAGGUAUGUACCAACAGAUACCUAGCUAGGAUUGCUUCUUCUAGUAACGGUUGGUUAUUAACACAUAAAAAUGUGAGCAGGCAACUAAGUUGGAACCUUAUAGACACCGUUAGUCUCCCUAGCUUAUGAUAAAGAAUCUUUAAGGCCAUUAAGUCAACAGUUCACACUUACUAACUAGGUUUUUCUCUUUGUCGUGACUUUUUUUUUUUCUUAUGCUUUUGGUAGAGCCUUGGUUAACACAUCUGCAAUUUGAUCCUCAAUCUUGCAAUAAAGCAGUUUAACUUCACCAUCCUUUUGUUCUUCUCUUAAGUGAUACAACUUGAUCUUGAAAUGCUUAGUCUUGCCAUGAAAAACAUAAUCAUUUGAAAUUGCAAUUGCAGCUUGGUUAUCUACAUGAAUCUGUGUUGGCUCAUUUUGCUUCAUGUGUAGAUCUGCAAGUAUUUUUCUGAUCCAAAUUGCUUGAUUUACAGUAGCAUUGGCUGCUAUAUAUUCUGCAUCUGCUAUACUUUGAGCUAUCACAUCUUGCUUCUUUAAGGACCAUGAAAAAAUUCCAAAUCCGAAGCUGAAACAAAAUCCUGUGUACUUCUCAUGUCAUCAAUAGAACCUGCCCAAUCACUAUCAGAAUAACCAUGACGUUUUAAAUUNNNNNNNNNNNNNNNNNNNNNNNNNNNNNNNNNNNNNNNNNNNNNNNNNNNNNNNNNNNNNNNNNNNNNNNNNNNNNNNNNNNNNNNNNNNNNNNNNNNNNNNNNNNNNNNNNNNNNNNNNNNNNNNNNNNNNNNNNNNNNNNNNNNNNNNNNNNNNNNNNNNNNNNNNNNNNNNNNNNNNNNNNNNNNNNNNNNNNNNNNNNNNNNNNNNNNNNNNNNNNNNNNNNNNNNNNNNNNNNNNNNNNNNNNNNNNNNNNNNNNNNNNNNNNNNNNNNNNNNNNNNNNNNNNNNNNNNNNNNNNNNNNNNNNNNNNNNNNNNNNNNNNNNNNNNNNNNNNNNNNNNNNNNNNNNNNNNNNNNNNNNNNNNNNNNNNNNNNNNNNNNNNNNNNNNNNNNNNNNNNNNNNNNNNNNNNNNNNNNNNNNNNNNNNNNNNNNNNNNNNNNNNNNNNNNNNNNNNNNNNNNNNNNNNNNNNNNNNNNNNNNNNNNNNNNNNNNNNNNNNNNNNNNNNNNNNNNNNNNNNNNNNNNNNNNNNNNNNNNNNNNNNNNNNNNNNNNNNNNNNNNNNNNNNNNNNNNNNNNNNNNNNNNNNNNNNNNNNNNNNNNNNNNNNNNNNNNNNNNNNNNNNNNNNNNNNNNNNGUCAUUCUUUCAAUCAUUCUAAGCUCUCUUUCAUUGCUCAGUCCACUUGUCAUCUUCUUUGCCUCUUCAAAUUCUGCAGGCUCAAAAACAACAACAUUACUUCUUUCAUAAACAUCAGAUAAGGACCUUGUACCUCUAACUAGGGCAUCAUCUAUGUUUUCAUCAAAGUAUUGCGGAACCUCUGGUAGUUGCAUCUUUAUUGACUCCUCCCAAUUCCAUUGUCUAUCCUCUAUGAACUUGACAUCUCUACUUACAAGAAUUUUUCCAUUUUGUGGUUGGAAAAUUCUGUAAGCCUUGGAAGAGUUGCUAUAUCCAAUGAAAACUCAUGGUUCUGCCUUCUUAUCAAGUUUGUCUCUUUUCACCUGUGGCACAUAAGAAAAACAAAGACAACCAAAAGUUCUUAGAUUCUGCAAAUCUGGUUUAUAACCAAACCAGGCUUCAAAUGGAGUUUUUUUUUUUGCAAAACUCUAGUUGGCAGCCUAUUCAGCAAAAAACUGCAGUGUUUGCAGCCUCUGCCCACAAUUUCUUUGGCAACUCCUUCUCAUGUAGCAUACACCUUGUCAUCUCCAUAAUACUUCGAUUUUUUUCUCUCACUUACUCCAUUUUGUUGUGGAGUGUAAAGUGUUGUGAGUUGGUGCUCAAUACCGGCUUCUUCAUAGAACUUAUCAAAAAUUUCAUUUGUGUAUUCUUUCCCAUUAUCUGACCUUAUCUUCUGCAUCCUGCAACUGCUUUGAUUCUCCACCCAUGCUUUAUAUUUCCAAAAUACAUUAGGAACCCCAUAUUUGGAUUUGAGGAAAUAAAUCCAACAAAAUCUGGUAUAAUAAUCAAUAAAUGCAAUGUAGUACUUAUUACCAUUUAAAGAUGGUGUUUUCUGAGGUCCUCCAACAUCUGUAUGUACCAGUUGCAGCUUGUGCAUUGCUCUCCAUGUUGUUUGAGGGAAGGGUUUUCUAGUUUGCUUUCCAUAUUGGCAAGCCACACAAUCAGCUAGCUUGUCUUGUAGCAAUGGCACACCUUUCACCAAAUUAUGUUUCUGCAUAUAUAGAAGUCCAACAUGGUGGAAAUGCCCGAGCCUUCUGUGCCAUAAUUUUGCAUUGCGUUCAAUGCUUGAAAUGCUAUUUGCUCAUCCUCCAUUAGAUUUAGAGCAAAGCUUUUUGCUCUCAUUUUCACUUUGAAUACAUCUCUACCUUUCGCGUCUUUGAUCAAGCACCAUUUGUCUUCAAAUAUGACUUUGAAACCUUUUUCAGUUAGCUAUCCAACACUAAGCAGGUUUUGAUCAAUGUCAGGCACAUAUAAAACAUUAGUAAUAUACUUCAAACCUAUUAAGCUUUCUAUAGCCACAGUUCCUUCCUUUACCCUUAACUGAAAUAAAUUCACCAUUUCCAAUUUUUAGCUUGGAGAUAAUAGUUUUAUCAAGCUCCUUAAAGAGCUCUUGGUCAUUGGUCAUGUGGUUUGUGCAGCCACUAUCAAUCAACCAAGAAUUGCUAGAGUUGUUACUUGUUGUGAAGCAUGUUGCAACAAAAAGUUGCUCUUCUUGAUGUUGCUUAGUAGAAGCUGUAGGGACUCCUCCCUCUGAGAACACGUGGCACGCAUCUUACAGUGACACGUGGCACGCAUCUUACAGUGACACAUGGCACGCAUUGUCAUCCGGGUCAUCCUCAUCCGGAUCUUCCUAUAAAGCACACAUGGCGCACUUUUUAUCCGGACUGCCUCAAGGAAGGGCAAACGACGCUUACAAAGCAUAGACAUCCGGACGACUUCCAUUAAUGCGUCUGCUCCACAAUACAUCCGGAUAACCAACAUGGACUAUCCGGAUAUGAUUGUCCGGAUCAUUAACUAAAGUAAAGCAAAUCUUAUACUGAUUCGAUGCCCAGCCGGGUCUUUUAAUCAAAAACAUUUAUAAAACCUAUGACCUUAUACUGGUGUAGCAAAGCUACUAUAGUAUAGUAGUUCUAGGGUCGAACUCAGGGAUGGGUUUUCACUCUAUCAAUGACAGACUCUAAAUUAGAAAUUGAUUCUGAUGAUUUCCUUUAGCACAAACUUGAAAUUUAAAAGAAAAUAAAAUUGUUUUGAAAGUGAUGAUUUAAACUAAACUCACAUAGAACUAAGUAAAAAGUGUAAGAAAGAAAGUCUCCCGGAGCUGAAGGUUGCUAGGUUCAAGUGCCAGAUGCAAAGUGGAAAAUUUCGGAUUUUUCUCCUCACAUUGGGGAUUUAACCUAUAGUUAUUUCCUGAACCGGUAUAGGUUUGACAAUGAAGUUUUAAUCCAUAAAAAGUCACUAGAGAUGGUAGUCAAGGUCCAUUAAUGGCUUAAGACACUAUGGGCUAUCACCUUGAAUCACUUUCCAAUGGCUCGUACAUGAUAACUAAUGGACUGAUAUGGAUCUAGUAAUAAGCAUCCACAGAGACCUUAAACUUACCAUGUAUUGGCCAGUCAAAGUGAUUCAAAGGAAUUUAAGGCAAAACCUUGGCUUUAUAAACCAUNNNNNNNNNNNNNNNNNNNNNNNNNNNNNNNNNNNNNNNNNNNNNNNNNNNNNNNNNNNNNNNNNNNNNNNNNNNNNNNNNNNNNNNNNNNNNNNNNNNNNNNNNNNNNNNNNNNNNNNNNNNNNNNNNNNNNNNNNNNNNNNNNNNNNNNNNNNNNNNNNNNNNNNNNNNNNNNNNNNNNNNNNNNNNNNNNNNNNNNNNNNNNNNNNNNNNNNNNNNNNNNNNNNNNNNNNNNNNNNNNNNNNNNNNNNNNNNNNNNNNNNNNNNNNNNNNNNNNNNNNNNNNNNNNNNNNNNNNNNNNNNNNNNNNNNNNNNNNNNNNNNNNNNNNNNNNNNNNNNNNNNNNNNNNNNNNNNNNNNNNNNNNNNNNNNNNNNNNNNNNNNNNNNNNNNNNNNNNNNNNNNNNNNNNNNNNNNNNNNNNNNNNNNNNNNNNNNNNNNNNNNNNNNNNNNNNNNNNNNNNNNNNNNNNNNNNNNNNNNNNNNNNNNNNNNNNNNNNNNNNNNNNNNNNUGUUAAUGGGGUUAAAAGGUAAUAAUUACUACUCAAGGGUGUUUAAAAGAGCUAAUUACAAGCUACAAAAUAGCAUGUUUUGAGUAGUAAUCAUACACGCUAUCACAACAACCAACCAUGGCCCACGUCCCAUCACCUGCAGAGUGAAAGGACGGGUUGAGGUGACAACAAGUCACUUCCCACGAUCGUUCUACAUGAUCACUUUCUACAAUCUCUGAUAGCCGCAUCACCUACCACGGUUUCUGACAGCCGCCCGUAGGGUGGUGAUGACCCUGCUUCCAUCUAAAUAUCAUCAUGACAACAUGAAAUAUCUCCCCACCAUUAAUGAGAGGAACAGUACUCCUGGCACUAUAUAUAAACCUUCACACGAAGAGGAAGGUAAUCGCCUGAUACCUAGAAAAAGGCCAACUGAUUUAUAUCUCCCUCUCUAACCAUGGCUAACAAAAUCAUCGGAGGGUGCGUCCGGACACCCUGUCCGGAUGCCUUUUGCAGGUAUAACGACUGAAUCAAGAACCUAUUUUGGUUGAGGUCGCGCAUCCAUCCAUUUGGCAACUACGUGGAACACCAGGAGCGCGAGGUAUCAACAUAAGUUUUUGCCUCUUCAUGUUGUCGUGACUUGCAAAUCCACUCCAUGUGUCCAAUCUAACCAUAUUUCUUGCACUUGACAUCAGGCCUCCACCAACACUUCCUUUGUGGGUGAUUUGUCUUUUUGCAGUGUAGGCAAGGUGGAUAGGUUCCAUCCUUGUUUUUGUUGUUGUUGUCAGUCUUGUUGAUCUUCUUCUUAUUGUUGUUUUUCUUGUUUUUGCCUCAUCUUGAAUUUUAUGCCUUUGCUUGAAGAGCACCCUCCAUCGAUUCUUCUUUUCUUAUCAUUCUCCUUUGCUCUUGUGCCUGCAAUGCAUUCACCAAUUCUACCAAGGAUAUGCUUGACAAAUCCUGCAUAUAUACUUGAGUGUUGCAUUUACAACACACUGAAAGAGAAGUUCACCUAUAUCAGAAACUGCCACACGCACAUAGAGAUCAUGGCCGCCAUCCAAAUACGCCUCCUGAAUGUCAUUAAGAUUUUCCUCCCAAAUCAUACUGAUGGCGGUGUCUGCACGAGUCUCGGCUUCAACAUAGGCAUAAGCCUGGCAGUUGUUACAGUCUCUGUUGCAGUGAUUUUCGCAUUCUUUUUCAUUUGUAGUACUGUUGAACUGUGUGUCUGAUUUUUUCACUCUCAUCAUCUCUAGCCUCAAAAAAGUGUCAUUCUUGCUGCACAGGGGUGAAAUUCUUCUACAGCCCCCCGAAAAAUCUCCACCAUUCCACUUUGCUGGAAAUUUUGGUUGGAAUCCUGGCAAACACCUGCACAAAAUCCUAUUUCUAGUACUGCAGCUGCCAAAACUUCCACAGGGAUUAUUCCCAUCGCAUCUGUCUUUUGGUUCCUUCAAAAGCGAAUACCAAGCCCGUCUGAUUACGGAUCUGUAGAUACUCUAUCUGGCCGGAAAAUUUCAUCACCAACCUCCUAUAAUAAAAAGAGGUUGUUGGUUGGCUACUAUUAAUGCUGGAAUUUGAUAACAUUUUGGAUAAUUCAGAAUACAUCUUAUGGUCCCAACCGGAUGUAAUGAAAUCAUCUGAUAUCCCACUCUUCCAGUAUGUAUUAGGCCCAUUCUGGAUGAUGUACAGGUUCUGUGCUACUUGAUCUUUCCUGAAAGUGAAGUUCCCCGAACCCGGGUCACUGCUGCUUUUCCAUGAAGUCAACACCAAGUUGCCAUCCAUCUUCAUACCUGGAAGAAAAGUAUCAGUUGCGUUUCCAAAGCUUUGCCACAGACUUGUUGGCAGCUGAUCAUUCUUCAGAACCAGGUUCCCGGAAUCUAUGAGCUGCGCUAGCUACCUUUUCUGUAGAUGACGAUUUCUGGAGAGGGGUUGACCAGAAAGGUCUCCCUCUUCCAUUCGAAUUCAACACGAGGUUACCAUCUUGAAUGGACAAAUCUCCAGUGGAAUCAGGCAGUGGGUCGUUUCUAUUGGCUACCCACACAACGGUUUUCGUCUCCAACCUGUAAUACCAUAUACCAACAUAUCUUUGGUGACUAGACUCCCAUUAGGGGUGAAGAACCCCAAUUCAAAUGUCUUACCAGCAGACAAGAGAGUUAUCACCAUCACCAUCACUGAUCGGAUCAUUCUGCCUUAUGGUAUCUCUUGCUGCACAUGUUUGAUAACAACACAACAAUGUUGGGUACAAGAUGAAGAUGGUAGAUACCAUGUGAAANGUUGUUGACCAUNNNNNNNNNNNNNNNNNNNNNNNNNNNNNNNNNNNNNNNNNNNNNNNNNNNNNNNNNNNNNNNNNNNNNNNNNNNNNNNNNNNNNNNNNNNNNNNNNNNNNNNNNNNNNNNNNNNNNNNNNNNNNNNNNNNNNNNNNNNNNNNNNNNNNNNNNNNNNNNNNNNNNNNNNNNNNNNNNNNNNNNNNNNNNNNNNNNNNNNNNNNNNNNNNNNNNNNNNNNNNNNNNNNNNNNNNNNNNNNNNNNNNNNNNNNNNNUCUUAAAAUCUUGACUAAACACAAAGUCAUAGUUUAAAAUUUUAUCGAAUGCCUCUAAUACUUUAAAUCAAGUGAAACGUGAAUGAAAUUAACAAAUAAGAAGAAUAAGAAAUAUAGUUUCACACUUAAGUAACAACUAAUACUAUAGAGAAAUGACCACAAGUUGGAAAGUCUUGACCAAUUUGAAAAAUCAUUUGAUGUAGUUGAAAUAAUUGAAUUUUGGAUAAAAUUCAUAACUGUCUCAACAUUAUUUUUUUUCCCUUUUUAUUUUUAUUGUUUGAAUAUUCAAGAGUUAAAACCAUUCCAAUGCUCCUUUUUGCCAUGUAUAAUUAAACUGAACCAACAAUUAGGAUAAGCACGAAAAAGAAGGAACCGAGAAGAAGAUAUCAACAAUAUUAAUCGGUUUUAUUAUGGGACAACUCAUGAUGUUCAUAUUGAUCUAUUAUGCGCCUUUGCAUCUAGCAUUAGCUAGACUCAUACUGUCCUAGCUCUACUAUAUCUUUUAUUUCAUUUCGAUCUUCUGAAACAAUCACAAACACUUUUCAUUAUUAUUAUUAUUAUGAAUCAAAUGGGACAUAAAUGAAAUUAACAAAUGAGAAGAGUGAAAAAGGUAAUUAACAAAAUUUCAAGCUCAUCGUUGCUAAAUAUUUUAUAAAUUAAAAUUGCCCAAGAAACGAGCCUUUAAAAGUGUACCUUUAUUUAAAAAUAAAUAAAGGUAAAUUAAAGUAUUGACUUAGUACAUAAAUAUCAACACGAUUCCAAUCCAACGCAUUUUUUUGUGGGUUUUGGUUGAAUAUAAUUCUAUUUAUAUCAAAUCCGUAUCAACUUGUGUAAUAUAUUUUACUAAUAGGUUAUUUUUAAAUCAACAUACAUAACACGAAUUUGACUCAAGUUAACCUUUAUAUUUAAUAAUCAUACCAAUUAACCUAAUUAUAAUUCUAACCGUUUAAUUAAUAUUUGAUUCAUUUUAAAUUUAUUUUUGAACAAAUAGUUAAUUAAAUUAUAACUAUAUUAACUUGUAAGAUUAAUUAUAUAAAUUUAUACAAAACUUAACUCAAUUAAAAAUUUGAUUUAAAUGAGUUAAAUAAAUUACAAAACAUGUUAUUUGUUUAAUAAUUACAUUGUAUUUAGGUUUAUGCUUUUUACUUUAUUAAUAUCAUUAUUAUGAUUGAGUCAACCUAUUUAGUAGAAUGUUUUAGUCUUGAUAUCACACAAAUUGUCAUCCCUAUCUCUAAUCUUGUCAAACAAAUAGUUUGAAGGACAUAUUUUUUUAACUAAAGAAAAUUAUUACCUUACAUAGAGUUUUAUUAAAAAAAAAAAAAAAAAAAGCCAAAUAAAAAAAUGUAAUUAAAAAUAAUUAGAAAUUUAUGCAUUUUCAAAUUAUUUAAUAAAUUUAAAGAAGUGAAAUGGAUUUAAAUUGACUUAUAAAAAUAAGUUAUCAACUUCAAUUUUUUUUUCUUUCUAAUUUUUUUUUAAAUUUUUUUCCCUCACAUUUUUUUUCAUAGUUAUAGGAAACCAAACAUAACCUAAUUAGGAUCCUACUAUCAUGUUUUUUUAUUCCCAAAAGUUUUUGGGUCUAACCUUUUUCUAAACUUAUUUCAAAGGGCAUCUAUAACACAAGAUAUUAAGUGUGCUUGCUCGACAUGUAGUCUUUCAUUGAUUUCCUUUUCGAUUAAAAACUUUUAGACAAGUCAGAUAUAUAGUUUUUGCUUUCUUAACAGAAACCAAAGUCUAAGGUGGUAUUUGUUUUUUUACUUAAUUCUAAAUAGAACCUUAAUACUUAAUAGUAUUAAAUAUUAGGUUGUUUGUUUUUGUAGUAUUUUAUUUUUAUUAAGUAUUAAAAAGUAAAAAAAAUCAUUGUGUUAUUUUUUCUAUUUAGAAAAAGCCACAUAUUUUGGCUUUUUCUAUUUAGUAAAAAGUUUAUAAUAAGUAAUGAAAAAGUAAAAAAACAAACAACCUAAAUUCUAAAACUAAAUGGUUUUCAGCAAAAAGCCAAAAAAACAAACACCACCUAAGUCUUUGCACAAAAUCCUAAUCAAAGAGAUCUUUUAGAAAUCUUAUUGGAAGAGAAUUUAAAACCAGAGUGGUGACAAAAGCACACGAACAAAUAAAACUGGACAAAGAAAUUAAGCAUCUCGAUGAGUUGAUAAAUAUCUUUGUCAAUACUUCUACUUGAGAGAGAAAUACAUUAGAUUUCUACACUUUUGAAUAGUUGCCUUGAGUGACUCCAAUUAUUGGAAGCCAAGGUCAAGGUCGUUGAAGUUUGUCCAUUUUUUCCCCUUGGUCCCACAUUAUUUGCUUCUCCUUAAUUUCCUCCGGUUUGGGAAAAGGACAUUCACACGGUUUGGUGUAGGAACCACCCUUUCCUUUAGUAUCCAUGAUUACUUUUCUACCCAAUAAUGAGGAAAACAUUUAUGAAGGCCCCAUGUGAGGACUAUUAUUGGUGACUCUAGAAAUAGAGCUAUUCAAUUUCCCUCAUAAAUAGUGUAACAUCCAAAAUAAACUUUAGAGACAAAAUAGUAAAUUAUUAAUUAAUUAAACUCAUUAAAAAUAAACGAGUCAUUUUACAAUUAAAAAUCGUAUCAAUUAGAUUUUCAGUUUAUCUUCUUUAUUUAGAAAACUUUAUUAACAAAAAAUCAAAGAAUUGAAGAACGUAAGGUUAAAGAUUUGGAAGUCUAUAGUUUGAAGUUCAAUUAUUUUUUUUCAAGUAAGAUUCUAACUCUAGAUUAAUAUAUUAUAUUCAUUAGUUAGUUUUGACUGUGUUAGAUAUUUUUAGAAAAUUUUAAUUUAGAUUAUAAUUAGUUUAUUUAAUUUAUUUUAAGAUAUAAAAAAUUGAAAUUAUGAAUGUUGUUUCAUUGAUGAAAAUAGAGAAAUUCAAAAUUUUUUUAGAUGAAUAAAUCUAAACAAUGAAAUUUAAAAAAAUUAAAUGAUUAAAUAAGUAUAUGAUUAUAUGUGGCUUAAGGGAUUGAAAAAUAAUAAAAAGAAGAAUAGCAUGUUUUUGGAUUUUGGAUUUGAGGAACUUUUUAAUAAUAAAAAUAAUUAAGGUUUAUGAUUAAUAAGAAUAAUGAUAAUAAUGAUAUUAAUAAUAAUAAGAAGAAGAAUUGUGUGAAGAAUAAUUUCAUUUUCAACGUAGAAAUGUGAUUGUCAAGGCCUCAGUGAAGAGAACGGUAACGGACCCUGCUGUAAACGACGAUGGGUCACGAGCAAAUGGUGAAAUUGCGGAUGAACCCCAUAACUGUAAAGUGCUUUUGACGCGUAAUGGGUUCCACCACUACCAUUAUUGGGGAAUCUUUCUGGUGGAUGAAAAGCCGCUUUUGGGUUCACGGUUGACUCAUUAAAUCUCCUACCUAUCUCUGAGUUUGUCAACUGAGACCACCGAGUUUUAUUUAUUUAUUUAUUUUUUUCUUUUCCUCGGUUCAAUUUUUGUUUCCAAUACGAGGAAAAGGGCUUUCAAGUCUGACACGUGGAAAGUCAGUGGGCUUCAUAAUUUUGUUACAUUUUUNNNNNNNNNNNNNNNNNNNNNNNNNNNNNNNNNNNNNNNNNNNNNNNNNNNNNNNNNNNNNNNNNNNNNNNNNNNNNNNNNNNNNNNNNNNNNNNNNNNNGGGGUUGCUGCUGCUGUAACGCACUCUCAAUAUAUCAUAAUAAAUAAAUAAAGAUUAUUAAAAAAAAAAAAAAAACCCUCCCCAUUGUAUCUAGGUUGACAUCUUAUUAUGGGAAAAGAAAGAAAGGAAAAAAAAGCAAUGCAGAAUUAAAUUAAAAAAAAAUCCAAAAAAUUAAAAGUGAAAUGGAAAUUCUGCCCUCCCUAAAAAUAUAAAUUUAGUUUUAAUUCUUUUUUUAAUUAAAAAAACAAUAAUGAUAAUUAAACAUUAUUAAUAAAAAAUAAUACUUACCUUUGAGUAUUAAUGAUAUAUUAAGAUUUAAUUAAAAUUUAAAAAUAUAUUUUAUGUUAAUACCUAUUUCUUCCCUUUUUAUCCUAUCUUUAUCUUUUUUUUAGUGGAACCAUUGUUCCAAUUUAUUUUGCAUUAAUUCAAAUUAUAUGAGCUUUUUUGUUUUAUAAUAAACCCUUCAAUGAAAUUGACUUUUUAAAAUUUUGUAUUUGAUGGUUUAUAAGCUUUAAUUUAAUGGUGGGUUAUCUAUAGUUUUAAUCUUAAUAUUUAAAAAAAAAAUAUUUUUUAAAUUUGUGACAUUUAAUUAAAUAAUAAAUUUUGCUUUCUUUAGUUUUUGAUGAUUUACUCUUAUUGAAUUGUUUAUAUGAAGUGAUAGCUUAUGUUUUAUUUUAAUUAUAAAGCUGAUGCACCUUAAUAAAAUAUUUUGACUAUAAAUAAUAUCGGUAAAGAUCUCUACACAUAUUGUGUAAUAUAUUUGAUGAAGACCUCUACAUAUAUUGUCUACUUUUGAGUCCAUUAGCUUUUAUAUUCCUACUUAUAACAUUGUUUACAUAUUCCAAAUAGCUAAUGGGUGGUCAUCCUCAUGUUUUCAAUUAGGAAUUAGUUUUAAUAUCACUUAACCCAACUCAUGUAACCUUAUUUUCUUUAAACCCAUUAAUCCUCGCAACUUUAAACCCUAACAACAAAUGGGCCACCCUUAAAGUACUAAAAAUUUCUUAUUCAAAUGAUAUGAAAUAUUAUAUUCGAUCAUUUAUAUAGACACAUUGUUCUCAUCAUGACCCAUAGGGUUUAUGGAUAGUCAAAACCCUACAUAUUUCUUAUUAGGGAUUAGCACAACCUACUAGACUUCUUGGCUUUACGUACUAAAUGCAUCACUCUUAUAAGUAUUACAAAUUCUCAUAUGAGAUUUUGAAAAAGGGAAAAGUGAGUUUUUCCUCACUAAUUUAAAGAUAUAUAGAAAAAAAAACCUCAAAUUUUAAUAUAAGUUUUAUCUUUAUUAAUUUAAAAAUAUUUUAAAAUAUAUACACUUUUACAUAAAUAAGAUAAUUAUUUUCUAAAAUAACACUUUACUUGAUAAUAUUAAAUAAAAUUAUCAAAAAAUAUUUAUCAUUUUAAGUUAAUAAAAGUACAUUACAAACAAAUAUAUUAUAAAUUUUUAUUAUAUAAUAUAAGGUACAAAUCAAUAUUCCUCAAGUGAUAAAUAAAUUUUUUGCUAAUUCUCUAGCUAAUAAUAAUUUUAUAUUUUAUAUUAUAUAAAUCCCUUCAUCUUCUUACCUUUUUUUAAAAAAAUAAAAUUGAAUAAAAUUUUUGUUGAUUUACAUCAACAAUAAAAUAAGAAACUUUAAAAAAAAAAAAACCUAAAAGUUAAAAAUAUAAAAAUAAAAUAUUGACUUUCACUUCACGUACACUAGUUAAAAAUCUAGAUAUAAAAAAAAAAUACAAUGGAAGUCAAUAUUUUAUUUUAUUUUAUUUUAAAUUUUUAAAUAUUUUGGUUUUAAUUGCCUUUAAUUUUUAAGUAUUUUAGUUUUAAUUGUAUUUUUAAAAAUUUAAAUUUCUUAUUUUAUUGUUCCUAAGAUGUUUGUUUCUAGAGAGAGAAAAAAAAUCUUAAAUCAAGUCUCACAGUUAACAGAACAAAAACAAAACUAAAAGAAGAAUUAGUUUUUUUCAAUUAAAUAUUUAUGUAUGUACUUGUUAAUUGGAAUUAUUGAUAUAGUAAGUGCAAGUAAAAGGUUAUUUCAAAAAAUAAUUAUAUGACUUAAAAAAGUGUAUGUAUUUUAAAAUAUUUUUAAAUGGAAGAAGAUAAAAUUGAUUUAUAAAAUUUAGGGUUCUUUUUUCUAUAUUUUUUUCAAACUAGUGAGUUAUAACCCACUUUUCCCCAAUCAUCACAUUUACACCGAUUAAAAUAAUGAUAUAAAUAACAUUUUUUUUUCUUAACUUUCAUGUUUUAUUAAGAUAUUAUGUUUGGUACCUAAAAAGAAUGACAAAGAAAAUAAUUUUCUUACAUUUGGAUGUAAUAGAAAAAGAAAAAUAGUAAGGAAAUGAUGAGAGAAAAUUUAAAAGAUUUUCUUUUCCAUUUUCAUUAGAUAAAAGCAUGAAAAUUUUAGGAAAAAAAAAAUAUACUACUCAAUAAUUCAAUUUUCUAGAAACCAAAUAUAGUCUAAUAUUACUCUACGUUCAAAGUCAAUUUUCAAUGAUGAAUUCUCCUCUUACAGUGCUUCUUCUUAACUUGAUUGUGACAAGUGUUGUCAUAUGAAUUUUCUUCCCUCAAUCUAUCUACGGAGAAAUGUAAUUUAAAAAAAAAAAAGUACUCCUAAUCGAAUAAUGAGUAAUCACCAGAGACUUUGGAGUGUAGCAUGCAUCCUAUUCUUUUAAUUCUUGUCUCUCAAACCAGUCUUAACAUUUUUAUUCAUUGAAUUAAAUUAUUAAAUAUACAAAUUAUUGACUGGUGUCUAAGUUUUUUCUUUCUUCAAUUUUUAGCUUUAAGUUCCCAAAUGAAAAAAAAAAAAAAAUUGUCAAGAUCUUGAUUAGAAAAACCUAUUGUUUAAUUGGAAAUAAAGUGGACUCAGUCUCCUUUCUUGUUGAUACAUUGCUUUCAUCUCUUUUCCUUCUGGCUAGCUACUAUGCUUCCCGCUCUCUUCCAAAGCCUAAAAGAAGGAUAACAUUUUGUUUGUUCCCCCGCCCCCCCUAUGAAUACAUGUGACUAGCUAUGAUCAUGAUGAUGUUCAUUUUUUAAAACAAAGAAAAAUGAAAAAUAUGAGCAUCAACCAAUAAAUUUUAGUACCCUUUCUCCAACUUGGAGAAGUUCCAAAUGGGUAAUUUUUUUAUAUUUUUGUUAUAAUUUUUAUGUUUUUUAUUUUAAAUAAACAAGACAAUCCAUUUUUCUUCUGAACAUUUUUUCUUUUGCCCUUUAGCCCUAAUGGCAGUCCACUUCAAAUAUUUUUGUGCCCAAAGGGUCAAAACUAAGGAAAGAUUCACUUCAAGAAAAAAUUAGGAGAAUUAAAAAUCAAAGCCCAAAAAGGGUUCCAGCAAGUGGAUGAUUUUUCUCAGUCAACUACUGCAAUUUGAGUCUUCCUUCCUCUAUUUCCUAUUUUAUUUCCCAUAGGUAGGUUAGGCACAUUGACAUCUUUUUAUCCAUUUUUGUUUGCUUUUGUGCUUUUUUGGGAAAUCAUAAUCUGAUGUAGAUCCUGAUGGAACAGGUUUUUAUAGAAAAAUCAACAAGGGCUUUUUUUUUUACUUUUAGUUAGAUUCUGUUAUCUCAUUGGUAUGGCAUGGAAGAAUCUAUCCUUCACUGAAAAUUGAGAGGAAAAAAAAUAGAUGUUUAUUUACUUUUGUAUUAUAUCUCCUUUACACAUGUCACAAUCCCAUUUGCCUUAAUUUGUAGGCAUGACAUCCAAAAAUACUUUUCAAUACCAUAAUUUGAUGGAAAAAAUAGGUUUUGACUCAUUAGUACGAAAAUUUAUGAAAAAAAUACUUUAAUUUUUUUAAAUCAAUAUUAUCUUCAUUUAUUUCAAAAUCAACAACCCUUUUUCUUAUCUUUUAGGAAAAUUCUAUAUUACGUCAUGGGUAUGACAUGGAUGAAUUGACCAUUCAAUGAAAAUUAAGGGGGAAAAAUAGAUGUUUAUUUAUUUUUGUGCUAUAGCUCCUUUACAUAUGUCACAAUCCCAUUUAUAUUAAUUUGUUGGCAUGGCAUCCAAAAAUAAUUUUUGAUACCAUAAUUUAAUGAGAAAAUAAGUUUUGAUUCACUAAUAUGAAAUAUAUAGAUAAAAAAAAAUCUUAAUUUUUCAAAAUCAAUAUUAUCUUCAUUUAUUUAAAAAUCAACAAGGGGUUUUUUUUAUUUAAUUUAUAGGAAUAUUCUAUGUUACCUCAUUGGUAUGGCAUGGAAGAAUUGACCAUUCAUUGAAAAUUAAGGGAAAAAAUAGAUAUUUAUUUAUUUUUGUAUUAUAGCUCCUUCACACGUCACAAACCUAUCUAUGUUAGCAGCACAUGUGAUGCUUGCAAAUAAACACAAAUAGGAGAAGGUGCAGAGUUAGCAUCACAUGUUCAUGUAGUACAAUAUGAUUGGUUCUUUCUCUUUCCUCCAUAAAAUUCUCUUAUAUAGUUGACUGGUUCUUUCUCAUAUAUGGUUGUAGAUAUGAUUUGAUCAAACCGCAUUAAAACCCGGGUAACUUAGUUUGCUUUAUUUAUGUUAUUCUGUUCAAUCUGGCAUUAUAGUUUUUUAUCUUGCAAGGAUUCCAUUGAAAAACAUAACUGAAAGGGCUUUUAAGAUUUGGAGUAUAAAUAUAGUUUCCAAUAUCUUCCAAUAUAUGUUGUGGGCUCAGAAAGAAGUCCUCCCAAUUGUACUGAAAAAUCAGUGCAUUUAUGCUGCAAUUUGUUAAUAUAGUUCAGUCAGAAACAGAGCAGAUAAACAGAUAUAACAACAAAAUCCUGGGAAUUGGACAAUUUAUUAGCAGCCUUCACCAUGUACAGGAUCCCAUAGAGACGUCCAAAACAGAGCAUCAAAUGGGAACUCCUCCUGGACUAUCGACCUUCUUCUAUGGUGGCUAGGAUUUCACUGUUCCAGGAUACUUCAGGUUUGCUAGAAGAAGAAGCUGUCCUAGAAAGGUCUCUUUUUAGGACAAAAGCCGGUUGUUUAGGAACCGGCAUUGUUGCAAUGUCACUGCUGAGCAUUACAACUGCAACUGCCAUGGUGGGACGGUCACUUGGGUCUUCUUGCACACACAACAGCCCAACAUUCACACACCUCAAAAAUUCUUUUGUGUUGCAUGUUUCGCAUAGUGUCUGGUCCAUCAGCUCCAACACCUUGUCUUCUUUCAAUAGCUUCCAUGCCUGGGACAGUUUGAGAAUAGAAAGUUAAGUAUGGUAUGGUAUAUCAUUGAGAACGACUAAAAGAUCAAGGCAAAUGAGAGAUUCAAAGCCCUCACUUGACCCAGAAGGCUCAGUGUUUGGUCAGACUGAUAAAAGCCAGUGUUCCUCUUCCCACUGAUGAUCUCAAGCACCAUAACACCAAAGCUAAAGACAUCAGACUUCUCUGAGAAAAACCCAUCCAAUGCAUACUCUGGAGACAUAUAGCCACUGCAUUGAACCAGUUAAAAGCACUACUCUGUUAAUUGGGGAUGCGAUCAUGCAACUGCUUGCUUUUUUCUGUACACAAUAUGCAAUACUUACUAAGUUCCAACUACUCUGUUUGUGCUUGCCUCUACUUGCUUACUGUCAAAAAUCCUCGCCAAGCCAAAGUCUGAAAUUUUGGGAUUCAUCUCAUCAUCAAGUAGAAUGUUGCUUGUUUUCAAGUCCCUAUGAAUAAUCUUCAAUCUUGAAUCUUGGUGAAGAUACAGCAGCCCUCUAGCAAUUCCCAUAAUGAUGUCAAACCGCUUCUCCCAGUUCAGUAACAUGCAUAGGGUUCGAUCUUGCAAGGUUCCCAUUGGAAAGCAUUACUUCAGAUAUGUAUACAAGAAUGUAUAUGUUACAUGAAAAAGAAAAGGGCUUUAAGGCAGGUUUAGAGACAAACCAAAUAUGAAGGAAUCUAAGCUUUUGUUGGCCAUAUAUUCAUAGAGUAAAAUCUUCUCAUCACCUUCAACACAAUAGCCCAAAAGUCUAACCAGAUUCCGAUGCUGAAGUUUGGCAAUUAAAACAACCUCAUUCUUAAAUUCCUGUAGGCCUUGUCCUGAAGCUCUAGAGAGUCUCUUAACUGCAAUUUCUUGCCCCUCUGGAAACUUGCCCUGGAAGCCACAGUGCAUAUGCAUUGGGCAUAUGUUAGAACUUGGUGACUUGAAUUCUAUUUGGUUCGACUCCAGAAGCUCGCGAUGUGAUAUAGGUAGUAAAGCUAAAAUUAUGAAUUUUUUUUUGGGUUUGUGGUAGUAACAGAGGGAUCGGACCUAUUACUCUUUCAUGUAUAUACAUACAUAUAUAUACAUACAUAUAUAUAUAUAUAUAUAUAUAUAUAUAUAUAUAUAUAUAUAUAUAUGUAUGCAUGCGAUGAUGUAUAGUUUUCAGGGUUAUGAUGAUUAUGUUUUUGCUAUAGGGGUCCGUAUCUCUUUCCUCUUGUACUAAUUUUUGAUAUAAUAAAAUUUCUUCUCCUCGUGGUCUUUCCUAUCUAGGGUUUUCCAUACAAAUUUAUGUGUUCUUAUCCUGUUUUAUUUCUUAUUGCAUAUUCUCAUUAUUUUGUAACAGCAUAGAUGAUGAUAAACUAGUUGAAAAUGAGAGGAACAUGGAAAUUAAGAACAAUUACCUUGUAAACUGGCCCAAAACCCCCUUGUCCAAGCUUAUUUGCAUCUGAAAAGUUAUUUGUAGCAGCCAGUAUGUCUUCUAAGUCGAAAAACGGUACAUCAAUGCCUUUCUUAUCCUCUUCUUUGAAUUGCUCCGAGUCUAUUGAGUGUUUCACACGACUCUCACUAUCAUAUAAGUGAAGCACUUGAUUUGCUCUGUUCUCUGAACUCAAAAAAAACAGAAAAUAUUGUAUACAAGACCCUGAAAUAUUCUCAAUUCAGCCAAGCACAAGUCGAAAAGAAAAGACCAGAAGUUAUAGGCUAGUGCAUAUGGCACAAAGAUUACCUUUCCUUUUGGUGAUGGUUCUUUUGCGCAAAUAAGCAAUAUAACCAAUGAUGCCUAAAACCGCAACUAGAACAACAGCAAUUGUUAUGCCUACCACAACCACUGGAGAUGACCACGAUGACUUCUGAUCAGCAGGUUUGACACCUGAAACAAAGAAGGAACUGAAUUGAACUUCUCUCACCUACCCAGAAGGCAAAUUUAGUAAGAUACUUGGUGAACAGAAUCCUCACCUUGUGUACAAUUUAAACUUGAGCUAUUCCAUUUGAAGUUUUCAUUGCAAAAGCACCUACUCAUUCCAUCUCGCGUUCCGCAGAUUGAAUUUGGCCAGUCUUUGCAAUCUGCUGAUGAGGUACACGCCGGCUCCGAUGGUGGAUCCCAACUGAUCUCUACUUCAAUACUAUUUUUCAAUGACAUCUCAGAGCCAAAAUGGUCAGUUCCAACCUCUUUGCACGCAUCAGUUAUGCGAAAAGGUGGGUCUAGUGGCGGAAUUAAACUUCGAGAACUGCAAUCUGCUUCUUUCAGUUGGAUUACAAAUCUUAAUGUCUCUGGGUUAAUGCUAGUUACUCGGUAGGCACCACCAGGUACCUUGAACUGAACCUGGCCUGUGGUACUGUUACACUCAAAAUUGAAGUACAUGGGAUCACCACACUUUGAUCCAGUGCUUAGAGGAUAAGGAAUCAUGCUUGAACCACAAGUUUCACAAUUCCUUACUGUUGGUUCUGCAAAGACAGUAGAAUACCAUGUGGGCAUUUCAGUUACAAAUGGAUUAAUGCUUGUUUUUUCAAAGAAAAAAUAAAAUAAAAAUUGAAAGGGACAUACUUAUAUCUGAAAUGGCCACACGAACGGAGAGGUUGUGGGCAUCAAAGGCAUACUCCUCCUGAAGAUCAGUAAGGUCUUCCGUCCAAAUCAAGCAUUUUAGGGCAUCAGUAUCACCUCUUUCUUGUUUGAUAUAAGUUUCAGCAUAAGCUUGACAUUGGCAUUUUUCAAGGCAAGCCUUUCUGCAAGGAUCACUAUCAUUUGGAUCUGCGUCAAUCUGAGAGUCUGGCUUUCUCACUUUCAUCAUCUUUAAGCUCAGGAACAUGUCUUUACUAGAAUUCUCCUCGCAUAUGGGAGACUUUCUGGUACACCCACUUGAAAAGUCUUCAGUUUUCCACUUAUCCGGCGAGGCGGGUUUGAACCCAGGUAAACAUUUGCACAUCAAAGGAUUUUUAGUGUUACAACUACCGAAUUUCCCACAAGCUUUUGACACACUGCAUCGAUCUCGAGGUGCCCACCAGUCUGGAGAUGAUGUAUUCGGAUUCAGAUAGUACUGGAUUUCCCCUGAAGAAUUCAUCACCAACCGCGUGGUAUUCUUAUACCUGCGGGACAGUAUUUCAAGGGUUCCAUUGAAGAAUUUUAUAUAGCUGGUUGGCUUACCAUUCUUGCUGAGGUUGGAUAACAAGCUGAGUAUUGCAUCUGGAAUUUCAUCAGGCGUUCCUUUCGAGUCCUCACUGCUCCAAUAUGGGACAAUUGAACUUUCCCAUAUGUUAUAAUGAUCCUUAUUGUCUUGAUCUAUCUUGAAAGUAUAGUUUCCAGGUGCCGGGUCAACAGAACUCAGCCAUGAAGUCAAUGUUAAGGUUUCAUCCAUCUUCAUCCCCGGAAGAAAAGUAUCUGUAGGAUUAUGGAAGCUCUCCCAAAGAAUCUUCCCCGAUCUGUUGUAGCUCAAAACAAGGUUCCCAGAGUCCAUGAGCUUCACCACCCUCCCUGUAGAUAAAGAUGUUUCAAUAUCAGAAUGCCAGUGAACUGUCCCAUUUGCAUCCAAUACCUUGAGCUGACCAUCUUCUUUAAUGGCAAAAACUCCAGAGGGGGUGUCAGAAAGGGGAAGGGGGUUCUUUCGGUUGGCCACCCAUACAACUCUUUGUGGUUUCGACCUGUAAUACCAUAUGCCCACGAAUCUUCCAAUCUUGGAGCUUCCACCUGGAUUAAAGAAGCCAAGUUCAAAAGUUUUGCCUGCAGAAACAACAGUUUCUCCAUCAUUACUAAGCCAGUCCUCCGGUGUGAUGGUAUCUCUAGCAGAGCAAUACAGGACAGAACACAAGACGAAAAAGAUGGUAGAUAGCAUGUGAGUUGCAGAGACAGGAACCAUGAAUUUUCUUCCUUAUCAUUUUGCCUCUUUUUAGAGCUGUGUCCUCAAAUCUAUAGUUUUUAGUGGAGACUUUUCCUCUUGACCCUGAGUGGAGUAAAGUCACAUCAAUACUGUCUGUCAUCUUUGUCUUCCUCCCGCAAACUAAAUAACGGUUGUCCUUUUGUACCCACUAUUUAUUUUGGACCUACCUACCCUCAUUUCACUCCAGUAAUAAAAUGAAAUGUGUGAAUUGCAUGUCAUUAAAUAAAAACAAAAACACGUAUCUAAUCGGUAUUAUACUGAUUCAGUACUGUAGAAUUUUCUCAAAAACAAAAACAAAAACAUAUACCUAAUCGAAUGAUUAAUCAUUGGAGUGUAGAAUGCAAAGCUUUUUCUUUCUUCAUUUUAAUGAGACAAUGAAUAAAAAUAAGGUGGACCAUGUCUCCUUUCCAACGCACACCUUUCAUCUUUUCUCUUUAUCCCAACAUGUUUCUCAUUCCACUCCACUUUUUUCUUUGUAUGUAUAGUUUAUCUCUUUUAAGAAAUCAAGUAUGAGCAUCAACUGAUAAAUUUUUCUAUACUUUCUUCGACUUGGAGGAGCUUCAUAAUGGGAUAAACAAUCAAGAGUCUGUUUUCACAAUGUUUUUAAAAAGGGUAUUUGAGAUAACUUAAAUGUUUUUGAGGCAAAAUUUUAUUAAGAAUUCAAAUAUAAAAACUAAUUUUCUUUGUUUAUGCAUGUACGAUAUAAAAGUUUUUAAAGUGCUAUUCUCUAUUUUUUCAAUUGUCACUCAAUGAAUUCUAAAAAAAAAAAACAAAACUAAAAUACCUUAAAAUAUUUCUAAAAAAUAAUUCAUUUUCAAAACAAAUUCCCAAUAAAAAAAAAAUUGUGUUUUCUAUCAUAAUUUUUUGAAACAUAUUUUCUAAGUUAGAAAAUAAUUUUUUAUUCUAAAAGAUUAAUAUAUAUAUUUUCAAGAACAGAUACCAAAUAUAACCUAAUUUUUCUUCUAAGGUUUUUUUCCUUAUGUCUCCGUCUAGUUGUCAUCCAAUGAACAAUCCACUUCAAAUAUUUUUGUGCCAAAGGGUAAAACCGAAGGAGAGAAUUACUCAAACACAGGAGAAUUAAGAAUCAAAGGACAAAAGGGAUUGGAGCAAGGUGAUAACUUUUCUCAGUGAACUUCACUGAUUUGCUCAAAGGCAAGUUGCCAGCAAAAUCAAGGAUAUAAAAUGUGUAUUUCAUCUUUUUUUGUUGGACCCAUUGGGUUUGCUUUUUUUCCCUCUCAAUUUGGGAUUUAAUAUAAUAUAGAUCAGGAUUGAGCAGGUUUCUGUAAAUAAAUCAAAAUGGGCGGCCUUUUUUUAACUUGAUUCCCUCUUUGCUUUCUAGCACAUGAGAAAAAGUAGAGCUAGCCUCACAUGUGCACACACUGCACAUGGCAUAGCAUUGGGUACCUAUUGAGUCAUCUCCACCAUAUGAUUAAGCACAGUGGCCCAAAUACUAGCAAUGAAGUUAGAAAAUGCAUUCUUCAUUUUCGUCUCCGAGAGAGUAGGAAAACCAUAUUCUUUCUCUGAUUUUUCAGGAAGAGAGAAGAGACUUCUCACAUAGAGAAUAAAAAAUAAAAAAAUUAUUUAUUUUUAAUAGUGAUAGUUUCUAUGUAGUUUUAAAACUCCCUAAAACUAUUUCCCCAUUUUCUCAUUUAUUUGAGUCAGGUCGGGUCAGUCCACUUGGACACCCAAACCCAACUCCAACAUUGUGGAACUUGGAAGUGUAGUUUAUCUCACUGCUGAACAUGAGAACUUUGUUGGACAUGGUGGGACAUCACUUGGGUCUCUUGAACACUGAAGAGCCCAACAUUUAUAUUGUCAUUUAGUUUGCACCAUAUGCAGAGCCCAGUUCAAACAUGAUAUUGAAAAAAGUUCUAUACACAAAUACAGCUGAUGGAUAGGAGAAACAAAACAGAACAUCAGAUGGAUAAAACUUAGUAAACUAAAUAAACGGUAAAGGAUUCAUUGGAUCUCCUCUUAGCUAUCGCCCUUCUCCUAUGGAGGCUACAAGCUCAUUCUUCCAGGAGGCUUCAGCCUUGCUAGAAGAAGAAGCUGUACUAGAAAGGUUCCUCUUUACAACAAAAGCUGGUUCUUUAGGAACGGGCACUGUUGCAGCAUCACUGCUGAGCAGAAGAACUGCAAUGGCCAUGGUGGGACGGUCACUUGGGUCUUCUUGCACACACAACAGCCCAACAUUUACACACCUCGAAAAUUCGUUUGUGUUGCAUGUUUCACUUAGUGUCUGGUCCAUCAACUCCAAAACCUUGUCUUCUUUCCAUAGCUUCCAUGCCUAGAACAGUUCAAAAAGUUGUAGGUCAGAUGAACAGAGAAUGACUAAAAGAUCAGUACAAAUGAAAGAUUCAAAGCUCUUACAUGACCUAGAAGACUCAGAGUUCGGUCAGACUGAUAAAAUCCAGUGUUCCUCUUCCCACUGAUGAUCUCAAGUACCAUAACACCAAAGCAAAAGACAUCAGACUUCUCUGAGAAAUAUCCAUCCAAUGCAUACUCCGGAGACAUAGCCACUGCAUUGAACCAGUUAAAAGCAGCACUCAGCUAAUUGGGAAACGCAAUCAUACAACCGCUUGCCUUUUUCGAUACAAAAUAUACAAUACUUACUAAGUUCCAACUACUCUGUUCGUGUUUGCCUCUACUUGCUUACUGUCAAAAAUCUUUGCCAAGCCAAAGUCUGAAAUUUUGGGAUUCAUCUCAUCAUCAAGUAGAAUGUUGCUUGUUUUUAAGUCCCUAUGAAUAAUCUUCAAUCUUGAAUCUUGGUGAAGAUACAGCAGCCCUCGAGCAAUUCCCAUAAUGAUGUCAAACCGCUUCUCCCAGUUCAGUAACAUGCAUAGGGUUCAAUCUUGCAAGGUUCCCAUUGGAAAGCAUUACUUCAGAUAUGUAUACAAGAAUGUAUAUGUUACAUGAAAAAGAAAAGGGCUUUAAGGCAGGUUUAGAGACAAACCAAAUAUGAAGGAAUCUAAGCUUUUGUUGGCCAUAUAUUCAUAGAGUAAAAUCUUCUCAUCACCUUCAACACAAUAGCCCAAAAGUCUAACCAGAUUCCGAUGCUGAAGUUUGGCAAUUAACACAACCUCAUUCUUAAAUUCCUGUAAGCCUUGUCCUGAAGCUCUAGAGAGUCUCUUAACCGCAAUUUCUCGCCCCUCUAGAAACUUGCCCUGGAAGCCACAGUGCAUAUGCAUUGGGCAUAUGUUAGAACUUGGUGACUUGAAUUCUGUUUGGUUCAACUCCAGAAGCUCGAGAUGCGACAUAGGUAGUAAAACUAAAAUUAUGAAAUUUUUUUGGGUCUAUGGUAGUAACAGAGGGAUCGGACCUAUUACUCUUUCAUGUAUAUAUAUGCAUGCAAUGAUGUAUAGUUUUCAGGGUUAUGAUCAUUAUAUUUUUGCUAUAGUCGUUAGUAUCUCUUUCCUCUUGUACUAAUUUUUGAUAUAGUAAAAUUUCUUCUCCUCAUGGUCUUUCCUAUUUAGGGUUUUCCACACAAAUCUAUGUGUUUUUAUCCUGUUUUAUUUCUUAUUGCAUAUUCUCAUUAUUUUGUAACAUCAUAUAUGAUGAGAAAUCAGUUGAAAAUGAGAGGAAUAUGGAAGUUAAGAACAAUUACCUUGUAAACUGGCUCAAAACCCCCUUGUCCAAGCUUAUUUGCAUCUGAAAAGUUUUCUGUAGCAGCCAGUAUGUCUUCUAAGUCGAAAAACGGUACAUCAAUGCCUUUCUUAUCCUCUUCUUUGAAUUGCUCUGAGUCUAUUAAGUGUUUCACACGACUCUCACUAUCAUAUAAGUGAAGCACUUGAUUUGCUCUGUUCUCUGAACUAAAAAAAAAAACAGAAAAUAUUGUAUAGAAGACCCUGAAAUAUUCUCAAUUCAGCCAAGCACAAGUCGAAAAGAAAAGACCAGAAGUUAUAUGCUAGUGCAUAUGGCACAAAGAUUACCUUUCCUUUUGGUGAUGGUUCUUUUGCGCAAAUAAGCAAUAUAACCAAUGAUGCCUAAAACUGCAACUAGAACGACAGCAAUUGUUAUGCCUACCACAACCACUGGAAAUGACGACGAUGACUUCUGAUCAGCAGGCUUUGUAGGCUCUGCAGGAUUGACACCUGACACAAAGAAGGAACUGAAUUGAACUUCUCUCACCUACCCAGAAGGCAAAUUUAGUAAGAUACUGGGAGUGUGGCAGUGUCACUGCUGAGCAUUACAACUGCAACUGCCAUGGUGGGACGGUCACUUGGGUCUUCUUGCACACACAACAACCCAGCAUUCACACACCUCAAAAAUUCUUUUGUGUUGCAUGUUUCGCUUAGUGUCUGGUCCAUCAGCUCCAACACCUUGUCUUCUUUCAAUAGCUUCCAUGCCUGGGACAGUUUGAGAAUAGAAAGUUAAGUAUGGUAUGGUAUAUUGUUGAGAACGACUAAAAGAUCAAUGCAAAUGAGAGAUUCAAAGACCUCACUUGACCCAGAAGGCUCAGUGUUUGGUCAGACUGAUAAAAUCCAGUGUUCCUCUUCCCAUUGAUGAUCUCAAGCACCAUAACACCAAAGCUAAAGACAUCAGACUUCUCUGAGAAAAACCCAUCCAAUGCAUACUCUGGAGACAUAUAGCCAUUGCAUUGAACCAGUUAAAAGCACUACUCUGUUAAUUGGGGAUGCGAUCAUGCAACUACUUGCUUUUUUCUAUACACAAUAUGCAAUACUUACUAAGUUCCAAAAAUAAUUUAUGGUGUCAGUAUUUAUGGUGUCACUUUUAAAAUAAUGACACCAUAUGACUUAAAAUCCAUAAAGGUGACACCUCAUAUAAAAAUUUUCAAUAAAGAUAAAUGAUAUUAAUUUUAAGUUUAUAGUGUCAGUUUUUGAAAAGUAACACUAUAUAAAAUAAAAAUUUUAAAAUACUAUAACUUAAUGAGCCCGAGAAUAAUAAUAGUAUAUAAAAAACUCAUUAUUUCCACAUACCCACAAUCCAAAAAAUCUCAUUAUAUAACCCUAACCAUAAUUUUCUUCUACCUCUUCUCACACCCAUAGUUAACACACAACUGCUCUUCUUUACUUCAUGGAUUCUCAAGUAAUCCAAAAUCUCUUAGAUCUAUCAUUUUCAUUUUUUUUCAUUAAUGUCAAAAUCUUUAUUAGCACAAUUGAUUUAUAUUCAUUGAUUUGGUAUAUCUGUGAUGUGGAUUAUGUAAAUAGUGUUUUUUUAUUAAGUUGUAAGAAAGUAAAAAUUAAGUUUAACAUUCCACCAUAUCUUCUAUUUCAUUGUUAAACCUAUAAACCUCAAAAUGAAUGAAAAUAAGAUAAAUGAAUGAUUUUUUUUAAUUUAUUUCAUACUCAAGAAUGAGGGAUAAACAUUUUACAGUAUGAAAUUUUCUUUUGAUCUUACAAGAAAUUUCCUUUGAUGCGACUUUCUGUUUGUUUUCUAGGAAUAUUAUAGUAUAUUGUGAUGACGAUAUGUGUUGGUGAUAUUUGAAAAAUAAUUUUUAGAAAGUUAUCUUAAUAUUGUUAUCUCCCACAAAAGGAAAAAUGAAAUAGUUUCCAUAUCAUGUUGGAGUUGGUUUGGAAUGUUGGAAUUAACAAUGAAAAAUUAAUUUUUUUUAUUAAUGUAAAAGAAUUGUUUUUUAAAAUUUAAAUAGGAAUGAAAAUUUUUAUAAUUAUAAGAAUGAUCAAAUCUUAUAUUUUAAUUUUUUUAUUCUUUUACAUGGUAUUAUGGUUAAUAUCUUAUCUUGUUCUAUUCAUAUUGUUUCUAUUCUUAAAAUGUGUUUUUUGUUUUUUUGUCUUUACCUUUUUUUAUAUGCGUCGACCAAAAUUUAUAAUUUCCGUUUUAAGGUUAGAAAAUUUCUAUAAAAUCCUUUUACUACAUAAAUUUUUUCAAUUACUUCCAUAAAACUCUUUUUUUUUUUUUUUUUUUGAAAGAAGAAGAAGAAGAUGUUUUAUCUUUUGAUUUUCUAUGAAAUUUCCUUUAAUUGGACUGUUUGUUUAUUUUCUAAGAAUAUUAUAGUAUGUUGUGAUGAAGAUAUUGGUUGGUCAUAUUUGGAAAAUAAUUUUUGAGAAAAUUAUUCUCAAUAUUGUCAUCUCUCGCAAAAGGAUUAUUUUUGCUUUCUUUUCUUAUUGUUUUUAUAUGCAUUGACCAAACUUUGGAGCAAUUUGAAAUUGAUGAUGAAAUUUUCCUUUCAAGGUUAGGAAAUUUCUAUAAAAUCCUUUUAUUACAAAUUUUUUUCCAAUUCUUUCCAUAAAACUCUUCAUUUUCUUCAUUUUUCUUUUUUCUGAAAAAGAUGUUUGAUAAUUUAUUGAUCUAAAGAAUAUUAAAAGUAAAAAAAAUUAAAAUAUUGAAUAUAUUUUCCUUUGAUGUUUUUAAUUUUUUAUUAUUUGAACACAAUUUCAUAUCCAAAUUUUUUAUUAAUUAUUUUAAUUAGAAAAAAGAAAUAUCAAUUGGAGUUUUGACUGAAAAAUCAAUAAUUUUUAUGAAAAGCUCUUUAAUUCUUUCUCAUACUAUUUUUUCUCUUAAUAUUUUUUAAUAAUGAAUUAGGUUUUUUGUCUUAUAUACACAAUUUUCAUGCUUGUUAUAAUAUCAUGUCCUAUCAUAUUAGUAGUUGAAAACAUUUUGAUAUUUUGUUACUAAAAUUUUAUUUUAUGUAAUUGAGAUGAAAUUUAAUGGACAUUGUUAUUUCAUAAAAUGAACAUUAAAAAAAUAUUGAAAUUAAGAAAAUCCUUCCAAGAAAUAUAUAUAUAUAUAUAUAUAUAUAUAUAAUGUUAAAAAUGAUUUUUAAAAACAUAAUGAAUUAUAAAAAAUAAAUUUAAAAAGUGCAUAUUUUAAGUGGAAGAUUAGUAUUUUCUAAAUUUUAGAUUUAUAUUUUGAUUUGGUAGUUUUGAUUUAUUUUUUAUUUUCUUGAAUUGUUUUUAUUUGAAUUCAAAUGUGACUACUUUGUUAUGAGAUUCAUUAAAGAGAUAAUUGUUGAUUCUAUAGUUAUUGCAUUAAAGGUUUUACUCAUUUAAUGAAUUGCACAUAGUUUCAUACUUCCAAUUAUUGUGAUAUUAAUGUUAUUAUCAUUUGAUUAUAGUUUGAUGAUAAAAAAAAAAACAUAUUCUUAAGUAGAAUGUGAUGAAAUUAGAGGAGAAUUGACUACUUUUAUAUUAUAACUAAUCAAGAAUCAUGUUGAUGUAUCGUGAUCAUGCAUGGUGAGUCCCUUAGUUGUUAUAUGAAUUUUCCAUUGGUAUUGUAUAACAUUACUUAUUCUUUACAAAUUAUUUUUAUAUCAAAAUGGAAAAAAGAAAAAAGAAAACAUUAGUAGUUAGAUUUGUUUAUUUUUUAUAACAUUAAUUAAUUUUUAUUUUUAAUAAAAACUCUAAAACUCAUUAAACUAUGAAAUGCAAGUAUACACUCUUGGAAGGACAGUAUGAAGAAUAAAAAGAAAGGAGAAAGAGACAACAAGAUUUUGGGUUUUUAGAUGUAACUUUUAUGCCAUAUAUUAUAGGACAUAAACGUUACUUUAUUUGGUAUUGAGAAUUUUGGGUUUUUGGAUGCAACACUUGUGUCAUUUUAUGGUUAGCCAGUUUUAUGCAUAUGAAUUGUAGGUAUACAUGAAUGUUGGGAUGCUUAACAUUUCUAUGUCAUGUUUUAAUGUGCAUUCACUUUUCCUUUUUAGUUUUGGUGGGUUUGAUGUACUAUCAUUUUGUGAACAUUUGAUAUACAAAUAUUAUUGGAUGAUUUAAUGUAUUACAAGUUGAUCUUAUUUAUUAAUAAGCAUUACAAAAAUCUAUAGGCUAAUCAAUAAAAAACAACCAUAUAUUCCAUAAUCAUUUACAAUGAUGUGACACCAUAACUCAAAGGUGAUGCAUUUAACGUGGCACCAUAACUCAAAGGUGAUGCAUUUAAUAUGACACCUUAUAUAUCUCACACAACUCUAUAUCAAAUUAAGCAUUACUAAAAAUAUAUGGUGCUGCUUCUGAAUGUGUCACCAUUUAUCUACAUUGGUGUCGCUUCCAAAUACAUCACCAAUUGGUACCCUCUAUGGUGUCAGUGGAUAAGGUGACGCUAUGUUGUAGUGACACCUUAUGUUUAUAGUGACUCAUUAUAAAUGCCACCAUAUAUCUUUUUCCUUGUAGUGUAUUCACCCCCUCCCCCUCUAGGUGUAGUCCAUUAUUGAGAUUCACCUUUUCAUCAUCCAUCCACAUGCUAGGAAGAAAAGUAUCAGUAAGAUUAUGGAAGCUCUCCCAAAGAAUCUCCCCUGAUCUGUUGUCACUUAAAACAAGGUUCCCGGAGUCCAUGAGCUUCAUCACCAUGCCUGUAGAUAAAGAUGUCUCAGUAUUAGAAGACCAAUGAACUUUCCCAUUUUCAUCCAAUAAUUUGAGCUUACCAUCGUCUUUAAUGGCAAAAACUCCAGAGAGGGGAUCAGAAAGGGGAAGGGGGCUGUCUCGGUUGGCCACCCAUACAACUCUUUGUGGUUUCAACAAGUAAUACCAUAUGCCAAUGUAUUUGCCAUUGUUGAACCUUCCAUCCGAAUUAAAGAAGCCAAGUUCAAAAGUUUUGCCUACAGAAACAAGAGUUCCUCCAUCAUUUCUAAGCCAAUCCUCUAGUGUGAUGGUAUCUCUAGCAGAGCAAUAUAGGACAGAACAUAAGAAAAAGAUGGUUGAUAGCAUGUGAGUUGUAGAGACAGGAACCAUGAAUUUUCUUCUUAUCAUUUUGCCCUCUAUUGUUGUUAGUCAAAGAACCAUGAAGAGUUGCAGAGACAUGAACCACAAAUUUUCUUCUUAUCAUUUUGCCCUCCAUUGUUGUCAGUCAAAGAACCAUGAAGGGUUUGCUACUGUUGUAUUGCACUCUCAUUUUUAAUGGAGACUUUUCCUUUUGACUCUUGAGUGGAGAAAAUUCAUAUCAGUAUUCUUAUCUUGAUUUCCCUUUUUGAUGCAUAGCUUUCAUCUCUGGACUUUUGUGGCAACUUGAGUCUUUAAGAUGGCAACUUUAAUAUGCUUCCUGGUGUCUUCCAAGUAUUGACGUUUUGUAUGCAUCACCCUCCUCCUUCUACACCAAUUUGUUUCUUUGUAUGUAUAGUUUUAUCUCUUCUAAGCAAUAAAGCAUAUGGCAUCAACCAAUAAAUUUUUCUGUACUUUCUCCAAUUUGGAGGAGCUUCGUAAUGGGACAAACAAGAAAAAUUAGAAGUUUAUUUGGCAAUGCUUGUAGAAACAGUUUUUCAUAACAAUGCUAAGAAACAGUUCUCAAAUGUUUCGACUAACUCAAAUAUAAGAACUAGUUUUCUUUGUUUAUUCUCGUACGUACAAAGCGAAAGUUUAAAAAAUAUUCUUUAUUUUAUGAAUUUUUAUCCAAAGAACUCCAUAAAAAUGAAAAAAAUUACAAACACCUCAAAAUGAUUCUAAAAUAUAAUUCAUCUGCAUAACAAAUUUGGCAAAAAAAAAAUCAUUUUUCAUCAAAUGUCUAUCAAACGUGUUUUCUAAUUUACAAAACAAUUUUCUGUUUAAAUAAAAAAAAUCUAAAAUAACUACUAAACAUACCCUGAUUUUUGUUUUAAGCUUUUUUCCUUCUCAUGUCUUCUAAUUUCCAUGCAAUGAAUUAUCCACUUCAAACAUUUUUGUGCCAAAGGUAAAGCAAAGGAGAGAAUUACUAAAACAAACCCAGGAAAAUUAAGAAUCAAAGGACAAAAGGGGUUCAAGGAAGUGAUAAAUUUUCUCAAUGAAUUAACUUCACUAAUUGCUCAAAGGCAAGUUGUCAAUUGUUACAGAAUAGUGAAUAUAGGAAAUAAGAAAAACAAAAUAUGAACAUAUAGAUUUGUGUGAAAAAUCCUAAACGAGAAAAACCACGGACGGAUGAGAAGAAGAUCCACUAUAUCAAAAAUUGGUAUAAGAGGAGAGAGUUACGAGCGUCUAUAGCAUAACCCUAAAAAUACAUCAUCACAUAUACACACACAUAUGUAUAUAUAUAUAAAGCAGGUUCAUACUUUUGAAUUCAUUUAAUCUUUAUAUAAUGAAGGAAAGUAAAAUAAAUUAGAAAAAACAUAUGAAAUAAUUUAUUAACUUCGAAUUUAUUUUUUUAUUUUCUUUUGUUUUUUCCUUUCUUCUAUUUUUCCUCUUUAUUUUUUUUUUUCCAUAUUUUGCCUUAUAUUUUUUGAGAACCAAAUAUAGUCUUAAAGUUUCUUGGAAACUUUGGACUUUAGAAAAAACUUAACCUUUUUUUCUUGGGAAUAAUUUUCUAGAUUUGAGGUACAUUAUCUUAGGGGUGUACUAAGGAUGUCAAAAUACUUUCAAAAUCUAACUCCUAUUUUUUGGAAAGUUAUGAAUUAAUAUUUCUUUUUUUUUUUUUUUUUACUCUUUCCAAAUCUAAUUUUACUAGGAACCAAAUUUGUGAAUUUUUGCACAAAAUCCUAUCCAAGAGAGGAUCUUUUAGAAAUCUCAUCCAUUCUAUAUUUGAUUGAUAGAGAAUUAAAACCACGGUUGUGCAAAAAGCAUAUGAACAAAUAAAAUUAGACCAAGAUAUAUAUCAAUGAUUCAACUUAGAAGAAUAAUGCAUUAGAUUUCUACACUUUGAGUAGUUGCCUUGAUUAAGUCCAAUUACUAGAAGCCAAGGUCAAGGUCAUCGAAGUUUGUCCAUUCUCUUUCAUAAUUUCUUUUUUCCUCACUAAAGGAUAGAAUAUCUCUUUUACAAAUCUUGUCUAUUCUUGAUUGAUUUGGUAGAGAAUUUUAAAAAGGGUUGUGCCAAAAGCAUGUCAACAAUUUAAAAUGGACCGAGAGACGAAGCUUCUCAAUGAGUGGAUGUAUAUCUUUGUCAAUCCUUCAACUUUGAAGAAUAAUGCAUUAGACUUCUAUGCUUUAAGUAGUUUCCUUGAUUGAGUCCAAUUAUUAGAAGCCAAAGUCAAGGUCAUCGAAGUUUGUACAUUCUCUCUUGUGGUCCCAUGGUAUUUGCUCUUUUUUACCUCAUUAGAGGAAAAAACAUUAACACAGCUUCAUGUGGGAACCAACCUUUCUUUUAGCAUCCAUGAUAGUUUUUCUUCCCAAUAAUUAGAAAAAGAUUCAUGAGGACCCCAUAUGAGAACUAUUAUUGGUGAUUGUAUAUAGAAAUAAAGAGAAUUCAUUUAUCCUAUAAAAAACAACCCCUUCCUAACGAUUAUAUAAUUUAUUGGUAACAAUGUGAUAGAAAAUUUUGAGACACAUAUUAUAGAUGAAUCUUGGUUAUGGAUUAUAGUUAGAGGGGGUAAAUAGUUAUUUUUUCCAACUUAGAGAUGGUUCCCAAAGAAGGCUAUCAUUCCCUUCAUUUUUCCCCCUAAAUUCCAUUUUAAUAUUUUGAGCACAAAAUCAGAAAACAUAUGCAAGAAUAGAUACACCGAUAUAUUGUCCCUACAAUGUAAACAAUGUUUAUCAUAAUGAAUCAAGAGUGUACAUACAAACACUUUGAUGUUGGAUUUGAUGGGAAAACAAAAUCAUAACAGUUCACAAGGUAUAAACAACUCAUCACCCAAAUCACAAACACAAAGGGAUACAUAAAAUACCACCCUAAAGAAAACAAUAAGGGAUAUGAAGUUAACUUUAAGAGAUACAAAGUAUAAAAAGAAAAUCAAAAUCUGCUAAAACAAUUUAUCUUUAAAAUGUGUUGAAUAUCCCUCUGAACUAGCUAGCCAAUUUGCUUCAAAUGUAGUGAUUCCAAGAGCAUAUGACAGCUAAGACAAUAAACUUUCCAUUGACAUAUGGUUGACAUAUUAAUUUAGGACCAUUUGUCCCCAGUAAAUUUUCAAAGUUGUCUCUAGUUUCAGAAUUCCCGCUCAUGCUACUAGAGUAAGAAUUUGCAACUCUUUCAACUUAUUUUCAAAGUCUAUGUGUUGGGACACUCCCAUGUCACACUCUCCCAAUAUUAAUUUAAAUAUAGAUUCAUAUUAAUUAGUCUAUGAAUGAUUUGCUUAUCCUCUUGCAAAAUAGUUAAUUUGAUUAAUGAUGAUCUUAAAAGCUUUUAAGUUAUAAACAUAUCUUUGGAUGAUUAAUGAACAUGAUUAUGUGUUCUUUACAAUUUUGAUUUGCUCAUAUAAGCUAAUAACAUGUCUUUUAAGUGACUUGAAAAGCUUGAAGAAGGGCCUUGUGAUUCCAUAAAAGCUUAGUAAUGAUCCUCAAAGUUCAAAUGCAAGCUUAUGUCUAUUUAAUAUGUCUUAAAGAAUUAGUACCACAUAAAAUGAAGUGAUGUCUAGUGUCUAUGUGUUUUGUCCUAGAGUGAAGAACAAGGGAAUUGAAGUUGCUACUUGCACUACUAUUAUCAUCCAGUACAAUCAUGAUUCCUUGAUCUAUUUCAUAAUCACUUUACAAUUGCUUGAUUCAAAGAAGUUAGGCACAAGAACUACCAAUUACAUAUUCCGCUUCAUCUAUGGAUAGUCAAACAUCAUUUUGUUUCUUACUCAUCUAAAUCAAGAUGUGAAAUAGAAAAAUGUAUACUUCAAUUGCAAAUAAAGUGGACAAUGUUCCCUUGCUUUUUAAUUAUGAGAGCUAGCCUCACAUGAGCAUUUGGUUUAGAACUAGGUAAUCAUUGAGUCAUCUCCACUAUCUAAUUAAGCCCUUGAAGUCCAAAUACAAGCGAUGAGGUUUGACAAUUUUAUGCUAUGCAAUUAAUGAUAAUGUAGAGAGGACCAAAAAAACAGAGGAGCUUCCUAUUGACACUCAUUAGGAAAAAAAAUUACAUUGAAGCAUAAGAAUAAAUACUCCAUAAAAUUCAAUUUUAAUGAAAUUAUAUAAUACAAAUGAAAAUGAUGUUGUUAAAGAGCAUGGUAUAUAUUGUGAACUCAAAUUCUACAAGUUAACCUUUUAGAAAAAUUGGUAAUUGAGUAGAGCUUGGUUUGACGGGAGGUCAUGUGUUCAAGAGUCGCUUCUCCCCAAUUUGCAUAUUUAUUUCCUCCUAGGCUACCAAUGAUCUCAUUCUUGGAGCAUGUGUUUCUGGUUUGGUAGAAGAAGCAGCAGCCCUACUAUAUAACAGUGGAAGAAGCAUUAGAAUCUUUGUCUCUUCUUCAAGGUCUUUAGAUUUUUUCAAUUUGUUUUCUUUUCAAUUCUCAUGCAUACAUCUAAUUUUCCACUUCCAUAAUAUUUUAACCUCUGGAUGUGAAAUAGUAUUUGUAGAUCAAUCAAAAGUAUUCCAACGUAAUAUGUCACUAUAUAAUAAUCCAAUAUUUCAACCUCUAUAUCUGAAAUAGUAUAUGUAGAUCAAUCAAAAGCAUCCCACCAUGUAUAUUCAGCUAAUGUAAUCGCUACCACCAACAAAACUAAUUAUUGGUUUCAUUUUAAGAUGUUAUAGCUAAUAAAUCCCUACUUUCCUUACCAUCAAUUACUCAAUAGAUAUCAUGCUUCAAUUUAUUCCUAAUUCCAACGGUAAAUCACUGGUAAUAGAAGGCAUGAUAUACAUAUAUAGGGUCAUUUCUUUGAGUGACUUUACUCAAAAGGAUGGUCUUGAUUACAACUAGCAAAUUCUGUUUAUAAGAAGACCCUAUACAAAACUCACAUGGCUAUGAUCAUUACUUGAGUCACUAUCACACAGAAUUCAUACCAGUUUUGUUUACAAAUUGUUCUUAGGAAGAACAUAUUCCAACUGGGGGCUAAUACAAGUAGAGGUUCCAAGCUACAGACCAAGAAGGUAUGUACCAACAGAUACCUAGCUAGGAUUGCUUCUUCUAGUAACGGUUGGUUAUUAGCACAUAAAAAUGUGAGCAGGCAACUAAGUUGGAACCUUAUAGACACCGUUAGUCUCCCUAGCUUAUGAUAAAGAAUCUUUAAGGCCAUUAAGUCAACAGUUCACACUUACUAACUAGGUUUUUCUCUUUGUCGUGACUUUUUUUUUUCUUAUGCUUUUGGUAGAGCCUUGGUUAACACAUCUGCAAUUUGAUCCUCAAUCUUGCAAUAAAGCAGUUUAACUUCACCAUCCUUUUGUUCUUCUCUUAAGUGAUACAACUUGAUCUUGAAAUGCUUAGUCUUGCCAUGAAAAACAUAAUCAUUUGAAAUUGCAAUUGCAGCUUGGUUAUCUACAUGAAUCUGUGUUGGCUCAUUUUGCUUCAUGUGUAGAUCUGCAAGUAUUUUUCUGAUCCAAAUUGCUUGAUUUACAGUAGCAUUGGCUGCUAUAUAUUCUGCAUCUGCUAUACUUUGAGCUAUCACAUCUUGCUUCUUUAAGGACCAUGAAAAAAUUCCAAAUCCAAAGCUGAAACAAAAUCCUGUUGUACUUCUCAUGUCAUCAAUAGAACCUGCCCAAUCACUAUCAGAAUAACCAUGAAGUUUAAAAUUCUGAUAGUAAGAAUAUUUAAUGCCAUAAUUUGUUGUGCCCUUGAUAUAUCUUACAAUCCUUUUGGUAGCUUGAAAAUGCACUUCACUAGCACAAUGCAUGAAUCUUGAAAGCAAGCUUAAUGAAAACAUUAUGUCUGGUUUGGUGGCUGUAAGAUACAUCAAGCAACCAAUCAGGCUCCUGUAUUGGCUUUCAUCCACUUUUUCUGCUCCAUCAUCUUUGCUAAAUUUCUCCUUCUGAUUCAUUGGUGUGUUGGUCCUUUUGCAAUCUUCCAUGUGAAAUUUGUUAAGUAUUUCCUUUGCAUACUUCUUUUGGCUUAUGAAGACUCCAUCAUGAUCUUGCUUCACCUCCAUACCUAGAAAGUAGGACAUCAAGCCAAGGUCUGUCAUCUCAAAUACUUUGAGCAUUUCAGCUUUAAACUCUUUUACCAGUUUCUCAUUGCUACCUGUUACAAACAGAUCAUCAACAUAAACAGAAACUACAAUUAAGUUAGCAUCUGUUCCUUUUAUAUAUAAUGUAGCUUCACUUGGACUUUUAACAAAUCCAAGACUUUGAAGAUGUUCAUCAAUCCUGCUGUACCAGGCCCUAGGAGCCUGUUUAAGACCAUAUAAGGCCUUUUUCAACAAGUAAACCUUCUCCUCUUGUCCAUUGACUUGGAAUCCCUCGGGCUGCUCUACAUAAAUUUCCUCUUGAAAAUAACCAUUUAAAAAAGCAGAUUUUACAUCCAACUGGUAAGUCAUCCAUCCAUUUUGUGCUGUCAAAGCAAGCAACAUUCUGAUUGUAUCCAAGCGUGCUACUGGAGCAAAAGUUUAUGAGAAAUCCACUCCAAACACUUGACUAUACCCCUUCAUAACUAAUCUAGCUUUGUAUUUAUUUAUAGAACCAUCUGUAUUAAGUUUGGUUCUAUAAACCCAUUUGACUCCAAUGACCUUUCUGUGUUGAGGUAUGUCCACCAACUCCCAGGUGUCAUUCUUUUCAAUCAUUCUAAGCUCCUCUUUCAUUGCUUCAGUCCACUUGUCAUCCUUCUCUGCCUCUUCAAAUUCUGCAGGCUAAAAAACAACAACAUUACUUCUUUCAUAAACAUCAGAUAAGGACCUUGUACCUCUAACUAGGACAUCAUCUAUGUUUUCAUCAAAGUAUUGAGGAACCUCUGGUAGUUGCAUCUUUAUUGACUCCUCCCAAUUCCAUUGUCUAUCCUCUAUGAACUUGACAUCUCUACUUACAAGAAUUUUUCCAUUUUGUGGUUGGAAAAUUCUGUAAGCCUUGGAAGAGUUGCUAUAUCCAAUGAAAACUCCUGGUUCUGCCUUCUUAUCAAGUUUGUCUCUUUUCACCUGUGGCACAUAAGAAAAACAAAGACAACCAAAGUUCUUAGAUUCUGCAAAUCUGGUUUAUAACCAAACCAGGCUUCAAAUGGAGUUUUUUUUUUUUUGCAAAACUCUAGUUGGCAGCCUAUUCAGCAAAAAACUGCAGUGUUUGCAGCCUCUGCCCACAAUUUCUUUGGCAACUCCUUCUCAUGUAGCAUACACCUUGUCAUCUCCAUAAUACUUCGAUUUUUUCUCUCACUUACUCCAUUUUGUUGUGGAGUGUAAAGUGUUGUGAGUUGGUGCUCAAUACCGGCUUCUUCAUAGAACUUAUCAAAAAUUUCAUUUGUGUAUUCUUUCCCAUUAUCUGACCUUAUCUUCUGCAUCCUGCAACUGCUUUGAUUCUCCACCCAUGCUUUAUAUUUCCAAAAUACAUUAGGAACCCCAUAGUUGGAUUUGAGGAAAUAAAUCCAACAAAAUCUGGUAUAAUAAUCAAUAAAUGCAAUGUAGUACUUACUACCAUUUAAAGAUGGUGUUUUCUGAGGUCCUCCAACAUCUGUGUGUACCAGUUGCAGCUUGUGCAUUGCUCUCCAUGUUGUUUGAGGGAAGGGUUUUCUAGUUUGCUUUCCAUAUUGACAAGCCACACAAUCAGCUAGCUUGUCUUGCAGCAAUGGCACACCUUUCACCAAAUUAUGUUUCUGCAUAUAUAGAAGUCCAACAUGGUGGAAAUGCCCGAGCCUUCUGUGCCAUAAUUUUGCAUUGCGUUCAAUGCUUGAAAAUGCUAUUUGCUCAUCCUCCAUUAGAUUUAGAGCAAAGCUUUUUGCUCUCAUUUUCACUUUGAAUACAUCUCUACCUUUCGCGUCUUUGAUCAAGCACCAUUUGUCUUCAAAUAUGACUUUGAAACCUUUUUCAGUUAGCUAUCCAACACUAAGCAGGUUUUGAUCAAUGUCAGGCACAUAUAAAACAUUAGUAAUAUACUUCAAACCUAUUAAGCUUUCUAUAGCCACAGUUCCUUCCUUUACCCUUAACUGAAAUAAAUUCACCAUUUCCAAUUUUUACCUUGGAGAUAAUAGUUUUAUCAAGCUCCUUAAAGAGCUCUUGGUCAUUGGUCAUGUGGUUUGUGCAGCCACUAUCAAUCAACCAAGAAUUGCUAGAGUUGUUACUUGUUGUGAAGCAUGUUGCAACAAAAAGUUGCUCUUCUUGAUGUUGCUUAGUAGAAGCUGUAGGGACCCCUCCCUCCGAGAACACGUGGCACGCAUCUUACAGUGACACGUGGCACGCAUCUUACAGUGACACAUGGCACGCAUUGUCAUCCGGGUCAUCCUCAUCCGGAUCUUCCUAUAAAGCACACAUGGCGCACUUUUUAUCUGGACUGCCUCAAGGAAGGGCAAACGACGCUUACAAAGCAUAGACAUUCGGACGGCUUCCAUUAAUGCGUCCGCUCCACAAUACAUCCGGAUAACCAACAUGGACUAUCCGGAUAUGAUUGUCCGGAUCAUUGACUAAAGUAAAGCGAGUCUUACACGCUAUCACAACAACCAACCAUGGCCCACGUCCCAUCACCUGCAGAGUGAAAGGACGGGUUGAGGUGACAACAAGUCACUUCCCACGAUCGUUCUAGAUGAUCACUUCCUACGAUCUCUGAUAGCCGCAUCACCUACCACGGUUUCUGACAGCCGCCCGUAGGGUGGUGAUGACCCUGCUGCCAUCUAAAUAUCAUCAUGACAACAUGAAAUAUCUCCCCACCAUUAAUGAGAGGAACAAUACUCCUGGCACUAUAUAUAAACCUUCACACGAAGAGGAAGGUAAUCGCCUGAUACCUAGAAAAAGGCCAACUGAUUUAUAUCUCCCUCUCUAACCAUGGCUAACAAAACCAUCGGAGGGUGCGUCCGGACACCCUGUCCGGAUGCCUUUUGCAGGUAUAACGACUGAAUCAAGAACCUAUUUUGGUUGAGGUCGCGGAUCCAUCCAUUUGGCAACUACGUGGAACACUAGGAGCGCGAGGUAUCAACAUAAGCUUUUGCCUCUUCAUGUUGUCGUGACUUGCAAAUCCACUCCAUGUGUCCAAUCUAACCAUAUUUCUUGCACUUGACAUCAGGCCUCCACCAACACUUCCUUUGUGGGUGAUUUGUCUUUUUGCAGUGUAGGCAAGGUGGAUAGGUUCCAUCCUUGUUUUUGUUGUUGUUGUCAGUCUUGUUGAUCUUCUUCUUAUUGUUGUUUUUCUUGUUUUUGCCUCAUCUUGAAUUUUAUGCCUUUGCUUGAAGAGCACCCUCCAUCGAUUCUUCUUUUCUUAUCAUUCUCCUUUGCUCUUGUGCCUGCAAUGCAUUCACCAAUUCUACCAAGGAUAUGCUUGACAAAUCCUGCAUAUAUACUUGAGUGUUGCAUUUACAACACACUGAAAGAGAAGUUCACCUAUAUCAGAAACUGCCACACGCACAUAGAGAUCAUGGCCGCCAUCCAAAUACGCCUCCUGAAUGUCAUUAAGAUUUUCCUCCGAAAUCAUACUGAUGGCGGUGUCUGCACGAGUCUCGACUUCAACAUAGGCAUAAGCCUGGCAGUUGUUACAGUCUCUGUUGCAGUGAUUUUCGCAUUCUUUUUCAUUUGUAGUACUGUUGAACUGUGUGUCUGAUUUUUUCACUCUCAUCAUCUCUAGCCUCAAAAAAGUGUCAUUCUUGCUGCACAGGGGUGAAAUUCUUCUACAGUCCCCCGAAAAAUCUCCACCAUUCCACUUUGCUGGAAAAUUUGGUUGGAAUCCUGGCAAACACCUGCACAAAAUCCUAUUUCUAGUACUGCAGCUGCCAAAACUUCCACAGGGAUUAUUCCCAUCGCAUCUGUCUUUUGGUUCCUUCAAAAGCGAAUACCAAGAGCCCGUCUGAUUACGGAUCUGUAGAUACUCUAUCUGGCCGGAAAAUUUCAUCACCAACCUCCUAUAAUAAAAAGAGGUUGUUGGUUGGCUACUAUUAAUGCUGGAAUUUGAUAACAUUUUGGAUAAUUCAGAAUACAUCUUAUGGUCCCAACCGGAUGUAAUGAAAUCAUCUGAUAUCCCACUCUUCCAGUAUGUAUUAGGCCCAUUCUGGAUGAUGUACAGGUUCUGUGCUACUUGAUCUUUCCUGAAAGUGAAGUUCCCCGAACCCGGGUCACUGCUGCUUUUCCAUGAAGUCAACACCAAGUUGCCAUCCAUCUUCAUACCUGGAAGAAAAGUAUCAGUUGCGUUUCCAAAGCUUUGCCACAGACUUGUUGGUAGCUGAUCAUUCUUCAGAACCAGGUUCCCGGAAUCUAUGAGCUGCGCUAGCUACCUUUUCUGUAGAUGACGAUUUCUGGAGAGGGGUUGACCAGAAAGGUCUCCCUCUUCCAUUCGAAUUCAACACGAGGUUACCAUCUUGAAUGGACAAAACUCCAGUGGAAUCAGGCAGUGGGUCGUUUCUAUUGGCUACCCACACAACGGUUUUCGUCUCCAACCUGUAAUACCAUAUACCAACAUAUCUUUGGUGACUAGACUCCCAUUAGGGGUGAAGAACCCCAAUUCAAAUGUCUUACCAACAGACAAGAGAGUUUCUCCAUCACCAUCACUGAUCGGAUCAUUCUGCCUUAUGGUAUCUCUUGCUGCACAUGUUUGAUAACAACACAACAAUGUUGGGUACAAGAUGAAGAUGGUAGAUACCAUGUGAAUUGUUGUUGACCAUGUAAUUGCAAUUCUUCUUCUUUUGAUUACUAUUAGGUAGUUAAGACUUCCCUUCUUCACUUGGAGCUGUGGUAGAGGCUGCUGCUGAAUUAAUCCCCAGUGUUUUCUGUCAACAACCAUGUCCGGUGUUGUUCCUAAUUCACAAAAAAUGGCAUAUCUCAUUGAUUUGGUAAACCAAUUCAAACAUUGAUCUGGUCAAAUUUUGUGAACUCAUUAUUACAACAUAGUACAUAAGACUUUGUUUGGGAAGUGUUUUAAAUUUUAAAAUUUGGCAUUUCUUAAAAUCUUGACUAAACACAAAGUCAUAGUUUAAAAUUUUAUCGAAUGCCUCUAAUACUUUAAAUCAAGUGAAACGUGAAUGAAAUUAACAAAUAAGAAGAAUAAGAAAUAUAGUUUCACACUUAAGUAACAACUAAUACUAUAGAGAAAUGACCACAAGCUGGAAAGUCUUGACCAAUUUGAAAAAUCAUUUGAUGUAGUUGAAAUAAUUGAAUUUUGGAUAAAAUUCAUAACUGUCUCAACAUUAUUUUUUUUCCCUUUUUAUUUUUAUUGUUUGAAUAUUCAAGAGUUAAAACCAUUCCAAUGCUCCUUUUUGCCAUGUAUAAUUAAACUGAACCAACAAUUAGGAUAAGCACGAAAAAGAAGGAACCGAGAAGAAGAUAUCAACAAUAUUAACCGGUUUUAUUAUGGGACAACUCAUGAUGUUCAUAUUGAUCUAUUAUGCACCUUUGCAUCUAGCAUUAGCUAGACUCAUACUGUCCUAGCUCUACUAUAUCUUUUAUUUCAUUUCGAUCUUCUGAAACAAUCACAAACACUUUUCAUUAUUAUUAUUAUUAUGAAUCAAAUGGGACAUAAAUGAAAUUAACAAAUGAGAAGAGUGAAAAAGGUAAUUAACAAAAUUUCAAGCUCAUCGUUGCUAAAUAUUUUAUAAAUAAAAAUUGCCCAAGAAACGAGCCUUUAAAAGUGUACCUUUAUUUAAAAAUAAAUAAAGGUAAAUUAAAGUAUUGACUUAGUACAUAAAUAUCAACACGAUUCCAAUCCAACGCAUUUUUUUGUGGGUUUUGGUUGAAUAUAAUUCUAUUUAUAUCAAAUCCGUAUCAACUUGUGUAAUAUAUUUUACUAAUAGGUUAUUUUUAAAUCAACAUACAUAACACGAAUUUGACUCAAGUUAACCUUUAUAUUUAAUAAUCAUACCAAUUAACCUAAUUAUAAUUCUAACCGUUUAAUUAAUAUUUGAUUCAUUUUAAAUUUAUUUUUGAACAAAUAGUUAAUUAAAUUAUAACUAUAUUAACUUGUAAGAUUAAUUAUAUAAAUUUAUACAAAACUUAACUCAAUUAAAAAUUUGAUUUAAAUGAGUUAAAUAAAUUACAAAACAUGUUAUUUGUUUAAUAAUUACAUUGUAUUUAGGUUUAUGUUUUUUACUUUAUUAAUAUCAUUAUUAUGAUUGAGUCAACCUAUUUAGUAGAAUGUUUUAGUCUUGAUAUCACACAAAUUGUCAUCCCUAUCUCUAAUCUUGUCAAACAAAUAGUUUGAAGGACAUAUUUUUUUAACUAAAGAAAAUUAUUACCUUACAUAGAGUUUUAUUAAAAAAAAAAAAAAAAAAGCCAAAUAAAAAAAUGUAAUUAAAAAUAAUUAGAAAUUUAUGCAUUUUCAAAUUAUUUAAUAAAUUUAAAGAAGUGAAAUGGAUUUAAAUUGACUUAUAAAAAUAAGUUAUCAACUUCAAAUUUUUUUCCUUUCUAAUUUUUUUUAAAAUUUUUUUCCCUCACAUUUUUUUUCAUAGUUAUAGGAAACAAACAUAACCUAAUUAGGAUCCUACUAUCAUGUUUUUUUAUUCCCAAAAGUUUUUGGGUCUAACCUUUUUCUAAACUUAUUUCAAAGGGCAUCUAUAACACAAGAUAUUAAGUGUGCUUGCUCGACAUGUAGUCUUUCAUUGAUUUCCUUUUCGAUUAAAAACUUUUAGACAAGUCAGAUAUAUAGUUUUUGCUUUCUUAACAGAAACCAAAGUCUAAGUCUUUGCACAAAAUCCUAAUCAAAGAGAUCUUUUAGAAAUCUUAUUGGAAGAGAAUUUAAAACCAGAGUGGUGACAAAAGCACACGAACAAAUAAAAUUGGACAAAGAAAUUAAGCAUCUCGAUGAGUUGAUAAAUAUCUUUGUCAAUACUUCUACUUGAGAGAGAAAUACAUUAGAUUUCUACACUUUUGAAUAGUUGCCUUGAGUGACUCCAAUUAUUGGAAGCCAAGGUCAAGGUCGUUGAAGUUUGUCCAUUUUUUCCCCUUGGUCCCACAUUAUUUGCUUCUCCUUAAUUUCCUCCGGUUUGGGAAAAGGACAUUCACACGGUUUGGUGUAGGAACCACCCUUUCCUUUAGUAUCCAUGAUUACUUUUCUACCCAAUAAUGAGGAAAACAUUUAUGAAGGCCCCAUGUGAGGACUAUUAUUGGUGACUCUAGAAAUAGAGCUAUUCAAUUUCCCUCAUAAAUAGUGUAACAUCCAAAAUAAACUUUAGAGACAAAAUAGUAAAUUAUUAAUUAAUUAAACUCAUUAAAAAUAAACGAGUCAUUUUACAAUUAAAAAUCGUAUCAAUUAGAUUUUCAGUUUAUCUUCUUUAUUUAGAAAACUUUAUUAACAAAAAAUCAAAGAAUUGAAGAACGUAAGGUUAAAGAUUUGGAAGUCUAUAGUUUGAAGUUCAAUUAUUUUUUUUCAAGUAAGAUUCUAACCCUAGAUUAAUAUAUUAUAUUCAUUAGUUAGUUUUGACUGUGUUAGAUAUUUUUAGAAAAUUUUAAUUUAGAUUAUAAUUAGUUUAUUUAAUUUAUUUUAAGAUAUAAAAAAUUGAAAUUAUGAAUGUUGUUUCAUUGAUGAAAAUAGAGAAAUUCAAAAUUUUUUUAGAUGAAUAAAUCUAAACAAUGAAAUUUAAAAAAAUUAAAUGAUUAAAUAAGUAUAUGAUUAUAUGUGGCUUAAGGGAUUGAAAAAUAAUAAAAAGAAGAAUAGCAUGUUUUUGGAUUUUGGAUUUGAGGAACUUUUUAAUAAUAAAAAUAAUUAAGGUUUACUAUUAAUAAGAAUAAUGAUAAUAAUGAUAAUAAUGAUAAUAAUGAUAUUAAUAAUAAUAAGAAGAAGAAUUGUGUGAAGAAUAAUUUCAUUUUCAACGUAGAAAUGUGAUUGUCAAGGCCUCAGUGAAGAGAACGGUAACGGACCCUGCUGUAAACGACGAUGGGUCACGAGCAAACGGUGAAAUUGCGGAUGAACCCCACAACUGUAAAGUGCUUUUGACGCGUAAUGGGUUCCACCACUACCAUUAUUGGGGAAUAUUUCUGGUGGAUGAAAAGCCGCUUUUGGGUUCACGGUUGACUCAUUAAAUCUCCUACCUAUCUCUGAGUUUGUCAACUGAGACCACCGAGUUUUAUUUAUUUAUUUAUUUUUUUCUUUUCCUCGGUUCAAUUUUUGUUUCCAAUACGAGGAAAAGGGCUUUCAAGUCUGACACGUGGAAAGUCAGUGGGCAUCAUAAUUUUGUUACAUUUUUAGGGUUUGUUGGAGCUGCAAUAGGGACAAUAAUUUUUGUAUGGAUAAGCUACAAAUCAGAUAUCGAAUCUAAAACAAAUGUUUAAUGGUGCAACUAAAAGAUGUUUUUUCAAACAUUUUAUUUAUAUUUUUUAUGUGAAAUAUGUUUUUUUUUCUCCCAAAGAAUAGAAAACUAUUUUUAAAAAAAUGUUAUUAACAAAAUCUAAGUAUAAAAUCAAUUAAAAACAAUGAGAUUUUUUUCUUAAAAUUUUCUAUGAUAAGAUAACAUUAGAAUGACACUAUUAGCAAAAUAAAAAUUUAAAGCUAAAUAUACAUUCCUACAAUGUGAAUAAUUAAAUAGCACACAAUCUAAUAUAAUUAUUUAAUUUAUUUCUAAAUUAGAUAUUAUUUAAUUAAUUACCAAAAUUUAGAAAAAAAAAAAAUCAAACUCAAAAUUAAAGAGAACCUAAAUUUUUUUAAAAAAAAUUAUUUAAUAAAAUGUCAAAUACAAAAUUACCAAAAAAAAAUUAACAUUAUUAGAAAAGUUAUAAUAAAAUUAAAAUUUACAUUUAAUGCAAGAAAGAAAAAUAAAUAAAAUGUUGAAUGCAUGAAAAAAAUUAAAUUGAACUUUUAAAACUCAAAAUUAAAUUUAUGGGGUUUCUAUUUUAUUUUUUAUUAUUCGAAAACCUUAUUUAUAUCUAUGAGAUUUUUUAGGGAACUCGCCCAUCUACUGGCUUGGUCAAUGUAAUAUAAACUUCUUUUAAUCAUAUAAAUGUAUUUUAAAAUCAUGAAUAUUGAUUGUGCUCAAAGUAAAUAAUAUCGUAAAUACCUAUUCUGUUCAAAGUGGAUAAUAUCUACAUAAGAAAGAGCAAAUUAUUAUAAAUGAUAUUAAAAUCAAUCCUUGAAUAUGCGAGACUACCUAAAUGGUCUUAGAGGGAUGUUUAUGUGUUUGACCUUUGCAUGGUAUAAGUAAUGAUAUCUAUCUUAUCACCGACCAAUCAUGAAAUAUGAUAUAAUAUCCAUAUUUUAUCUUAUUUUAUACUAUAUCCGGUUAACCAAACAUGACCUAAGGUUAAUUGUUGUAACUAGUCAAGUUUUAGCCAUGACGGAUGCAUACUCAAUCAUGGUAUUAUCUCAGCCUUUUGGGCUUCCAGGACUGGUCCUUUAAAUUUGGGCUCAAACCCAACCUAAUGGAAGAGGGCCUUAACUCAGUUCAUGGGCCUGUCUAGCCUGCCGCGCUGGUUUCCAACUGGCUCGACCCAGCCUAGACUAGGGGUCGUGCCCGUCCACUAUAUUGUUAUAAUUUUUAUAGGAUCAUAGGUGAUUUAUUCUUUGAAUUUUAUAGUAAAGAGACAAAGCUUGAUAAUAAGAAUUUGGACAUUGUCUAAAAAAUUUUAAGGGUGUUUAGCAUCUAAAUUUUGAGAAUUUCUUUGGCUAUAAAAAAAUUUGAGAAAAACUACAAAGAAAAUAAAAUAAAGAAAAAAAGUAAAAAGGAAAAAAAAUGAUGAAAAAUAAUGAAUAAAUUUAAAGUUCAUGCGAUAUUUUUAUAUGUUAUUUAAAAAAAAUUAACUCUUAUAUAUAAAGGUUGAAUAAUUUGAAAAUAUAUAGAUUUCUAAUUAUAUUAAAUUUUCUUACAUAUUUUUAAUGAUAAAAUCAAAUAUGAAAUCAAACAUGAGAAUAUAAUUUUUCUUAAUAAUUUUUAUUUUUAUUUUUUUAACAUUUUUCUUUCUUUUUAUGAUACAUACUCUUAAGUCUAAUCCAAUGAGGUAGAGGUAGUUGUACAUAUAAGGUCCAACUAAUGUUGGUUGAUGUGGGACAUUGAACUUUCGUCUGUCCUAUGUAGUGAACCUACAGAACGAGCAUCCCUAUUCAAUUGUUAAUACUCAAGUCUAGGGUGGGCUAAACCAAAUCUUAUCAUGAUAUCAAAUUAUAUGAGGCCACAUACACUCUCAUGAAAAGCCUAAGCUAAUGGGGUAAAGGUAGCUCCACGUAGAAAACCUAACCAACAUUAGUAAUCAAUUGAAAUGGGACAUUAGACUUUUGUGCUUCCUACUUAACAUUGUUUGAGUUUCUAACAAGGUAAACAACCCUAUUCAAAUAUUUAAUUAUUAGUAGAUCAAGAAUUUGUUAGGUAUUGAUUUUAGGAAUCAUUUCUAAUAUUUUUAGCACUUGGAAAUUUUUAUUAAAAGAGUUAUUUUCUAGUAUUAGAAAUACUAGAAAUGAUUCCUAGAAACCCUAUUCAUUUUAUUUUUUAUUUUUUUUGCUCUUUCUCUAUAAGAGCAAUAUAAAGAGAAUACAACAAGAAGGUAGAUAUUGUUGACAAGAAAGGGAAUAAUUUGUAUAAUGGAAUCUGUAUACACAAUUGCUUUCUUUAAAUGCUUAUAACCCAUAUAUGAUCUAAAUUUGUCUAGAAAUGUCUAAGGAAAGUUGACCUUAUAGAGUAGUAAUCUGCUCCCUUUAGUUAUGCCUGUAACGUAGGGAUUAUACAACUCAUGUCCACACUCUCCCUCAAGUUGGUGCAUAGAUGUCGUUGAUGCCCAACUGCAUACCAUCUUAGUGAGGAUGUCUGCUAGUUGGUCUUCUGAUUUGAAAAAUGGGAAUCAGAUUAUAUUAACUUCUAAGUUUUUCUUGAUAAAAUGUCGGUCUACUUCCACAUGCUUAGUUCAAUCAUGUUGGACUAGGUUAUAAGCAAUAUCAAUGGCUGUCUUGUUAUCACAAAGCAAGUUCAUCUCGCAACAAGGAGAAUAGCCAAUUUCUAUCAAUAAUCUUCUCAGCCAGAGUAACUCACACAACCCCUUAGCCAUUCCUCGAAACUCCGCCUCUGCACUAAAUAGUGCUACUGAUUCGUGCCCGAUUGGUGUUCCAAUUGAUUCAACUCAAUUGAUGUGCUUUGAUCUCAAUCCUCAAACGGGAGUAAUCAACAAAAUUUAUAAACCUAUUUCACCAUAUACUGGGGUAGCAUUUAGCUAGCAUAGUAUAGUGGCUCUAGGAUCGUCCACAGAGAUGGGUUUUUACAUCGCAAUUGAUAUUAGUUCAAAAAUUGAAUUGGUACUUUUUCUUUUCUUUGUUAGCUUUAAAAGAAGACAUAAGUUUGAAUGAAAACGGAUGGUAUUAAGCUAACCUAACAUAAAGUAACUGAUUUUACUUACAAAGAAAAGUGUUUCUUGGAGUUUUAGAUCACUAGGCUCAGAUUCCUCAUACAAAAAGGGAGUUCCGGUCACUUGCUUCUUUUCCUCGCAUUAGAGAAUUAACAUAUAGUUAAUUCUCUAACCGGUGUGGUACAGAUGCUUCCCAUUAAUGGGUUCAAACACUAAAUUUCUCUCACUGAUGCACCUUGCAAUGGGCUCAUACCUCUCACCAAGCACUUUCCAUUCAAGGUGAUCUUUAACCUUGGAUUACCCGUCAAAAGCGAACAAGAGAUAACAAUUAGACCUCCAUGGAGCAAGAUUGCAAGCAAUAAGAAUCCAUGGAAUUCGAAAGCUUACCAAAUAUUGGCUAUUCUAGAAAAUCCUACCUUCAAACCACCUACCAAAAGCUCGCAAGAGAUAAACUAGUGCAUCUCUAUGGACGGAGAUCACUUGCCUUACCAAGUGUUAGCUCAGGUGAAUUGAAGGCGUUUUAAGUUAACUAAAAAGAUAAAAACCAUUAACAGGUCACACUUUCUCUUCAUUAAAAACUAAAACAACAAAACUUCCAAUUUAUGCAUGUGGAAACUUACCCGGCUUUCCUCACUCCAAGAGACGAAGAGCCUAGCCUCUCAUCCUCUGAGGAAAAAUCCUCAGAGUUUGGUUGGCUAGAAAGAAAAAGAAAAUGAAAAUGAAAGAGAAGGAAAAACAAAGCAAAGCUCUGUAUAUUCUAUAUACUUAUAUAUCUAUAUCUUUUACAAUGGAUGCAAGGGAAUAUAUAUAGAGAAGUUUUUCCAACCUUCCUAUCUAAGAAAUCUUAUGGUUGGUGGAUUACAAGGAGAAGAAUGGAAAUUUAUACAAAAAUAUCUUAAGAAAAGAUCUAAAAGAGUUGGUGCACAAAUAUCCCAGUUCGCAUGUAGAUUUCGCACGUUGCAUGGUGACUUGCGAAAAUCUCGCAAGUUGAUUUCGCAACUUGGAAUCCAUUUUCGCACGUUGAGCUCCAAGUUCGCAAGUUGCAAAAUCACUUUCGCAAGUUGGGUUUCUCUGUGACUGUGCGGCUGUAUUCCAUUUCCAUUUCGCAAGGUAGGCUUUAAUUUCGCACGUUGGAGUUCCAAAUUCGCAGAUGCGAAUUGUCCUUCAACUGGGUGUAUUUGUCUUGNNNNNNNNNNNNNNNNNNNNNNNNNNNNNNNNNNNNNNNNNNNNNNNNNNNNNNNNNNNNNNNNNNNNNNNNNNNNNNNNNNNNNNNNNNNNNNNNNNNNUAAAAACCAUUAACAGGUCACACUUUCUCUUCAUUAAAAACUAAAACAACAAAACUUCCAAUUUAUGCAUGUGGAAACUUACCCGGCUUUCCUCACUCCAAGAGACGAAGAGCCUAGCCUCUCAUCCUCUGAGGAAAAAUCCUCAGAGUUUGGUUGGCUAGAAAGAAAAAGAAAAUGAAAAUGAAAGAGAAGGAAAAACAAAGCAAAGCUCUGUAUAUUCUAUAUACUUAUAUAUCUAUAUCUUUUACAAUGGAUGCAAGGGAAUAUAUAUAGAGAAGUUUUUCCAACCUUCCUAUCUAAGAAAUCUUAUGGUUGGUGGAUUACAAGGAGAAGAAUGGAAAUUUAUACAAAAAUAUCUUAAGAAAAGAUCUAAAAGAGUUGGUGCACAAAUAUCCCAGUUCGCAUGUAGAUUUCGCACGUUGCAUGGUGACUUGCGAAAAUCUCGCAAGUUGAUUUCGCAACUUGGAAUCCAUUUUCGCACGUUGAGCUCCAAGUUCGCAAGUUGCAAAAUCACUUUCGCAAGUUGGGUUUCUCUGUGACUGUGCGGCUGUAUUCCAUUUCCAUUUCGCAAGGUAGGCUUUAAUUUCGCACGUUGGAGUUCCAAAUUCGCAAGAUGCGAAUUUGUCCUUCAACUGGGUGUAUUUGUCUUGUGAAAGCCAUAUCUUCCUCAUUUCAGCUCCAAUUCGUACACUGUUUGAAGCGUUGGAUUCUUGACUUCCUGAGCUUUGAAAUGGUAUAUAGCAUGUAGAAAAUGGACUUCGGGAAGUGCUCCAAAAGUGUGAAAGAAGACUGAAGCUGCUGUCCUCUAUUUUCUUCACUCUAUUUUUCCUCUCUCCGUUGUUCUUUCCUUGCAUACUUUGAACGAAUUUGGCAAAGGGCUAUGGAGCUCCAAAGCUUGGUUCUUCAUGAAUUUGAGCUUCCAAAAGCUUUGCCAUGAACUAUAUACAGCUCUCCCUCAUUCUUGGAUUGCUUUGGUGUAGCUAAAAGCUAUCAAAAACACCAAAACUUAACACAAUUUGCUUAGAAACGAUUGCAAGGGUCCUUAACAUGUCAAUUGAGUUAAAAGGUAAUAAUUACUACUCAAGAGUGUUUAAAAGAGUUAAUUACAAGCUACAAAAUAGCACUUUUUGAGUAGUAAUCAGCUACUACUUUAUGUUUUUUUUACUUCGACAUGUUUUCAAGUUUCUCCAACAAAUGUGAGGUAACCUGAUGUGGAUUUCCUAUCGGAGAUAUUUCUUGCCCAAUCAACGUCGAUAUACCCUAUAAUUUCCAGGUACCCAUUCUUUGAGAACAUAAUUCUCUUCCCUAGGGUUCCCUUAAGGUAUCUUAAAAUUUGAGUCACUACAUUCAUAUGAUCUUCACUAGGGCAAUGCAUGAACUGAUUCACUACACUGACCGCAUAGACAAUAUCAGGUCGGGUAUGUGAAAGAUAAAUUAGUUUUCCAACCAAUCUCUGAUAUUUGCCUUUAUCAGUGGGAAUCUGGUCAGGGUAUUCUCCAAGCCUAUGAUUCUAUUGUAUUGGAACAACUGUCAGUUUACAGUCUAGCAAUCCAACUUUUGAUAAUAGAUCGAGAGUAUACUUUCGUUGGGAAAGAAAGAUACCUCGUUUAGAUUGAGCCACCCGAAUUCCUAGAAAAUAUUUCAACCAACCCAAACUCUUUAUUUCAAACUUUGCUGCCAACUGUUUUUUAAGUUUCGCAACUUCCUCGGUAUCAUUACAUGUGAUGAUCAUAUCAUCUACAUACACUAUUAGUGUUGUUACCUUGCCUUGUCGACGCUUUAGAAAUAGAGUGUGGUCAUAAUUGCUUUGUUGAAACCCAUACUUUCUCAUUGCUAGGUUGAGGCGUCCAAACCAAGCUUGUGGAGACUAUUUCAAGCCGUACAGGGUGGGCCACAGUUUACACACUGUCUUGCCAGACGUUUCAAUGUACCCAUGGGGAUAUCCAUAUAAAUUUCUUCUUCGAGGUCACUAUGGAGGAACACAUUCUUUACAUCAAAUUGGAGUAGCGACCAAUCAAGAUUCACUACAAUAAAUAGAAGGACUCUUAUAGUGUUCAACUUGGCUACAAGUGAAAAGGUCUCCAUAUAGUCAACUCCAUAAGUCUACGUAUAUUAUUUCGCUACAAGCCUCACUUUUUAGCACUCAAUUGACCCAUCCACCUUGUAUUUGAUGGAGAAUACCCAUUUGCACCCCACUAUCUUGUGGCAUUCUAGUAAAGAGACAAGAAUCCACGUCUUGUUUUUCAACAAUGCUUCCAUUUCUUCCUUUAUUGGUUGGACCCACCUAGGGUCUUGUAGAGCCUCCUCUAUGCUUGUUUGAAUGUGAUGCGCUGAUAAUGCAUUAGAAAAGCUCUUUAAGGGUUCUGAGAGCUUCUUUGUUGAGACGUAAUUGGCAAUUGGGUACUUUGAUUUGUGUGUCUCAAUAUUUGGAGAAUAGCAUUUUGGUAGUUUGCCAUGAUUGUGCUUGGGAGGUAACUAAUAACCAUCGUCAGUUAAAUGUUUUGUGGCAAGAGGAAAACUUACCUUAGGAACCUCUUCAGGAAUAUUCUCAGAAGUUGGGUCAUGAGGUACUUUAGAAUGAGGGGGUGUCUCAGGAAUUGGAGUUGGUGUCUCAGUAGUCAGCAUUGGUGGCUCUGUAGCUAUUCCAUAUCCAUGGUAAUUGGUGGCUCUGUAAUCAGUGGGAUGUCUGGGAUGUCUUUGAACCAAUUCAACUCUUCAUCGUGUGUCUUCCCCUUAAGAGAAGAAUUGGAUGGAUGAUAGAACAUCUCAGACUCGAGGAAUGUGACAUCCAUAGUAACAUAGAGCCGCAUGUUUGUUGGAUCAUAGCACCAGUAACCUUUUUUAUUGGUGGCAUAGCCUAGAAAGAGACAACGACAAGCACAAGGAUCGAGUUUAGUGCGCUGGUUGCAGUGAAGAUGAACAUAGACAACGCAUCCAAAGGUUCGGGGAAGAAGCGUCGUAGUCGAAAGUACUGAUAUACUCGAGGCUAAGGCCUAUAGAGGUGUUUUGAAAUCCAGAAUUUGGAAUGUCAUUCGAUUAAUGAGAUGCACAAUAAUUGUAACCGCAUUAGGCCAGUAAGGACUAGGUACAUGCGCACUUAAUAGGAGGACACGUGUGGUCUCGAGAAUAUGGCGAUUCUUACGUUCUACUACACCGUUUUGCUCUGGAGUAUGAGGACACGAGGUUUGAUGUAUCAACCCAUGUUGGUGGAAGUACUUCUGGAAUUGUCGAUUGAUGUAUUCAGUGCCAUUAUCAAAGGGAAAAACUCUGAGUUUGGCAGAAAAUUGGGUUUGAGUCAUUGUGUGAAAAGAGUAGAAGACAGUAAAAACCUCAUCUUUGUUUGUCAGUAGGUAGAGCCACAUCAUUCAAGUGCAAUCAUCAACAAAGAGAACAAAUCAGCGAUAACCCGAUAGAGUAGAUUUUAGGGAUGGUCCCCACACAUCAGAAUGAAUUAAGCUAAAAGGUACAUCACUCUUAUUCUUAUGUAAAUGAUAAAUUAUCCGGUGACUUUUGGCCAAAAUACAAGUUUCACAUUGAAAAUCUGAGAUAGAGAAAUCAGAAAAUAAACUAGGUAGUAAAUGCUUCAAAUAUCCAAAUGACGGAUGGUUGAGUCGUCGAUGCCAAAGUCAGAUCUGUUCUAUUCUAGAAUCACCCGACUAUCCCACAUGAUGAGUUUGUCCCAUUUUUAACAGAGCCAUGUUAAAAAUCUCUUAUCUUUCUUUAUUUUCAUGUGUUUGGUUUGGUUAAUGCAGGAGAUCUCCAUCCAAUCUGCAUUUCGCUUAACCAUCCGACAUCAGAAAAUGGAUACAAACUAGAAGUACUUUGCCCUUCCCUACUAUGCAGCCGCUUGUCACCAAAAAUGGCAAGUCCUGGUUGAACUCCAGAAGUCUGCUCAUGGGUGAAAUUCAUCUACAUCCCCAAAAAAUCUCCACCAUACCACUUUCUUGGAAAAUUUGGUUGGAAUCCUGGCAAACACUUGCACAAAAUCCGAUUUCUACUAUUUCAACUGGCAAAACUCUCACUGGGAUUAUUCCCACUGCACCUAUCUUUUGGUUUCUGGAAAAGCGAAUACCAAGAGGCCGUCUCAUUACGGAACUGUAAAUGUUGUAUUUUGCCGAAAAAUUUCAUCACCAACCUCCUAUAAUAAAGAGAGGUUGUAUCUUGAAAGUCAUAAUCAUAUCCUCCAAGUGAGCUUUUUCUUUUAUCAUCACUGAUAAUGGUAGAUCAAAACCAAACUAGAGCACUGAUGAAAAGAUUGAAAUUGCAUUGGGUUCUUUUAAGAUUGAAGAAGAGAACAGUGGAAAAGGCAUUAUGGGUAAAAGAAUUGUCAAACUUGCAAGAUUUGUUUCUAUUUCUUUUGGUCAUUGGUCAAGUAGUCAUUACUUUUUUAUUUUUUAUUUUAUUUUUAUUUUUUAAAAUCAACUCUUGAUUCAAUGAUUUCACAAUGCAUGUAUCAAUUGGAUGAUGAUUCUUGAAUUAGAAAUUUCCUUCCACACAAUAUGAUUAUAAAUAAAUACACAAGAAAAAUGAGCAACAGUACUACCAAAGAAUCAAACAGUUUUAGGUCUACUUCGUCUUGCGGCCUUAAGGCAAAAAUAUAGAAAAUAAGAUGGGAAGUUAGUGAUUUACAAUUGGUGUAGAGAACAAUCGAAUAGAUAUUCAUGAAAUCAAUUUACACUAAAACACACCUGUGAUUAUGUCCUAAGAAAUCCAAUUCUGAUGCAACAUAUAUGAAGUUGAUAACACCAACAAACAAGACUGAACUUAUGGCUGAUUCUCCCUAACUAUCUACCUUCUUCUAAGCUGACAGUUAUCUCAUUGUUGGAGCAUGUUUUCGGAUUGGUGGAAGAGGAAGGAGCUAAGCUGGGCGGCCCUCUUCUCACAACAAAGGCUGGUUGCUAGGGUAUUGGAAGUGUGGCUAUCUCACUAUUGAGCAUGAGAAAUGCAUUGGGCAAGGUGGGGCGAUCACUUGGGUCUUCUUGUACACACAACAACCCAACAUUUACACACCUCAAGAAUUCAUUAGUGUUGCAUGUUUCACUUAGUGUCUGGUCCAUCAAAUCAUACACCUUGUCUUCUUUCCACAAUCUCCAUGCUUGGAACAAUUCUCUUGAUAUUAAAAUUAGAUUUGCUAAAGUAAAAUGAUAGGUUGGGCAAUCAUAUCAAUUUGAUAUAUAAUAUAAAGAUUUUUUUUCUAGGGGAGGUCAUCAAUUCAAACCUCAUUGUUUGUUUAUUUUCUUUAUUUACUAAGCUUACAUGCAAAUCUAAAGAAGGCCACUUGUGAGAUAAUGUUGAAUGACAUGUCCUAGGAGCUGCUGACAUGGAGCUAAGUAGAAUGAAGUGGAAGUAGUUAAAAUAAGUUAGUCAUGUGGAAGAUUUACCUAUUCCUUAGGAAGUAUUUGUUGGUUUGUUUUUAUUCUUUAGGAAGUAUCUAUAGGUAGCAUGUUUGUUGCUAUUUUUAUGUUUUUCUGUUUUAAGCUAGCUGUAUAAAUAAGUGCUUUGAAGCUUAAUAAAAUAUAACUUCAGAUUCCUCAACAUUAUGUUGCUUCUUGAGAGUUUCUACCCUUUGUUUUUAUCAAAACCUACAAAUUGGUAUCAGAGUUGUUGUUAUUGAGUAACCUGUGAGGUGAGUGAGCCUAUACACCACCAUCUACCCUAUCCAAAACAAUAUCCAUGUUGUUCUUGAGUAACCUGUGAGGUGAGUGAGCCUAUACACCACCAUCUACCCUAUCCAAAACAAUAUCCAGAAUGACCUCAGAAGCUUCACUGAAUGCAUUGGCACCUCCAGUGUUUGAUGGAAUAAAUUAUCAACUGUGGGUUGUCUGUAUGGAAGCCUACCUUGAUGCUAGUGAUCUGUGGGAAGCUGUUAGUGAGGAAUAUGAAGUUCCUCCCCUGUCCGACAAUCCAACUAUGGCUCAGAUAAAACUACACAAUGAGAGGAGGCAAAGGAAAUCAAAGGCAAAAGCUAGUCUAUUUGUAGCUGUCUCAUCUACAAUUUUCACCAGAAUCAUGGCAUUGAAGACGAAAAAUGAAAUAUGGAACUUCCUGAAGAAGGAAUAUGAAGGAAAUGAAUGAGUCAAAGGUAUGCAAGUGCUGAACCUGAUUAGAGAGUUUGAGAUGCAAAGGAUGAAAGAAUCAGAAACAAUCAAGGAUUACUUAGACAGACUUCUUAGUAUUGUUAACAAAGUAAGACUUCUUGGUACUGACUUUUCUGAUUCUAGAAUAGUUCAAAAAAAUUUUAUAACAGUUCCUGAAAAGUUUGAGACUACAAUAUCAUCUCUAGAAAACUCAAAAGAUGUGUCAAGUAUCACCUUGGCAGAGCUGUUGAAUGCAUUACAGGCUCAAGAACAAAGGAGGCUUAUGAGACAAGAAGAAUAUGUGGAGGGUGCAUUUCAGGCCAUAUCUCAGUACAAGAAAGAAAUGCAAAGCAACAAUAACAGCAGCAACAACACUCAAAAGUUUCCACCAUGUCCUUACUGUAAAAAAUCCAAUCAUCCACAAAAAAAGUGUUGGUGGAGGUUGGAUGUAAAAUGUCACAAGUGUGGUCAGCUAGGGCAUGUGGAAAGAAUAUGCAAAUCUCAACAGCAGCUAGGAGAAGUCAAGGCUGCUGUGGAAGAACUUCAAGAUGAGCAACUGUUUGUGGUAUCAUGCUUUUUCACUAGCAGCUCCCUAGAAACUUGGCUUAUAGACAGUGGUUGUACAAACCAUAUGACUUAUGAUCAAGGGCUCUUUAAGGAACUUGACAAAACUGUUACUUCCAAAGUUAGAGUUGGAAAUGGAGCAUAUCUUGCAGUAAAAGGCAAAGGCACCAUGGCAAUUGAAGGCCACACAGGUUUGAAAUUAAUCUCUAAUGUCUUAUAUGUUCCUGAGAUUAAUCAAAAUUUGCUGAGUGUUGGUCAGCUGUUGGAAAAAGGCUAUAAGGUGUUGUUUGAGGACAAUCAUUGCAUGAUUGCUAAUGGACAAGGCAGAGAGGUAUUUAUAAUCCAAAUGAAAGACAAAAGCUUUGCCUUGGAUUUGAUGCAAGAAGAGCAAGUUGAAAUUCACAAAGAAAAAACAAUACAAUGCUUUGGCAUAGGCGUUUGGGGCACUUUCAUCAUACCGCCCUGCUCUUUAUGAAGAAGAAGGAUCUUGGAAAAGGCUUGCCUGAAUUAGAGGUGAAGCCUCCUACUUGUGUAGCUUAUCAAUACGGGAAACAAACAAGACUUCCUUUCCCACAAAACAAGGCCUAGAGAGCUACUCAGAAAUUGCAGUUAGUACACACUGAUGUGGAAGGACCUCAAAUAACACCAUCACUAAAUGGCAGUAAGUUCUAUAUUGCUUUCAUUGAUGAUCACACAAGAAUGUGCUGAAUUUAUUUCAUGAAAUUUAAAUAUGAAGUUGCUAACAUCUUUUGGAAGUUUAAAGCUUGGGAUGAAAAUCAAAGUAAAUGUAAAAUGCAAGUGAUCAGGUCUGAUAAUGGAACUGAAUACACCUCGGAGAAAUUUAACAAAUUUUGUGAAGAUGCAGGCAUUGAGCACCAGCUUACAACACCUUAUACCCCUCAACAGAAUGGAGUCGUUGAGAGGAAAAAUAGAACACUUAUGGAAAUGACAAGGUGUUUGCUGCAUGACAAAUGGCUGCCAAAGAAAUUCUGGGCUGAGGCUGCACAUACAUCAAUCUUUCUGCUGAAUAGACUGCCAACAAAAGCUUUGCAACAAAAUACUCCAUUUGAAGCAUGGUAUGGCUAUAAACCAAGGCUACAAAAUUUAAAAACAUUUAGUUGUCUUUGUUUCUCUUAUAUUCCACAUGUUAAGAGAGACAAAUUGGAUAAAAAAGCUGAAGUUGGGAUCUUUAUAGGCUAUAGCUCAAUAUCAAAGGCCUAUAGAAUCUACCUUCCAGAAAAUAACAAAGUGAUAGUUAGCAAAGAUGUCAAAUUCUUUGAAUCAGAAAGUUGGAGUUGGGAGAAUGAUAAGAAGCUUGAGUUUAAAGAGAAUCUUGAGUUCCAAAAGGACCUUGAGUUUCAGGAGGAGCAUGACAAUAUUGAUGAUGAACCUAUCAGGGGAACCAAAUCACUCUCUAACAUCUAUCAGAGGUGCAAUGUUGCUAUAAUAGAGCCUGCAGGGUAUGAAGAAGCUACAACUGAUAAAAAAUGGAUGGCUACAAUGAAGGAGGAGCUUAAAAUGAUUUUGAUGGACAAACCGACACACAAAAGGGCAAUUGGAGUCAAGUGGGUUUAUAGAACCAAACUCAAUUCCGAUGGUUCUAUAAACAAACAUAAGGCAAGACUAGUUGUCAAAGGAUAUGCUCAGAUGUUUGGGGUGGAUUUCUCUUAGACUUUUGCCCCAGUUGCUAGAUUGGACACUAUAAGAAUGUUGUUGGCUCUUGCUGCUCAAAAAGGCUGGAAUAUACAUCAGAUGGAUGUCAAAUCAGCCUUCUUGAAUGGAUACUUGGAGGAAGAAAUUUUUGUGGAGCAGCCUGAAGGUUUUAUUGUUCAAGGAAUGGAGGAGAAAGUAUAUUUGCUGAAAAAGGCCUUGUAUGGUUUAAAACAAGCACCAAGGGACUGGUACAGUAGGAUUGAUUCACAUUUGUUAGGCUUAGGCUUUACAAAAAGCCUAAGUGAAUUUACUCUAUACUUCAGGAAGGUUUGUGAUGAAACACUUGUGGUAUCCUUAUACAUUGAUGAUCUACUUGUGACAGGAAGCAGUAUGGAGCAAAUUGUUAAUUUCAAAAAGGAAAUGAAUGAUGUUUUUGAGAUGACUGAUCUUGGAAGGAUGACAUUCUUUCUUGGCAUGGAGGUACAACAAAAAUAGAAUGAGAUCUUCAUAUGUCAACAAAAAUAUGCCAAGGAAAUCCUGAAAAAGUUCAAGAUGGAAGAGUGCAAUCCAAGUGCAACUCCAAUGAAUCAAAAUGAGAAGUUUUGCAAAAAAGAUGGAGCUGCAAAAGCUGAUGAAAGGCUUUACAAGACCAUUAUUGGGCGCUUGAUGUACCUAACAGCAACUAGACCAGAUAUUAUGAAUGCAGUAAGUUUACUCUCAAGGUACAUGCAUUGUGCUAGUGAAAUUCACUUUCAAGCAGCAAAAAGAAUUGUUAGAUAUGUCAAGGGUACAAUUGACUAUGGUUUGAGGUUUUGUCAAGUUAAAAACUUUACUCUUCAUGGUUAUUCAGAUAGUGAUUGGGCAGGUUGUGUUGAUGACAUGAGAAGUACUUUAGGUUAUUGUUUCAGCUUUGGUUCUGCUAUUUUUGCAUGGUGUUCCAAAAAGCAAGAAGUCAUAGCCCAAUCCACAGCAGAAGCAGAAUAUGUAGCUACUGCUGCUGCUAUGAAUCAGGCUUUCUGGAUCAGGAAAUUGAUGGCUGACUUGUUUAUGGAGCAAAAGAAAAGCACACAAAUACUCGUAGACAACCAAGCUGCAAUUUCAAUUGCAAAUAAUCCGGUGUUCCAUGGCAAAACAAAACAUUUCAAGCUAAAACUCUAUUUACUAAGAGAGGUACAGAAAGAGGGAGAAAUACAGUUGGUCUACUACAAAACAGAAAGUCAAAAUGUUGAUAUCUUAACCAAACUACUUCUCAAAGCUAGAUAUGAGUUCUUGAGGCAAAGACUUGGAGUCUGCAGCUCCAGAGACAAGGAGGAGUGUUGAAUGACAUGUCCUAGGAGCUGCUGACAUGGAGCUGAGUAGAAUGAAGUGGAAGUAGUCAAAAUAAGUUAGUCAUGUGGAAAAUUUACCUAUUCCUUAGGAAGUAUUUGUUGGUUUGUUUCUAUUCUUUAGGAAGUAUCUAUAGGUAGCAAGUUUGUUGCUAUUUUUAUGUUUUUCUGUUUUAAGCUAGCUGUAUAAAUAAGUGCUUUGCAGCUUAAUAAAAUAUAACUUCAGAUUCCUCAACGUUUUGUUGCUUCUUGAGAGUUUCUACCCUUUGUUUCUAUCAAAACCUACAGAUAAGGUAUUGGCCCACCAUCACAUGAUAGUUUAAGCUUUGGGUUGAAUUGAUAAUUUAACAAAGAAUGACUAAAAGAUAAAUCAUCAUGAGAUAUUCAAGCCACUUACAUAACCUAAAAGGCUCAUAGCUUGGUCAGAUUGAUAAAAUCCUGUGUUCCUCUUCCCACUGAUGAUCUCAAGUACAAUAACACCAAAGCAAAAAACAUCAGAUUUUACUAAGAAAAACCCAUCUAGCACAUAUUCUGGAGACAUAUAGCCACUGCAUUACAUGGAAUGUUAAAAAGUAAUCAGUUGAUUAGGUAUAUGCCAAGGCAAAUAUCUUUCCCCAUGCAUACAAUACUUACUAAGUGCCCACUACUUUGUUUGUGUUUGCCUCUGUUUGCUUGCUCUCAAAGAUCCUGGCCAAGCUGAAGUCUGAAAUUUUGGGAUUCAUAUCCCCAUCUAAUAGAAUGUUGCUCGUCUUCAAGUCCCUGUGAAUGAUCUUCAACCUUGAAUCUUGGUGAAGAUAAAUUAGCCCUCGAGCAAUUCCCAAAAUGAUGUCGAAGCGACUCUCCCAGUUUAGUAACACGCAUAGCAUUCGAUCUUGCCCAGUUGCCAUUAGAAAGAAAAAUUUUAGUGGCAUGGUUCAUUCAGUUAGAUCCUGUCUAUCAGUUCAUGGCACGUAUGCAAUGAUACAACAAAAGUAGGGACUUGACGUAGGUUUAGAGGCAAACCAAAUAUGAAAGAGUCUAAGCUUUUGUUGGGCAUAUAUUCAUAAAGUAAAAUCUUCUCAUCUCCUUCAAUACAAUAGCCCAGAAGUCUAACCAGAUUUCGAUGCUGAAGUUUGGCAAUCAACACAACCUCAUUCUUAAAUUCCACUAGGCUUUGCCUUGAAGCACUUGAGAGUCUCUUCACAGCUGCUUCUUUCCCAUCUGGAAAUUUGCCCUAGAAGCCACAAUGCAUAUGCAUUAGACAUUGAUAAUCAGAAAUCAGUUGAAAAUAUGAGCAUUGUUUGAAAUAAGUUAUAUUACCUUGUAAACCGGCCCAAAGCCCCCUUGUCCAAGCUUAUGCGAAUCUAAAAAGUUAUCCGUAGCAGCCAGGAUGUCUUUUAAGUCGAAAAAUGGUACAUCAAUGCCUUUCUUAUCCUCAUCUUUGAAUUCCUUCAAGUCUAUUAAGUGUUUCACACGACUUUCACUAUCAUACAAGUGCAGCACAGGAUUUGCCCUGUUUCCUGAAUUAAAAAAAAAAGAAAAUAUUAUAUAGAAAACCUCUGCAAUUUUCUCAAUUUUGCCAGGUACAAUUUGAAAAGAAAAUAGCGGAAGAUCCAUGGUAGAGCUUAUGGCACAAAGAUUACCUUUCCUUUUGGUGAUGUUUCUUUUGCGCAAAUAAGCAAUAUAACCAAUGGUGCUUAAAAGCGCAACUAGAACAACAACAAUUGUUAUGCCUACCACAACUACCGGAGAUGAUAAUGACGACAUCUUAUUGCCAAGGUCUAAAACAAAGAAGAACCACUCUCAUUCAUGGAAAAGGCAAUGCAUCUAUCAUUACUAACCUCUAUGUCUUUCAUUGGAAAAUAAGUUUAAAUGACCAAAACCAAGCAAAAAGAAAGUAUUGAGUUCAACUUCUCACAUACCUAGAAAGCAAAUUUAGAAAUAUACUAGGUCUGUAGCUCACCUUGUGUAAAAUCUAAACUUGAUCCAUUUCACUUAAAUUUUUCACUGCAAAAGCACUUAGUGGUUCCAUUUUGUGUUCUGCAAUUUGAAUUAGGCCAAUCCUUGCAGUCUGCUGAUGAGGUACACACUAGCUCCAAUGGUGGAUCCCAACUGAUCUCUAUCUCAAUGCUAUUUUCCAAUGACUUCUCAGAGCCAAAAUUGUCGAUUUUGACCACUGUGCAGACAUUGGUCAUGUGAAAAGGCAGGUUUAGUGGUGGAAUUUUGUUGAUAAGACUUCGAGAACUGCAAUCUAAUUCUUUAAGUUAGAUUACAAAUGUUAAUGUCUCUAGAUUAAUGCUAGUUACCCGAUAGGUGCCACCAAGUACCUUGAACUGAACCUGGCCCGUGGUAAUGUUGCAUUCAAAAUUAAAGUACAUGGGAUCACCACACUUUGAUCCAGUGCUUAGAGGAUAAGGAAUCAUGAUUGAGCCACAAGCUUGACAAUUUCUUAUUGUUGAUUCUGCAAAUAAAAUGUAGAAUCCCUUGUUAAAGGGUAUUUCUUCCGAUUACAGUUUCUUCCUAAUGUCUAUAAAUGGAUUUAUGCUUGUGUUGAUCAAUAAACUAAAACAUGAGGUACUUCUUCUCAAGAAAAGGGGAAAAAGAAAUUGGAAAGGGACAUACCUAUAUCUGAAAUAGAUACACGAACAAAGAGAUUGUCAGCAUCAGAGUCAUACUCCUCCUGAAGACCACUAAGGUCGUCUGUCCAAAUCAAGCAUUCUGGGUUAUUGCCCCUUUAUGUUAUUUAGUUUGAGCAUAAUGUCACGGACUUAGUCGUUCACUAAGCUCUUGUGGCACUUAGGCAAGUCAAGACGCUUGAUCUUGCUAAGUCAGCCUUGCUCCCAAUGCUUAGCUUGCUAGGCUAAGACACUCACGACUCGAAAGCUUAAGAAGCUUAGUAAGCAACUCUUUAAAGGAAGCUCUUAUUAACUCAUGGAAGCCUUUACAAGUGCUUGGAAGCUCACUUGCUUGGUACCUUGGCCAAAUGAGGCCUUCACCUAUUUAUAGGCACCAAUGGAACUCUCUGGAACCUUGGAGGGUUCCUUACAACUUAAGUAUAUUCUAGAAUGUCCUACAUCAUUCUAGGUACAAGCCUAUGUACAAGGAUAUACAAGAGACUUCUGGAAUUCUCUAGAAAGCCCUGGACUCCUCUCAUGCCUUCCACCAUAGUGUAGAAUUGUGUGGAUUCCUCCAGGCUUCUCCACAACCUUCCACACUCUUCCCACUCUAGGAGUCUCCAGAAGCUUCCUGGCUCUAUAUAAGCCCAUGGGGAGGCUCAUUUGAAUCAGCUUGUGACACUCUCCUCCACCUAAGCCGCAGACGUUCUUGUCGCGCCUUCUGCCCGGAAUUGCUCAAUUUGCUCCUAUAACUGCCAUAGUGCAUCUGUUGGCUCCCAGCUAGCCUCACUUUUUGGUAGUCCUUUCCAUUUCACUAAGUAUUCCGUACCAGGAGGUACACCUCGUCUCCUGAUGACCCGAUCUACGAGAAAGUGUUCUAUCUCCUUAUCAUAGGAGAUCACGACCGUUGUAGGUGCCCUCUUAGACAACCCUCGGCUUGGAUCAUCUUUGUCUUCGUGAUAGGGUUUCAAGUAGUUUACGUGGAAGACAUGAUGAAUCUUCAACCUUGGCGGUAGCUUAACUCUAUAGGACACCUUGUCGACAUUCCCAAGUACGGGGAAGGGUCCUUCAUACCUCCUCAUAAGGCCCUUAUGCACUAACCUUAGGGAUUUGAAUUGUUGAGAAAUGAGCUUGAAAGCACCAUGUCUCCGACUUUGUACUCCGUGUGUCGUCGCUUCUUGUCAGCCCACUUCUUCAUUUUCUUAGCGGCCUUGUCCAAGUAUGAGCGUGAUAUGUCAGCUUGCUCGUGCCACCCUUUCGCGAACUUGAAAGCUGCUGGACUUCUCCCCGUAUAGCCUAUCGUUAGAGUGUGAGGAGUUAACGGUUGCUGCCUUGUGGCCAACUCGAAUGGGCUCUUAUUGGUUGCCUCACUCCUUUGCAGGUUAUACGAGAAUUGGGCUAUGUCUAGCAACUUAGCCCAAUCCUUCUGGUUGGCACUCAUGAAGUGCCUUAAGUAUAGCUCCAAUAAAGCGUUCACCCUCUCAGUCUGCCCAUCCGUCUGUGGGUGAAAGCUUGUGGAGAAGUGAAGCUCCGAACCCAUAAGCUUGAAGAGCUUCAUCCAAAACUUCCUAGUAAAACGCGGAUUGCAAUCACUUUAGGCAACCCCCAAUACUUGACUACGUGCUUUAGGAAUAGCCUCGUCGUCUCUUCCGCAGUGCGGUCAGUCGGGGCUGCUAUGAAGGUUGCAUAGUUAGAGAACCUGUCCACUACCACUAUGAUAGAACCGUUGUCCUCCGACUUGGGUAGCCCGAUGAUGAAGUCCAUGGUGACGUUGUCACAUGGGCGCUCUGCUAUAGGUAGUGGCUUCAACAGGCCUCUAGGUUGUUAUUGUUCCACCUUGUCUUGUUGGCACACAAGACAAGUCCUCACAUAGGCCUCUACCUCAUCCCGUAUUUGAGUCCAAUAAUAAGCCGACUCGAGUAGUGCCCUCGUGCGUCGUUGCCCAGGGUACCCAGCCCACUUGGUGUCAUGGCACUCAUUUAUCAGAUUCCGUCUUAUGUUCCCCCAUUUAGGCACAUAGAGUCGUCUCCCCUUAGUGUAGAGUAGGUCGUUCUCCACCCAGAACCGCUUAGUCUUCCCUUCAUGAGCUAGGACGAUGAGGCUCUUAGCCACUGGAUCAUGUUGCAGUCCCUCCCUUAGAAGAUCCAUUAUGUCUCCUUGGGGCUGACUCGUCAUGGAUGCUAGCUCCGUUUUACUGCUUAGGGCGUCAGCCACAUGAUUAGCACUCCCUGGCUUAUACUCCAACGUAUAGUCGAACUCAGCCAGGAAGUCUUGCCACCUAGCUUGCUUAGGACUCAACUUCUUCUGUGUUUGGAAGUAGCUAGUGGCAACGUUAUCGAUCUUCACUAUGAAGUGAGACCCUAGAAGAUAGUGCCUCCAGGUGCGCAAGCAGUGGACGAUGGCGGUCAUCUCUUUUUCUUGCACCGUAUAGCGCAUCUCUGUGUCGUUUAGCUUGCGACUCUCAAAUGCGAUCGGGUGUCUUUCUUGCAUAAGGACUCCCCCAAUAGUGAAGUGUGAGGCAUCUGUGUGUAUCUCAAAAACCUUGGUGUGGUCGGGUAGUGCUAACACCGACUCCUCAGUCACAGCCUUCUUAAGAUCUUUAAAGGCUUGUUGGCACCUUUCGUCCCAUUCUCAUGCCUUAUUCUUCUUAAGGAGAUCAGUGAGAGGAGCGGCCCUUGCUAAAUAACCUUUGAUGAAUCGCCGAUAGUAAUUAACUAAACCAAGGAAAUAUCUGAGCUAAGGUACCUUGGUUGGUGGAUCCCAUUCCUGGAUGGCUUUCACCUUGCUAUCAUCCAUCUUCAGCUUGCCAUCCUUGAUGCGAUGCCCUAGGAAGCUCACUUCUUUUUUAACAAAGGAGCAUUUUUCCUUCUUCACGUAUAGCUCGUUCUGCCUUAAGAUCUUAAAGACCUUCCUCAAGUGCUUUACGUGCUUCUUUAGGGUGUUACUGUAGAUGACUAUGUCAUCCAAGUAUACCACCACGAACUUGUUGAUUACUACUCAAAAAGUGCUAUUUGAUAGCUUAUAAUUAAUCCUUUUAAACACUUUUGAGUAGUAAUUUUGGCAUUUUAACUCAAUUGGCAUGUUAAGGACCCUUGAAAGCAAUUUUAAUCAUUUUGUGUAAGUUUUGGUGUUUUUUGUUAGUAAUUUGAUCACCAAAGCAAUUCAAGAUUGAGGAGAUUUAUGAGGAAUCUUGGGCAAAGCUUGGAAGUCAUUUGCCAAGAGUAAAUCAGGAAUGCAAGGAGAAAAAGUUAAGAGAAUCUGCCAUGAAGCAUAUUCUUGAUGAUAGUAGUAGCAGCCACUUUUGGAGCACUUUUUGAAGUCCAAUUGAUGCAUGCUAUAUACCAUUUCAAAGCUCAGGAAGUCAACAAUCCAAUGCUUCAAACGGUACGCAAUUCGGAGUUGAAACGAAGAAGUUGCAGCCAUUGCAAGCCAAUCACUCCAAGCUGAAGGAAGCAUUUUCCAAAGUGUUGCGAAAUCACCCUUUUGUUGCGAAGUGAUUUCGCAGCCUUUUUGUACAGUAGGGUGUAUUUCCUUCUGAAGUUGCCCGAUAUAUGCCGCAAACUGGAAGCUGAGAACAUCAAGGUGGAAGCCAACUUCGCAGCCCUGCGAGAAUAGCUUUUUGCUGCGAAGUGAUUUCGCAGCCCUUCUUGAGUGUUUGCGAAAUCUCGCAGACACCAUUUUCUCUUGCGAAAUGGUCCCUGGAGCAUCCCGAUAUUUGCUACCGACAUUGGGAGAUAUUUUACAUCAGAUUUUUGUUGUCUAAAUCCCAAAAUACUUCUUGUAAGCCACCAAUUACAAGAUUCCUUAGCUUUUAAGUUAGUAAAAAGAGAAAAUAUCCAUGUAAUAAUUAGUUUUAUAUUAUGUUCAUAUAAAUACUUCUCGGGAGCCUGUUCUCAAAAAGGGACCCUUUUGUAAAGUUUUGGGAAAGCAAGUAAAGUUCAGGUCCUUUGUUUUGUCUUACCUUCUCACUUUGUAUUAUUUAUUUCUUACUAAGUUAUGCACUCUCUGAGGAAUUUUCCCCAGAGAAUGAGUAACUAAACCUCUAGUUCCUUGGAGCUAAGGUUGCCGGGGAAGGUUCCAAAUGCAAGAAUGCAAAGCUUUGUGGUUUCAGCCAUCAAUUAAGAGGAAGUAAAGUCUUUUAGUGAUUUCUAUGUUUUUAGUUAACUUAAAACACCUUAGAGUCACCUGGGCCAACACUUGGUAAGGCAAGUGAUCUCCAUCCAUGGAGAUGCACUAGUUUACCCCUUGCGAGCCUCUGGGAGGUGACUUUAAGGUAGGAUUUUCUGGAAUUGCCAACACUUGGUAAGCUUUUGGACUCCAAGGAGACAUCCAUUAGUUAUCUCUUGCGAGCUAGAGAAGGGAAGUCUAAGGUUAAAGAUCACCUUGAAUGGUUAAGGCUUAGUGAGAGGCUUAAACCAUUGCAAGUUGCAUCAAUGAGAGAAUUAAAGUUGAAAUCUAAUUAAAGGAUGUAUCUGUACAACACCGGUUAGAGAAUUGACUAUAUGUUGAAUCUCUAAUGCGAGGAAAUGAACCAUCUGACCGGAGCUAUGUCUUUUGCAUGAGGAACCACCCCAGUGAACCUAACUCUCCAAGGAAUGUUUUUCUUCCUAAGUUAUUCUCACUACUUAUUCUGUUAGUUAGUUUAAAUCUAAAUCUUUACCAAUCAAAAGGUUGUGUUUUAUUUUUUUAGCUAACCUUGAAAUGAAACAAGACCAAUUCACUUUGAAUUGGUAUCAUUGAUAGCUUGCUAAUCCUUCCCAGUGAACGAUCCUAAAGCCGCUAUAUUAUAGUAGUUUUUUCUUUGCUACCCUAGUAUAUGGUGUAAUAGGUUAUAAAUUUUGUUGAUUACUCCCCCAAUCAAGGAGCACCAGCUGGACACGAAUCAGCUGAGACACCAAUUGGGCACGAAUCACUUGUCUAAGCAUGGGUGGAAGAUCUUGUUCAUGAGGGUGCAGAACGUUGCUGGGGCAUUGGUGAGUCCGAAAGGCAUCACUAAGAAUUCGUAUGAGCCAUACCUGAUCACACAUGUGGUCUUUGGCUCGUCCCCCUCCGCAAUCCUUACUUGGUAGUAGCCCGACCUUAGGUCUAGCUUCGUGAAGUACCUUACCCUUCCAAGUUGAUCGAAUAAGUCAGCAAUGAGCGGGAUAGGAUACUUGUUCUUUACCGUCACCUUGUUGAGUGCCCGAUAGUCUAUGCACAUUCGUAGGGACCCAUCAUGCUUCUUCUGAAAUAGAACCGGCGCGCCAUAGGAAGCCUUGGAUGGUUGGAUGAACCCCGCAUCUAGUAACUCCUUAAGUUGUCUCCUUAGUUCCUCCAACUCCGGUGGUGUCAUUCUAUAUGUACCAUAGUAGGGGGCUUAGCUCCCGACUCCAACUCAAUCCUGUGAUCUUCCUCUCUCCUAUGAGGAAGUCUCUUAGGCAACUCGGGCGACAUCACGUCCUUGAACUCAUCAAGGACCCCCUCGAUUUCCUUAGGCAUGGGUUCUCCCGACCCAUCGUCUCUUUCUUCCUUCAGGGUGGCGAGGUAGGUCACCUCUUUCCUCUUUAACCCCUUCCUAACUUGCAUAGCUGAUAGCAUAGGGGUCUUAAGCGUACCUUCAGUGACCGUAGGGACCAUGCAUGGCUUCUCCUCCUCUAAGAUAGCCAUUGAGCAUAGGAAAGGUAGUGGCACGACCUUGACCUUCUGUAGGAAGUCCAUUCCUAGCACCAUCUUGAAGUUAUCCAUGGGUGCCACUAUGAAAUCGACCCUUCCUUCCCAUGAGCCGAUGUGCAUAGCCACCCUGCAAGCUACUCCAUGUGACGGGCUUGGCAGCUGAAUUAACUGCCUUGAGUCAUCCUCCUUCCUUGGAUGCUUGGAGCUUUAGUCUCUUUGCCUCAUCCUCCGAGACAAAGUUAUGAGUGGCACCAGUGUUCACCAAGGCCUUGGUGGCCUUCCCAUUCACAAGGGCCUCUACAUACAUUAGCCCUUUGCUUUGAGGCGUCUUAGGCAUCGGCUUGGCCUUAAGGGCAUUUAGGAGUUGCAACGAUCCCACUUUAGCAUCGCCUUCCUGCUCAUUUUCCUCAAUCAUAGCAUUUAGAGCUUUCCUUUUAGGGCAGUCUCGUGCCCAGUGUGUACCAUCGCACAGGAAGCAAUUGGUCCUGGGCAUGAACUCCUUCCACUUAUCUUUGCCUUUACCAUCCUUGCCACUAGGGUCUUUGCUUGAUCCUUCCUUAGAAGUGUGGCAUUGUGAUCCAUUGUUUCCCCCACCUUUGGCCUGGUUACCCUUGGAUGGUGGUUUUGGCUUGGAGGAGUCUCCCCUUCUAUAAUCUACCAAGGACUCUGCUACCGCCAUGGUCAUGGCUAGGUCUUAGACACCAUGUCUCCUCAACUCUUGCUCGGCCCAACUUUGCAAGUUGUCCAUAAAGUUAAAUAGUAGCUCCUCCUCAGCCAUGUUAGGUAUCUCAAGCAUAAACGUAAAGAACUCCUUGACAUACUCACGGAUCGAGCCUGUGUGCUUGAGACGCUUCAUACUCUUCCUUGCUAGGUAAGCCACAUCUUCGGGAUAGAAUUGCCUUUUGAUUUCUCUCUUAAAGGCAUCCCAUGUGUCUAUGGUGCACGUCUCUUUCUCUAUGUCGGAAAACUGUCGACGCCACCAUAGAGUAGCAUUAUCGGUGAGGUAAAGGGUCGUGGUGCAUACCUUAGUGGCUUCAUCCGUCAAUGCAAUGGCCUCAAAGUAACGCUCCAUGUGCCACAAGAAGUUAUCUAGCUCCUUAGCAUCCCUCUUUCCAUUGAACGAGUGUGGCUUGGGCACCUCCACCCUUGGUGCCUCAUGAGUGGCCAUGACUCAUGUUGAUAUCGCAGUCUUGUAGAUGGCUAGCUCUUGAUGAAUCUCUUGGUCUCGGGUCUCCAUGAGCGCAGCCAAGGCCUCCAUCCUUGAUUCCACACUAGCGAACAUGAUCAUGACCUUGUCUUGGAAGGACAUGAACUCCUUGUGUGACACAGUUGAACUUGUGAGCCUAGCACCCCCUCGCGAAGGUCUUGGAUCUGCUCCCUUAGAUCCUCUAAGCCUUUCUCCAUGCCUUGCUCGAUCAAGUCCACCCCUUCCCGGGUGUCCGUCAUGGCUAGCUCCACCUUAGCUAGCCUUGCCUCCAUGUUGGCUAAGGCAUCACGAGACUUAUCCUUCCUGCCUCGGCCCCGUGCAGUAUGCUCCAUCUCCCUUCCACGGGUUUGCUCGCUAGUCUCCUCCACGUUAGAGCCCGACAUGCUUCCUUUGCUAUGCCCACUUCGUAACCGCGCUCUAAUACCACUUGUCACAGACUUAGUCGUUCACUAAGCUCGUGCAGCACUUAGGCAAGUCAAGACGCUUGAUCUUGCUAAGUCAACCUUGCUCCCAAUGCUUAGCUUGCUAGGCUAAGAUGUUCACGACUCGAAAGCUUAAAAAGCUUAGUAGGCAACUCUUUAAAGAAUGGAAGCUCUUAUUAACUCAUGGAAGCCUUUACAAAUGCUUGGAAGCUCACUUGCUUGGUGCCUUGGCCAAAUGAGGCCCUCACCUAUUUAUAGGCACCAAUGGAACUCUCUGCAACCUUAGAGGGUUCCUUACAACUCAAGUAUAUUCUAGAAAGUCCUACAUCAUUCUAGGUACAAGCCUAUGUACAACGAUAUACAAGAGACUUCUGGAAUUCUCUAGAAAGCCUUGGACUCCUCUCAUGCCUUCCACCAUAGUGUAGAAUUGUGUGGAUUCCUCCAAGCUUCUCCACAACCUUCCACACUCUUCCCACUCUAGGAGUCUCCAUAAGCUUCCUAGCUCUAUGUAAGCCCAUGGGGAGGCUCAUUUGAAUCAGCUUGUGACAAUAAGCUUGACAUUGGCAGUCACUAAGGCAAGCCUUUUUGCAAUAUUGAUUAUCAUUCGUAUCUACUAAAAUAGAAGACUACGGUUUUUUGGCUUUCAUCAUUUUUAAGCGCAAGAACAUGUCUUCAAUGGAAUUCUUCUUGUAUUUGGGUGACUUUCUGGUACACCCACUUGAGAACUCUCCAAUUUUCCAACUAUUCGGCGAGAUUGGUUUGAACCCAGGCAAACAUUUUCACAUCAAAGCAUUCUUAGUGCUACAACUUCCAAAUUUCCCACAAGCAAUUGACACACUGCAUCGGUCUUUCGGUGCCCACCAGACUGGAGACGAUGUAUUCCAAUUCGCAUAGUAUUGAAUUUCCCCUAAAGAACUCAUUACCAACUGUUUUUCAACUGAUGAGUUGGGGAUAGAGCUAUGCCCUUUAUACACGUUCCUCUAGGAGAUUUUGGACAACAAGCUGCGUGUUGCUUCAGGCAUCUCAUCAAACGUUCCAUCCCAGUCCUCACUGUACCAAUGUACAUAUAAAAUUUGAGAUAUGAUAUACUGGUACUCUUUUUCUUGAUCUAGCUUGAAGGUAUAGUUUCCAAGUGUGGCGUCAACGGGGCUUAACCAUGAGGUCAAUAUUAAGCUUUCAUUCAUCUUCAUACCAGGAAGAAAAAUAUCGGUGGGAUUACGGAAGCUCUCUCAAAUAAUCUCUUCGGAUCUAUUGCCACUCAAAACAAGGUUCCCAUAGUCCAUAAGCUUCACUAUCCUGUCUUUAGAUGAAGGUGUUUCAAUAUCAAUAGACCAGUGAACUGCUUCAUUAAUUUCGGCCAACACCUUCAGCUUACCAUCUUUUUUAAUGGCAAAAACUCCAAUGGAGGUACCAGAAAAGGGGUUCUCUCGGUUGGCUACCCACACAACUCUUGGUGGUUUAGACAUGUGAUGCCAUAUGCCCAUGAAUCUUCUAUUCUUGGAGCUUCCAUUUGGAUGAAAGAAGCCUAGUUCAAAAGUUUCACCGGAAGAGACAAGAGUUUCUCCAUUAGUAAGCCAAGUGUCUAGUGUGAUGGUGUGUCACGCCCCAAGACCCACUCCAAGGGCGUGACGGUCAUUUCACACCUCAAACCCGAAGGCUUAAAGUAUAAUCUGACCCAAACAGUCAUAUUGUAACUGGAUGUUACCAAUUACCAAAUACCUGCUCAGAGUAGCGGAAACAAAGUCUAAAAUCCUCAAAAUUCAAUUUCCAAAUAACUUCCAAAUACCAAAUGAUCCAAAAUAACAUAACUAAUAGUUAAACAAAAUCCAACAUAAAAUCCUAAGUCAAAUCCUAAUGAUGACCAUUCCUCAGCCUAGCCAUCACUCCUCACCCGAACUAAGAGUACCUGAAAAAUUUUCAACGAUUGGGAAUGAGCUCACAGCCCAAUAAGGAAUAUUAAUGCAGUUCAUGGAUCAAAUAUUUUCAUUUCAAAUAGGAGAUAUCAAUUUUUUUUUUUUUCAUCAAAUAUCAGAGUUUCAAAAAUGCCAAUAUAUUCAAAAUUCAACCAACCAAUUUCAUAUCAAAUUCAAACACUUUCCCAUCAGACUUAAUCAAAUCCAUUCAAUUUUUCAUUACUCUGGUUAUCAAAUAUCAAAUGCCCAGUUAGGUGGGACUUUUCAAAUGGGUGGCUAGCCUCAAAUUGUUCCUGGUGGACGGAACCAAACACUACUAGUACUAGUAACCUCUAAACAAACCCCUAGAGGUUGGGGUCCAAAUCAAUUACAUUCCCACCAUGAAAUGUAAAGGUCAACUAUUAUAUCCCAUUGACAGGGCCGAAUAGUCAACUAUUAUAUCCCGUUGACAAGGGCCAAAUAAACCAGAGUGAUGUUUUUUGUUCAAGUAUUCAAAUUUACACAACAUAAUAUCUCCAUAUUUUGUGUCAUAAAUAAAACAAAAUAUUCCAACAUAACAUUUAGUGCAAAACAAUUUGAUCCAUGCAUGGUAACAAAAUAUCAUUUUAUUUUCCACAAUUCAAAAUAACAUAUAAAAUAAUUUUAUUUUAUAAAUAUUACAUUAACUUCCCUUACCUCAAAAGAAGUCCUUGAAAGCUUGGGAGAAGAAUGAUUCUGAAAAAAAAUAUAAUCUACUCUUCACCUAAUAUAACAUAAGAGAAACAAUUAUUACUAUUUAUUUAUAAUUUAACUAAUCUAUUCCUUAUUUAAAUAAAACUAAUAAAUUCUCAAUUUGUUUCUAAUAACACAUUACUAAUUUAAUUAAAUUACAAUUUUAUGUCAUUAUAAAAUUCUCUAUAUAUAUAUAUAUAUAUAUUUUGCUAAAUCUAUUAUUACUAUUAUCUUAUUCAUUAAUCUAAAACUAAAUAUUAUUAUUUUAAUUAACCAAUUCAAAAGCCACUAGAUGUCUCGAGUACACCAAACCACCAAACCAAAAAGCAAGUUUUUUUUUUUUUUUUUCCAUUGCAUCAUCAUUCAUUAUAUAUAUAUAUAUAUAUAUAUAUAUAUAAAAGGCUUCCUUCCAUUUGGCACAUGCCUAUUUUUUUUUUUUUCCUCCUUGCUUCCAGUAGCACAGUACACGUACACCCCCCAUAUAUUUUUUUUUUUCUUCCUUCCUUCCUUCCAGUGCUGUGCACACGCGUUCUCCCUCUUUUUUUUUCUUUUUUUUUUUUAAUUAACCCUAACCUAAAAUCGAAAUAUUCCAAGGAAUUUUUUUUUUCUAAUAAAACUUAAGAUCUCCCAAAUUCCAAUGCUAAAAUCAAAAUAUUAAAUUUUCACUAUUUGAUAUUAAAACGAAUUAAAAAAUAAUCUAACCCUAAUCUAGAUUUGGGGUUUUCCAAAAAAAUAUAUCUAAUGUGUUUGAAAUUAAUCAAUGAAUCUAAAAUAUUAAACUAGGGGUUAGAAUCUUACCUAUAGAGAUCUGUUCUUCAACCCUGAAAUCUGACUCCAACCUUACGUUCUCUGGAAUUCUGCGAACAGGAACUCUAUUCAGAAAAGAAGGGAAAGAAUAAAAUUUCUAAUUUAUACCUAGGGUAUUUAUUCGUAAAAUUACUCUUUUACCCCUCUUCUUUUUUUUAUUAAAUUAAUUAAUUAACUAAUUUAAUUAUUAAUAACAAUUUCCUAAAUUACCCUUAAAAGAAAAUGCUUGGGCGUUACAUGGUGUCUCUAGUAGAGCAACACAGAAAAUAACACAAUAAGAAAAAAAUGGUAGAUAACAUUGUGAAUUGCAGAGACUGAAACCCUGAAUUUUCUUGUCUUUUUCCUACUAUUUUUGUUAAUCCGAGAAUCUCUUUAGUUUUGGUGCCACAAAUUCACUGUGGGAUAGCGUGCUACUUCUCUAGGUUGACCUUCUAUAUGUGGCGCCUAAAACAUUGGCCCCUUAGAUUAACUUUUUAAUUGUCUAAAACCAUUUUUACCGCAGGUCCAUACUCCGGGACAAGCCCCCACACCCCCAUCGGAUCAGUGGUGAUAGGCCCAAUCCCCCUGUUAGACCCUAAAAAAAAUCUCAUAGUUUUUUUUUCACCAUAUAUAUUGUAUUGCGAAAUUUUCAAGUCUGACAAAAUAAAAUUCGAGUCACGAAUCUUUAAUAGUUAUCAUCAAGAAAUGAGAUGGAAAUGUUUCAGCUAGUGAAAAUCUACAUCAAGAGGCUUUUUGGGAAGACAAAUAUAAAAAUACAUCUAAACAUCAUUAAACUUCAUGAUUCUAAUACACAUCAUGGGAUGAAUUCUCAAUCAUAUAUAGGUGAGUAUCACAUAUAUAUAUAUAUAUAUAGGUUUAACACACAAUGCUACAUAAUGUGGUGGAUAAAUAUGCAUGUCAAAUUGAUCAUAGUUGUAAAAUUGUUAGCUAGAAACUAAAAAUUUCUAAUCUGAUUCCUAAGUGCUUCUUUUUUUUUCUUUUUCUUUUUUUAAAAAAAAAACAAAAAAUGAUAAUAAUUUCUACAUAAAAUGUAAAAAUUAUCGUAAAAAAUUAAUAACAUUCAAUUUAGAAAAUUUUAAGAUAUUAUAUAAAACAAAUUCACCAUCUUAACAUUUAAAAGUAAUUUUUAAAGAUAUAAGAUAAGUUCAUAUUAUUUAUAUAAAAACUAUUUUAUAAUUUACAUAGAAAUUAUAUAUAUAUAUAUAUAUAUAUUGAAUUGGGUUAUUUCACAAUAUUGGAGCAUAGUUUACCUUAGGUGAUUAAAGAUGUGAUACAGUAUAGUUUUUAGGAUAGAUGUGAUAAUUUAUAAUUGAAGUUUUGAUAUGGGUUAAUUAGUAAUAUUAAACAAAGGAUAAUGCUUUUUCAUAUUCUUAGAUUUAAUUUUUGGUGAAAAUAAUUAAGAGUAAGUAUUUGAUAGUGAUUUUAAGAAAUGUUUUUAGUCUUUUUAAUACUUGAAAAAGAAAAUUUUUCAAGUGUUAGAAAAACCAAAAAUACCUUUUAGAAACAGUACUAAACAUAUUCUAAAUAUGUACUCAAUAAUCGAUUUAAUAAAUUCACGGGUGUCAAAAUAAAUAUGACAUCAAGAUAUGUUAAUAAAUUUUUUUUUUUUUUUUGAAAAAUAAUUCAACAUAUUUAUUGAAUUCACAUUCAAGACAAGGUCGCCUGUAACAUAGGUGCAUGGCUGUCCAUUUAUUCCCAAUUGCCUUAGACAAACAUCCCCUUACUCUUAAGUCAUUUUGUUUUUUUUUUUUGUGAUUGCAUGUUGAAAAUUUGAUUUUAACAUGAGUCCACUAGGAGUUCAGGACAUCUAUUAAUUAAUGGGGGCAGUUCUCGACCUCCAUGGCCUGCCUACUAAUUUUGGUGGGUUGCUCACAGGUGACGUCUGACUUAAAAUACGUCCAUCGCCCAACUUACUAUUCAUGGACAAACAAAAUAUUAGUAAUGUACCAAUCAUCUUGUAUAUGUAGUAACAUUUUCAAAUUUUUAAUCUAAACCUUGGUGUAAAUAAUUAAAUUUAAAUAAAUUAAUUAAAAUGUAUAUUUAAUUUUUUUUCACCCGCAAUUGAAGGCCGGUGGAGUGGUGAAAUCUUGGAAAUGGAAGCCAACCAUGCAGCAAAUAAAGUGACCCAAAGUCCAAGACCACGUUUAGAGCAUUUGUCCAUUUUUACUUGUUUUCAACGGCUUCUAGUCUUGAAGUUGAAAUCUGCGGUUUCAUAAACGGUAUUCUGAAUUUUCUCUCUUGCGUUCUGUUUUUCACAUUUUCCAGGAAAUGGGACCUAUUUGUUUGGCUAUCAGCAAUGAGUUUCUUGUCAGAAUCUGUAAAAGAACUAGAACUUGCAGAGAAAAAAUAAAUAAUUUGAGAGUUACGAAUUGAAGGAAGGCACACAUCUAUUUCACAAAUGAGAAUGCCUAUUUAUAGGCUUACAACCAAACGAAAAUUGCAAAAAAAAUCUUAGCUACUUUCAAAUUUUAUUGGCAUUACUUCUAUUAACUGAAAAUAGAAAAUUAUGGAGUAAGAAUCUGAUAUGAAACAAUAACAAAGACUAAGUCUAACUAAGACUUUUUCAAACUUCAGAGGCAAACUCUCAUGAGUUCUAACACUCCUCCUUGAGAUUUGCCUUGGACAUGCCAAGCUUCAACCUUAGAAACUCCAGCCUUGAUUUAGGAAGUGCCUUAGUCAUUAUGUCAGCAAGUUGCACAUCAGUUGAGCAAUAAUGCAACUUGACAAGUGAAUUCUUUUUAGCUUCCCUUAUAGAAUGAAAUUUUACAUUUAUGUGUUUGGUCUUGCCAUAUUAGACAGAAUUUUGAGCAAUGGCAAUGGCUGACUUGCUGUCACAGUAAAGCUCUGUUGGUGAGCUUUAUUCCUAGCCUAGAUCAGCAAGCAAUUUCCUUAACCAUAUCCCUUGAUUUGCAACAGCUGCUAAGGAGAUAUACUCAGCUUCUGCAGUUGAUUGUGCCACUACUUCUUGUUUUCUUGAAUUCCAGCAAAUGACACCUGAACCGAUUGUAAAUACAUAACCUGAAACGUUCUUCAUGUCAUCAACACUUCCUGCCCAAUCACUAUCAGCAUAGCCAUCUAGCUUAACUCCUCCUGUCUUUAAAUACCAAAUGCCAAGAUUUGUUGUACCUCUAACAUACUUCAGCACCCUUUUUGCAACUCCCAUGUGAACAUUGCUAGGUGAACUCAUGAAUCUUGAAAGUAAACCAGCUAGAAACAUCAAGUCAGGUCUGGUUGCUGUCAAGUAUAGUAGGUUGCCUACCAAGCUUCUAUAUGCAGAGGGUUCCUUAAGUUUCUCACCAUCAUUCUUUGAAAUUUUCUCAUUUUGUGCCAUUCCAAGGAAGUAGUUCAUGAUGCCAAGGUCAGACAUCUCAAAUACAUCUUGCAUUUCCAUUUUGAACUCAGCCAGCAAUCGUACAUUACUUCCAGUCACUAGCAUGGCAUCAACAUAAAGUGACACUACCAAUUGCAAACCAUUCUCAUUUUGUUUCAAAUACAAAGUAGCUUCAUUUUCACUCCUCCUAAAUCUAAGUUGGAUCAGGUGAGAGUCAAUUCUGCUAUACCAGGCCCUUGGUGCUUGUUCCAAACCAUAAAGAGCCUUUUGCAACUUGUACACUUUGUGUUCAUGCCUAGUAACCUCAAAGCCUUCUGGUUGUUGAACAUAAAUUUCUUCAAGAAGUAUGUCAUUUAGAAAAGCUGACUUGACAUCUAAAUGGUACACUUUUCAUCCCAUUUGACCAGCAAGUGCAAGUAACAGCCUUAUAGUGUCAUGUCUGGCUAUUGGUGCAAAUGUAUCACCAUAGUCCACUCCAGCAACUUGAGCAAAACCCUUCACAACCAAUCUAGCCUUGUGCUUGAAGAUUAAACCAUCUGAAUUCAAUUUGGUUCUGAAAACCCAUUUUACACCAAUUGUCUUCUUAGCUUCAAGUAAUUCUGUCAACUUCCAAGUUCCAUUUCUUUCAAUAACAUCAAUUUCAGCUUUCAUAACCUCAAUCCAUUCUAGAAAUCUUGCAACUUCUAUGUAACAUGUAUGCUCAACAUGUACAAGAUUGCACCUCUCAUACACAUUAGAUAAUGGCCUUACCUUAAGCACUGGUAUGUCUAAAGUUGCUUCAACAUCAAGUGGAUCUUCUGCUGGUUCAAGAAUAGAUGGAGUGGUUUGAUCACAUUUAUGGACUUUCUUCAAGUCCCAAUUCUAGUAGGAAUUUUCAUCAAAGUGCACAUCUCUACUUAUCACAAUUUUCAUUCUACUCAAGCUAUAAAUUCUGUAACCUUUUGAUUCUGCUGCAUACCCAACAAAAACACCCUUCUCAGCUCUUUCAUCAAGCUUACCUCUCUUGAUAGAUGGCACAUGAAGGUAACACAAUGAACUAAACACUUUUAGGUGCUUGACAGAUGGUUUUACACUAGACCAUGCCUAUAUUGGUGUUUUGCUCUUAACAGACUUAGUCGGUAGUCUGUUAAGCAAAUAUACUGAGGUGCUAACUACUUCAGCCCAUAGAAGCUUUGGUAGCUUCUUCUCGAGUAGCAUGCACCUCGCCAUCUCCAUUACCGUUCUGUUCUUCCUCUCAGAGACUCCAUUCUACUGCGGUGAGUAUGGAGCUGUCAGUUGGUGUACAAUUCCAACUUCUAGACAAAAAACAUUGAACUCUUUUGAGGUAUAUUCACCUCCAUUAUCAGUUCUGAGCACCUUAACCUUUUGGCCACUUUGAGUUUCAACCAUUUUCUUGAAGCUUUUGAACACAGAGAGCACUUGUGAUUUGGUUUUUAGAAAAUAAACCCAAGUCAUUCUAUUGAAAUCAUCAAUAAAUAGUGCAAAAUAAACAUUGUUGCUCAAUGAGGCUAUGCUCAUUGGUCCACAAAUAUCUGAAUGAACUAAUUCCAUCUUGUGAGUAGCUCUCUUGGACAUAUUUUGAGGAAAUGAUUUGCGAUGCUGCUUCCCUAGCUCACAACUUUCACAAGUUUGAUCAUUAACUGUGAUUUCAGGCAUGUCUUCAACCAUACUUCUUGCAUGAACUUCAAUGACUUCAAGUUGAAAUGACCAUAUCUUUUGUGCCAAACAACACUCUCAUCAAUCUUGGCACUAAAGACAUGACCUUCAACUAAAUCAAGCUUCAAAUAAAAGUUAUUUCCAUUCAUUUUAAUUUUUCCUAUCUCUGUUCCAUGUACAUCAGUGAUAAAACAAAAAUUUUCUUUAAAAGAGACUGCAUAUCCAUUUCUUAGCAUUUGUGUAACACUAAGAAGAUUUUGAUCUAGUUUUGGAAUGUAAAGAACAUUAGUGACAAUUUUUGUACCUCUCUUGGUGUUGAUAGCAAUUGUCCAUUUUCCUUUGGCCUGCACAACUUCACCAUUUCCCAACUUGACCGUUGCUUGAAUUGAUUUAUCAAUGGAGGUAAAAAUUGAUAGAUGUUUGGUCAUGUGACUGGUGCAGCCAUUGUCAAUGAGCCAAGUAUUCAGUUCAUGAGAACUGAGUACUUGUGAUGCCAUAAAUAAAUGCUUAUCAUCUUUUUUGUCUUCUUCAAUCACAUUUGCAUGUUGUUGUGUUUGCUGUUGAGAUUGUUUUUUCUUGGCUCUACAAUACUUCUCACUGUGGCCACAUUUAUUACAGAAAUUACAAUUAAAAAGGGAUUUACCUUUGUACCAACAAUCUUUCUCAACAUGGUUGGUUCUGCUGCAAUGAGAGCAAGGCGAAAAGUUUCAUUUUCUUGAAGAUCCUUCAGCUUUCCCUUUGUUGUUCUUGAAGAACUUCUUUCCUUUUAGGUUUCCAGAACUCUUUCCCUUAUGAUUUGCUCAAAAAGCACCUUCAGUAGCUUCAACACCUUUCAUUAAGACCCUUUGCUCCUGCGCAUGAAGCUUGCUGGUUAAUUCUGCAAUUGUGAGACUUUGCAAGUCACAAGACUCUUCAAUUGUAGAGAUCUUGGCUUCAAACUUUUAAGGCACUGAAACCAUGAUCUUUUCUACCACCUUUUGAUCUGUAAAUGCCUCACCAAGAAGCCUCAUUUGGUUUACAACAUCCAUUAACUUGCUAGAAUAAUCUUUCACAGAUUCAUUGUCUUUCAUCUUCAUCAAUUCAAACUCUCUCUUCAAUGUGAGGAGCCUGACAUUUUUUACUGUCACUACCAUCAAAUUCACCUUGGAGUUUGUCUCAUACCAGUUUAGGUGUUUCCAAGUCCAUGAUUUUGGUGAAGAUGUGGUCUACAAGUCCUGAAUGUAGGCAGGUGAUGGCUUUGUCUUUCUUAAGUUUUUCCUCCUCAUAUGCUUUCAUCUGAGCAACUGUAGGAUUUGCUCCCAAUGGUGGUGGAUCAGCUUCAAACAUCACAACAUUCCACAAACCUUGAGACCUUAAGCAAAACCUCAUCUUGACAACCCAAAUGUGAUAGUGUUCACCAUUAAACACUGGAAUAACAGAGGAAGUACUGCUGGAAGUAGACAUGUUUGCACCACAACUGCCUGAAAAAAAUAAAUCACUCAACCUCACUGUGUUUAGCACUCAAAACACUCAAAGAAACUUUGCCUCACAACUCGUAGGAACAAGGCUCUGAUACCACUGUCAGAAUCUGUAAAAUAACUAGAAUUUGCAGAGAAAAAAUAAAUAAUUUGAGAGUUAAGAAUUGAAGGAAGGCACACAUCUAUUUCACAAAUGAGAAUGCCUAUUUAUAGGCUUACAACCAGACAGAAAUUGCAAAAAAAUCUCAGCUACUUUCACAUUUUAUUGGCACUACUUCUACUAACUGAAAACAGAAAAUUAUGGAGCAAGAAUUUGAAACAAUAACAAACUUUAGAGGCAAAUUCUCAUGAGUUCUAACAUGGCAUAUGGGUUUUGGGUUUUUCAAUUGAGGGAAGCCUAUCAUAGCAUUUAAAAAUGGAUCCCCAUAGUGGCCAACACCAUAGGAUGAUAAUUCAUCAUGGUUCUUAAUCAUGAUCUUUAUUAAAUAGAUCAAACCCAAGUACGAUACAGAUAAUAAUCGUAUUAGAAAAACAUAAAUUCAUCUAAUUAUUUAAUAAACAAUAAGUCGUAUAAUUCAUUUAAUUAAUCUAAUAAUCAUACAGAAUUAGGUCUUAUACAAAUCUACACGAUUAAUUUCUUAAUCUAAUAUGUUUAUAAUUCAAUUAAUUUAUUUAUUUAAAAUCAAUUUUUAAAUAAAUCAAAUAUAAGUUAAAUGAGUUAGGGUUAAUCAUAUUAAUCAGUAUGAUUAUCAAGUUGGUCAAUUAGGAUCAAAAUUGUGUUUGACUAAUUUAUUUAAAAAUAACUUAUUUAUUAAAUGAGUUAUACAUAUUAACAUAAAUUUAAUCCUUAAACCCACAAAAAAUAAAUUGAAUUUGAGUCAUGUUAACGAAAUAUAUUACACUUUUGACACUCGUAGUCUACGUAAAGAAAAGAUGUUGCAUCUUGCCAUUAGCUAAGCUUAGAGCAUCCAACAACUGACUAUAAGGGUCCAUAUCUUAGGCUAAAUUGAAUGAAAGCAUUAUAUUAUACAAAACCCCCUAUGCUGAUGAUGGUGCAAACACCAAAUUUGAUUUCCCAAAGUUGUAUAAUAAUGUAUUAGUUGUGUCUGUUGUGCGGAAGUUAGGUACAACUUAGUGACAAGUGUGUAUGGGGCUUGGAAUCUAGUGAGAAUCCAUUGGAUAGGAGUACAAAAUGUCGGCCAUGAGCAUGAUCUAGCCAUCCACAUUUCUCUGUGUCAGAGGGGUCAGGACCAUGGAAGAAAAUAUCAAAAUAUAUUACUGAUAUAGUAUUGGAGGUUAUAAAAACGAUAUUUGAUGAAAAAAAUAUUAUUCUGACAAAAUUAUUUUAAGGAGUAUCGAUAUAUUUGUGAUUACUGAUAUUUUUAUCUUUGGUCAAAUUAGUUUUUGAAUUCACCCAUGCAUGACAUUUGAGAUUCAGCUUAAAAGUUGGAUCAACCCACCUGAUCACCUAAGCUUAUAGAAUAGUUACAAUGAAAAAAAUAUAGUUAUAUGACAUGGAAACACUUGAGUCUUCAUUGAUUUCCUUUUCAGAUUGAAAACUAUUAGAAAAAUUGAUUCAAUUGUCAUGAAAUUGGUAUCCACAAAACCAAAGAAACACCCUAAAACUAGUCCAAAAUCUUAUCUAACCCACAUAAAUUACAGAAAAUUAUCUUAACAGCAACCAAAUUCCUAAGUCUUUGCACAAAAUCCUAUCCAAGAGAGAUCUUUUAGAUUUCUUAUCCACUCUGGAUUGACUGGUAGAGACUUUUAAACCAGGGUUGUGCCACAAGCUCAUGAACAAAUAAAAUUGGACAAAGAAUUGAAUGAGUGGAUAAACAUCAUUGUCAAUGUUUCUACUUGAGCGAGAAAUACGUUAGAUUUCUACACUUCUAAAUAGUUGCCUUGAGUGAUUCCUUGGUCCCACAGUAUUUGCUUCCCCCUUUCCUCGUGGUUUGGGAAAAGGACAUCCACACGGUUUGGUGUAGGAACCACCCUUUCCUUUGCUAUCCAUGAUUAUUUUUCUUUCCAAUAAUAAGGAAAACAUUCAUCAAGGCCCCAUGUGAAAACUAUUAUUGGUGACUGUAGGAAUAGAGCUAUUCAAUUUUUCCAAUAUACAGGACAUUGGAUGGAUACUGAUAACAAAAAAGAAUUACAUUAAAAUGUAUAAGCGAUGUAUUAUAAUUCAUUUUCUCAUCUAUUUUCAUGUUUUGAUUAUUUUAACGAGAUGGGAUGAAAUUAAAUAUGAUUUUAACAGAAGUGAAACUUGUCUCGUAAAUAGGAUUCCAUGUUGAUUUCAACAGAAGUAUGUGGAAGGAUAUCGUGGUUAAUUUAUUUAUUUUUUCAUUUUCAUUUCUAUUAUUUUUAAAUAUUGAAAUAACAACAAAUACUCAUUUCAAAUUUAUAUUGCUAGAUGCAUACAAAUAUAAGAACUGAAGCACCAAAUUCACUCCUAUUCUAAGAGGAAUAAGAACAUUGAUUUUCAUUCCCUACAGUCAAGUACCGAACAUGGCCUAAAACGUAAGGGUUCAUGGGAGAUCCUUCUCGCCUAUCGACCUUCUUCUAUGGUGGCUAGGAACUCACUAUUCAAGGAUGCUUCUGGUUUGCUUGAAGAAGAAGCUGAGCUGGAAAGGUCUCUCCUUACGACAAAAGCUGGUUGUUUAGGAACUGGGAGUGUGGCAGUGUCACUGCUGAGCAUUACAACUGCAACUGCCAUGGUGGGACGGUCACUUGGGUCUUCUUGCACACACAACAGCCCAACAUUCACGCACCUCAGAAAUUCAUUUGUUUUACAUGUUUCACUUAGUGUCUGGUCCAUCAACUCCAACACCCUGUCUUCCUUCCACAGCUUCCAUGCCUGGGAAAGUUUGGACGUACAAGGGUUUCAUGGCAUAUAUAUAGAAUGUCCAAAGGAUCAAUGCAAAUGAGAAAUUCAAAGCACUUACAUGGGCUAGAAGGCUCAGAUUCCGGUCAGACUGAUAAGAUCUGGUGUUCCUCUUCCCGCUGAUGAUCUCAAGUACCACAACACCAAAGCUAAAGACAUCAGACUUUUCUGAGAAAAACCCAUCCAAUGCAUACUCUGGAGACAUAUAGCCACUGCAUUGAACCAGUUAAAAACACUACUCAGUUAAUUGGGGAUGCAAUCAUGCAACUACUUGCAUUUUACCAUACACAAUAUGCAGUACUUACUAAGUUCCAACUACUCUGUUUGUGCUUGCUUCUACUUGCUUACUCUCAAAAAUCCUUGCCAAGCCAAAGUCUGAAAUUUUGGGAUUCAUCUCGUCAUCAAGUAGAAUGUUGCUUGUUUUCAAGUCUCUAUGGAUAAUCUUCAAUCUUGAAUCUUGGUGAAGAUAAAGUAGCCCUCGAGCAAUUCCCAAAAUGAUAUCAAAUCGCUUCUCCCAGUUCAGUAACAGGCAUAGAGUUUGAUCUUGCAAUGUUCCCAUUGGAAAGCACGACUUCAGCAUGUACACGUUGUAAUAUGGGAGAAAAAAAAAGGAACUUUUAGGCAGGUUAGAGGCAAACCAAAUAUGAAGGAGUCUAAGCUUUUGUUGGGCAUGUAUUCAUAGAGUAAAAUCUUCUCAUCUCCUUCAAUACAAUAGCCCAAAAGUCUAACCAAAUUUCGAUGCUGAAGUUUGGCAAUUAACACAACCUCGUUCUUAAAUUCCUGUAAGCCUUGUCCCGAAGCUCUUGAGAGUCUCUUUACUGCAAUUUCUCGCCCUUCAGGAAACUUUCCCUAGAUGCCAUAGCGCAUGGUAUUAGACAGACAAACCAGAAACCUUGAAAUGAGACUAAUGUGGAAAUUAAGGACUAUUACUUUGUAAACUGGCCCAAAGCCCCCCUGUCCAAGCUUAUUUGCAUCUGAAAAGUGAUCUGUAGCAGCCAGUAUGUCUUCUAAGUCGAAAAAUGGUACGUCAAUGCCUUUCUUAUCAUCUUCUUUGAAUUGCUCAGAGUCUAUUAAGUCUUUCACACGGCUCUCGCUAUGAUACAAGUGAAGCCCUGGAUUUGUUCUGUUUUCUGAAUUCAGAAACAAGACUACAUUAUGAAGAAGUCCCCUAAAAAUAUUAUCAAUUCUGCCAAUCAACACGAAACAAAAAAAGACCAGAACUUAAACGGUGGCGCAAAUAGCACAAAGAUUACCUUGCCCUUUGGAGAUGGUUCUUUUUCGAAAAUAAGCAAUACAACCAAUGAUGCAUAGAAGUCCAACUACUACAACAGCAGUUACUAUGCCUACCACAACUACCAGAGCCGAGGAUGAUGAUGAUGACUUCUGGUUUGCAGGUGUUGGAGCCUCCGCAAGAUUGCCACCAUCUGAAACAAAGAAAGACCACUCUCAUUCAUGGAGAAGGCAGCGCAUCUGCCAUUACUAAUCACUGUGUCUUUCAAUGCAAUUUAGCAAUAUGCUUGCUGAAAAGCAUCCUCACCUUGUGUACAAUUUAAACUGGAGCUGUUCCAUUUGAAGUUUUGAUUACAAAAACACCUUCUCGUUCUAUUUUGCGUUCUGCAACUCGAAUUUGGCCAGUCCUUGCAGUCUGUUGCUGAGUUACAAACCGGCUCUGGUGGUGGAUCCCAACUUAUUUCAAUUUCAUACUGACCUUUCAUAGGCAUGCUGGAGCUAGAAUUUCCUGUGUCAGCAUUGCACCAGCUAGUUAUCCUGAAAGGUGGAUUGAGCUGCAGUAUCUUCGUGUCUUGUGAAUUUCGUGCUUCGCAGUUAUCAAUAUCAUUCACUUGGAUGAGAAACUUCGAUCUCUCUGGAGUGAUGCUGGUUACUCGGUAGCUGCCAUUAGGUAAGGCGAACCAGACUUGGUCUGUGGCCUUGUCACAUCUGAAACUGAAGUACAUGGGAUCACCACAGUUUGGUCCAGUGCUUAGUGGAUAGGGGAUCAAGUUUGUGCCACAAGUUUCACAAUUUCUUACUGUUGAUUCUGCAGAAUUAGAAUGAAUUUCAAGAUUUUCCUCAUUAACAAUCAAUUAAAUUCAGAAGUAGAAGGGGGCAAGCAGAGAGGAUACCUAUAUCUGAUUUGGCGACACGGAGAGAAAGAUUAUAGCCAUCUGUGUUAUACUCCUGAAGACUACCGAGAUCUUCAGACCAAACCAGCACUUGGGAGGGGUGCUAGCACGGCCCCUUCGUAUCGUUCCAACUCCAGCAUAAGCUUGACAGCGACAGGUCUUAAGGCACUCUCUUCUGCAUUCACUUUCAUCCUUAUCCGAAAACUCAAUGUCAUACUUUCUUACUUUAAUCAUCUUCAAGAUCAAGAAUGUGUCCCCACAGAGGGUUGUCUUUUUAGAACACCCACCUGAAAAAUCUCCAUU